UAUAUUAUAUAUUGUAUAUGCUGUUAAUGAGUUAAUAUGGUGCUUGCUCCUAGUUGGAAAUUUAUGUAGUCAUCUACCUAUGAUCAAAUAAAGAUGAAAAAUAAAAUAAAAUUGAGAGCAUCUUCCUCUCCCCUGCUUUGCUCAUCCCUUGUUCUUCCACUUCAGCCCCACUAUUACACCAUUUUUUCAGCCACAAUUAUAAUAGCUCCAUGAGCAUAUUAACAUCAGUGGCCACAGUUCCAUGAUUUGAGUGCACAGAAAGGUUUCAAAAAUUGUCCCAAAAGUACAGUCGUUCAAAGUGAAAGAGAGUUUUCAAAGCUUAAUUACAAGUUCAUGUUAUUUACAAUAGCAAAAAGCUUUCAUUCUUGCUUACAAACUUGUAUUUCCAAGUUCUGUAAACCUUGGAAUUUCACUUCAUCCAAAUCCCCUUCCAAAGCAGGAAAAAAUGGCAGCAGCUUUGAUUGGAGAGGCUCUCAUCUCUGCUUCUAUCGAGGUGUUGUGUGACAGAGUUACUUCAGCCGAGUUCAUAGACUUAUUUCAGCAGAAGAACUUGAUGAAACACUCCUCAUGAACCUGAAGACAACACUGUUGAUUUUGUUUGCGGUGCUCAAUGAUGCAGAGGAGAAGCAAAUUGUGAACCCUGCUGUGAGAGAGUGGCUUAACAGCUCAAGCAUGCUGUCUUUGAUGCAGAGGACUUAUUUGAUGAGAUUGACACUGAAGCUUUGCGAUGCAAGCUGGAAGGUGAGGAUCAAACCCACAAUAGUUAACCAACAAGGAUCUUUUUGAUUGUUUGAAAGAAGAGUCUUUGAUGAUUUGAAAGGAGAGGGUUGCUUUAUUUCUGUUGGAUGCGUAAUUAAAUCUUAUUUGGAGUUGAACAAGGAUUAGAUUAGCUGUAUAAUUAGUGGUAAACGCCUUUUUCUAAGGGUCAUUUAGACUCCUAUUACGAUUAAUUUGUUGUUUCUAAUUUGGACUUAUAGGAACAGACCAAAUAUGUUCACACGUGGCAUCGCUCAAGUCAUCAUCAUUUCAGACUGAAAAUCAGCCUUCAAGUGUCUGUUGAGCCAAUAAACCUUUCUAGAUAUAUCAAGUGCAAUGGAAAUUCAUGAGUUACAUAGAGAUUUGUAAACAUUUUGAAGAUUGCAACACCUGCAAGUGAGAUAGGCGGUGACGAAAUCAGAGCUGAUUUUGAAGCCUCUGAUGCCCCUGUUGUUGCAAGUUGCACCUGAGAACAUGUUUUUUUUUUCUUUGGGGUAAAAAAACUGGCAACAUGUUCGGAGCUGACAAUUCAAUCCCUGAUGAACUAGAGAAGCGAAGCUCCGGUAAGGAAUUGGUCAAGGUUGUGACAGGGAUGAUUGAUGGUGAAAUGGAUGCUAUUUCUUAUUGCAGCCUGUUCUCAAAGUUCUUGUUGGCAAAUGCAAGAGAUGGAGUAUUUUGAUUGGGAGGAGAUAUAAUGACAUGGCUUGACAAUUCUAGAACAGCCCAUCAUUAAUCCCAGAAAAAAUCCAGUUUCUGCUAAACAAUCACUUAUGGCAAGGCCAACUCUGUAAAUGGAAUUUGUGAUCCCUUGAAAUUGUACACAUUUUUUCUUUUUGAGGAAUUUAAUCAAACAGUAUUCUAAUGUAUUAUGAUAGCACUACACGCUUUUGUUGUAACAAAUUACAAGGAGGAAUUUGGAUUGAGUUUCUUGUAUAAGCACACCUUACACAAAUUUGGUAUAUUUUCUUCCAGCAAGUCUGUUUAUUAACCCCCUUAUCUGAAAUUAAUUGUUAAAAGUUUUGAUUCAUCUUUAAUCAGUGUCUAACCCUUGUUGAAUAACACUCCUCUUUCUAAUUUAUAUUUGAAGUUUGAGGUUUCAAUUUCAAUUGUGGGCUUUGAUUUUACAGAUUUUGUUUGUCAAUUUCAGUUUGGACAAAGCAUAUGCAAACAAAAUAAGCAUUUUAUGUUAUACUUUUGAAAUAGGUGUUGAUUUGAUUUAAUCAUAAGUUUUGCUGGUGCAUUUACUAGGCUAUCAUUCAAUACUUUUGAUCAUAGAACUUCUUUGGUCGAUAUUAUCUUUGUUAAGUUUAACCAUAAAUUUAGAGAGGGGACUUCAACAGAUUUAUAAUCUCAUCAUUAUAGUAUUAAAAAUUAGAGAUUAAGGCAUUGUCUAUUAUCUGAAUUCUGCUUACUUUUAGUUCAUAUGUUUACAUCUUAGCAUAUUCAUGCGAUUAGUGCGGCUCAUACCACAAAGGCAACUUUAGGCUCAUCAAGUGCUAAGCAAUGUCAAGCUUCCAAGUGACAAGUUCUCUACAUAGUUUGAGACCUACACUUACUAGAUAUUAGAUCAUUUCGAUCAUUUCCAUAUGUUUAUAUGUAAUUGACAUGUUAUAACAAUUUUUGUAGCGUUAUAUAAUUAUUUAGCAAUUUAAUUAUUUCUUUGCAUCAAGAAAUAGUUCUUAAGUUAUUAAAAAAAAAAAAAAAGAUUUAAAAAAAAAGAUUUGUUGAUGCUUAAAAAGCAUCAAGAACAGGUAGUUUCUUGACGGUUUAGUGACGUUUCAUAACUGUAGGAGGCUUUUUCUUCCGACAGCUGUAAAUGGGCUGGGUUGCCGUAAAGGGCAGACUGAUGAAAUUGUCCCCUUUUGUCUGAGCUAGAAAAUUAAGCCCCAAAAUACUUCGAAAGGGCAGCAGAGCCUUAGGAAGUAUUUUGGUUACCCUCACCAACUAAAACAACAACAACUUACAGGUAAUUUCUUAAUGCUUACAGAUGAACUCUUGAGCUUGGCAUGAGAGACAUGUGGCAUGGAAGCAAAAUCAACAUGAGUUUAGCACUGAGGGGAAAUUUAGGCUCUCUUGGGGGAAAAAGGGAAGUGUUAAGGUGAGAGAGGAGAAGUUUGUAGGAGAUUUAGCUAAGAAAGGAGAAAUAUAGAACAAUGCUCUUCUGGCAGCUUGACAGAUGCUCUGUCUGCCAGAAAAGGAAGAUGGAGAAGAAAUGUGAAUAGUGCACGAGUUUGCUAGAUUUUUGCAGGUAAGAGAGGAAGCUUGCUCUCUGGGUCUGAGUUGAGUUUUGUUAGGUGGAAGAGACCUCAUUUUAUAGCUCCUGGAAACCAUCACUUCCCAAGAAACCCUAAUGGCUUCUACCCAUUUUGGCCAAGCUUUUCCAUUCCUUUCUCAUUUCCUUCCUUGACUUUACCCCUCUUGAUGAAAUCCUCUCUACCUAUUUGCACCAGAUCAGAGUUUUUUGAAGCUUAAGGCCCCCUUUUCCCGCAGUUGUCUCAAUGGGAGACUUUCAUUCCUAGUCAUUUCCUUUAUUGCUUUCCUUUCUUUUUUUCAUGGCCAAGUCUGGUGGGGAAAGGAGUUGGGAUAAAUAUGCUAGUUUGAAGGGUGCUUCUCUUCUUGGCAUCUUACACACUAAUACCCCUUGGUUCCUUGAAUGUUUUGGCUUUGAAACUUGCUCCCCUCCAUGUAUUGGAACCUCCCAGCAGCCCUGGUCAAUGAAUCUUCAGACCUUCUCUUCGUGGCUUUUAUUUUUUUAUCAACUGGCUAGGGCUUUUGUGGCUCAUUGGGGCAAUUGUAUGGGCUAAGGUGGUUCAUUAAGUAAGUGGGCUAUUUUUAUUAAACAUUGAGCUUUUUGGUUGAGUCACUAGGCUAUUUUGAUUGGGCUAUUGGGCUAUUGUUUCCUCUCUUGUGCUCACCCACAUGUUUGGACCAAAGAAAUGAGCUUGAGUCCUGAGGCUCCCAAGCGACCCGAGACUUUCCAUUUAUCGGUCCAUCAAUGGGCCUCAUGUUGAUUUAUUACCAUCCAUACCACACCCCACUCAAGCAAGCCCCGGGCAUUUGAGUGGCUUGGGCCCACUUAGGCUUGUAGUGUGGUUGGGUGCAAAAUAACGAUUUCGUGCUUGGCAUGUUUUAAUUUUAUCAUCCAUGGGAAAGGCUGCGAUGUUUGAUUUCGGCAUGGGCUUGUAGAGCUGGUAUGCUUUAUUUCAACUCCUAGCAUGACGAAUUAUUUAUUUAGCAUGGCACGUGAAUUACAACUCGCAUGUGGUGGGUUUUUGUGUACUACACCUUACGCCUCUUCUUAAUAGAACAUCGUUUCUGAUAAUUUAUUUGGGCCCAACCGUGAAUUUUUUGGAUCUCAAUAAUAACCAUCAUGAAACAUUACAUUUUGACUGACAUCAAGAAAUGGGGUAUCCCUUUCUUGAUAGUGGCAUCCAUGAUGCCUUCCAAGCCGUCAAUUAAGGGCUAUCGCGAUGCAUUUUAGUUGUCAGCAAAAGGUGUUUUUCUUGUACUAUAUUCACUCAAAAUCGUGUUUCAUUUAAGAUUAGUAGUAUGGUUGAAUACCAUUUGUUUUGUUAAAGAAUAUUAUACAUUAGGGAUUUUUGUAGAAAUGUCAUUUGAACUUAUACCUUAGUUUCAAUUUGUCACCUUGAAGAAAAAUUUAAGAGAAAUAUCACCUUAAUUUUUUAAAAUCCAUGAUUUGUCAUAUGACUUUAAGAUCAUCCAAUUUUCCAUCCAUUUUAAGGGUAUUUUAGACUUUUCAUUUUCAAGGAAAAAAAAGAGAUGAAAAAAGAGACCUCUCUCUUACUUUGUCCCCCAACCCAACCCCACCCGCCCCCAAAAACACAUCACAUAGGAUUGCCUCCCCCUUCCCCACUUUUCUUUUUUCUUUUUGUCAUACUUUUCCACUGUGUUUAUGUUGAAGGAUCUAAAGUUUGCUUGGUCACCAUCUUUUACGUAGGCUUCCUAAUUGUUGGUUUGGGUGGGUUGUGGGAAUUUGUGUGUGGAGGGCAAGGCUCUAUCUGACAGGACCCACCUCGAAUUCCUCGAAACCCGAGACGAAUCUUGUAGAAUUUCCGACAUCACACCGAUGCCGGGUCCACUUCUGAACUAAAUCCUCUUUUCCAAAAUUAAGGAAAAAUAGUACGAGGCUUUCUGCCAAAAUUUCGGCAGUCUUCCCUAUAAAUUUAACGUUUCAGCUUUGGAGGCCGUUCUUUCAUUUCUGCUUUGGUGGCCGGAUGAGAGAACGGCCGGCUAAAACGUGGCCAGCUGGCACUGCCGUCACGAGAGAGAGAGAGAGAGAGAGAGAGAGAGAGAGAGAGAGAGAGAGAGAGAGAGAGAGAGAGAGAGAGAGAGAGAUGUUUAUCAAACCAUUUUUGCCAAAAUUACGAUUAUGCAACUGAGGGUAUUUUGAUCGUAUCUUUUUCGUUAUAACUCCGAUUCAAGCCCACUACAUAUCUACGGACUCAUCUCGCCGUGCUCUAUGCAAUUGUAUAGUUGAAAUUCCCAAAUUCCAUCCCAGUCAAAAAGUCAACUUUAAACCUUAUAAAAUAUUCUAAGGGCAAAAUGGUCUUUUAUCUAAUUAAAUUAAUAAUUGAAAAUUUAUUUAGGACCGGGUCGUUACACUGUCGUUGAUGGACUGUGCGAUGGCACUCACACAAAGUCCUUAAGAAUAAAACACACACACACCAUGAAGAGAGUAAAACAAAUGCACAAAGAUUUAUAAAGGUUUGGCCUCCUGCCUACAUCCUCUUGGUGAUCCACCCGAGAAAUUCACUUGUACGUAAGAACAACUUUGGUUACAACUAAACCCCCUUAGCUUUCAUAAGAACCCUAGAUCUCUUUUCUCCCACCCUUGCUCCAACCCUUUGAUGCCCUUGUAAACACUCAAGAAUUCAUCCUUGAAUUCUAUCAUGUGUUACAUCUUCUCUUCUCCCCUUUGCCAACCUAACCCUACAAGUUAUAUUUAAAAUUCAUUGGACUUUAAGUACAAGUUAACUAGGAAUAGGAAACAUAAAAGACCCCAAAAAUUGGAGAAAAUAUGUCUAGAUCUCAUUAGGAAAUUGCACAACACGUGCGAUCCUCUCGAGCGCCUGCAAAAUCAUCCCUUUGCCGCUCGAGCUGCCGAUAGCUCAUGGGAUGGGGGAAUUAGAAAUUUUUUUUUUUCAAUUUUAAUUGUUUAAAAGAUAUACAAUUUAUUAAUAAUAAUUUUUCCAUUUUUAAAAUACCCUUGAAAAUAGAAAGAUUAAAAUGCCCUUAAAAAUGGAUGGAAAAUUGGAUGGUGUUAAGGUCAGAUGACAAAUCAUGGAUUUUGAAAAAUUAAGGUAACGUUUCUCUUAAAUUUUUCUUUACAGUGACAAAUUGAAAUUGAGGUAUAAGUUCAAGUUACAUUUCUGCAAAAAUUCUUAUACAUUAUGAUAUUCUAACAAUAAUUGGCUAAAAUUGAUAUGUUCCCUCUUUUAUUUUCUUUUUCUCUUUUCCUUUUCAUUUUAUGAUCCAAUCCUUUUCAUAUAUUUUUGUUCAAGACUUUGUUUUAUAAUGCUCUAUUACUAAUUUGGUACAGGUCCCUAAAAUCUCGGAGCCGCCUUAGUACAUUCAUAACGUACAUGUUCAGAGUUCAAGAAUAAUGUAUAGAAUGUGAAAUUGACGAUGCCGGCCUUUAUGAGGCAACAUCUUUAUUUCUUUGGUUAUUCCAGUUUAGAAUAUUUGCACAAAUGAGAUGACUCCAAGCAUAAAGUCACAUUCGACCAAAAAGCAUAAAGUCACACACAAAAAGAACACGGACAAUUGCUAAGUUUAUCCUUGUACCCUUAUUUUAUUGAUCCGACCCAAUUGAAAAAUAAAAAAAGAUGAUAAAAAAUAUUGUUCACUGCUUUAAAAUCUAUGAGUAGAGUCCUCCAUUUGAAAUUUGGUCAUUAUACAAAAUUGGAAUGAAAAAAGAAAAUCCUAAAGCUAUAUUUGAUAUAUUUCAUUUUCAUUUUUUGCUGGGUGUUAGGGCUCGUCAAUGGGCCGGGCCUGGCUAGCCCGGCCCGAAUUUAAUGGGCUUGGGCCAGGCCGGCCCAGGCUUUAAAGAGGAGAGAGAAAAUAUCAGGUCGAGUUUUUUAAGAAAAUUCAAAGCCCAAGCCUGACCCAUGAGCCGGGCUUGAGAAAGCCCAUCGGGCCGGGCCGGGCCUAAACGGGCCCUACUUCAUUCAAAAAAAAUCAUUAACUUAAUCAUAAGGUCAUUUUAGUCCAAAUUUGAGAUUAAACUCACUUAAUUCUAAUAUUUUUACUUCAAACCAAAUUCAUAAAACACCCAAUAAAGUCACACAACUUGUAAGAUUUUCCACAAAAAUAAUAAAACCAAGUAUUAUUUUUGAGGUUAUUACAUAAUUAGAUCGUAAUACGUUUUAAAAAAUAAUUUUUAAAAAUAAUAUUAAUAAGUAUCAAAAAAAUAUUUUUUUAAAGGAUGGUAUGAAUAAAUAUGCAAAUAUUUGGUGAUGUGUUCAAGAAAAGGAUGAUUAUAUUUGGUGGUACGAUUAUGUUUCGUGAUACGAUUAUAUUUAGUGAUGUGAUAUGUUGUUCAUCUUAUAUAUAUAUAUAUAUAUAAUUGUUGAACUAAUAAUUGACACAAAUUAAUGUGUUAAUCAUCCAAUUAUAAACUAGGAGUGAAUAAAGAAAAGUAAAUGAAAUGAAACAAAUUAUAUGUGUGAUUUAAGUGAUAUAAUCCUAAACCUAAACUCUUAUUUAUACAUAAUUAUAUAUGUAUGCGGGCCUAACGGGCCGGACUUUUGUGGGCGUGUCGGGCCGGGCUUUCUUGGGCUUAAUCAGGCUGGACCUAUGGGUCAGGCCGGGCUUCAAACACCCCAACACGAGCCUAGCCUAGCCCGCCUUGGGCCGGGCCAUCUCAAAGCCCAUAACGAGCCGGAUCGGGCUUUUUUCGAUUGGCCGGGCGGGCCCCCUCGACCCAUGAGCCCGCGGGCCAAAUGAUGAGGCCUACUGGGUGUUCAAUUUUUCUUGUUUCUUGUUGAAAAGAAAAAUGAUAAUUAAUAAAAUCUGAUUUGGUGGUUGUGCUCGUCACAAAUCAAUGAAAUGACAGCAGUGAUUUUGCAAGACAGCAUACCUUCUCUUGGGGUGCUUUUCAUUUUGCAACAUUUCUUUACGUGUAAUUUCCAGAGGAGGGUUUAUCAUUGUAUAUAGCUCUUCGGGUGGUUUUUUCUGCAAAACAAAUGUCACAAGGAAGGAGGAGAAACGGAAAAGAUUUACUUGGAAUGUCUCAAGUCUCCUUUGAGAUAAAGGCAUCGAAUGCACAACAUUGUUUUUGUGCUAUUUCAUAAUUAAAGUGUGCUUCCCAAGUCUCCUUUGCGUUUUGUAACUUGUAAUGUUUGUUUUUUUGUUUCCCCUGUUUUGUCUUUUAUAAAAGAAAGAGGAAUGCUAGCAACCUUCUCUCUAAUCUUCUCUUUUGGACCUUCUCCCUUUUCUUUUUGACAAGUGUCAUUUUCCAUACACUUAAAACAAUGACAUUAAUGCAUCACACAAUUUAGUUUUUGUUUUCCAAGUUUACCAUUUUAAAAUGUAUUGGCUUUUAUAUUUCCUUCAAUUAUUCACAUUUUGUUAUAACUUGUUUAGCACAUUAUUUUUUUUAAUUUAAAAAAAGUCAUAUUUUUUAAAAAUAAAAAUAAAGUUUGUUUCAUGACAUUGUUAUCAUUUUUAUUUUGUUUUUAACAAAACACGCAUUCUCUUUGGAAAAAUUAAAAAUUAAAAAACAAUUCAGUUUUUAUUUUCUUAUUUAAUUUUUAACAAGCUAGUAAGAAAGUUAUAAAAAAAAAUUAGCUUGUUAUUAAAAAAAAAUUAAUACAUUUAAUAAGGGUAAAUUUGGAAAACAAAAACUAGUUUGUGUGAUGCAUUAAUGACAUUGUUUUUAGUUUAAGGAAAGUGACACUUGUCAUGAGAAGAAGGGAGAAGGUCCAAAAGAGAAGGUUAGAGAGAAGGUUGUUAGCACUCCCCAUAAAAGAAAUACAGGUCUGAACCACACGGAUCUACUUGCAUAAUAAUGGACCAAAUUUAUGAUUUUUAGAAAGAACCUUCUACUGGUGGAAUCUUGGGCUACUGUUGUGGCUCUCCUCUGUGUGCCUCCUUUUUAGAAUGGUAAAAUAUUCAAAAUACCAGAAAAUGUUCAUGAUUAAUGCAAAUAUUAAGAAUUGAAAUUAUUAAUUAAAUGAAGAUAAUAUGGUAAAUUCACACUUUUUCAUAUUAAAAAAAUUAAAAUUAAAAGAAAUAUCAGAUAAUUACUCUUAUUUUUAUGGAACACAGCUACCCAUUAUCUUUUUUAAUUAUAAAAUAAAUUUAAAUUAUAAAAAAAAAAUCCUCUCACAUGCACGGAAGCGCGUGCUCAGAGGCUAGUUAAAAAUAAUGAACUUUGCUUCUGAUGUCUAUACCAGACCCACUCAACCUGCUUUAUGAUUAUACAAAGAACAAACUCGUCCUUAGACUCAUUUGGUUAAACUUAGAAAAUAAUGAAACAAAAAUAUACACACCCACAAGUAACACAGCCAGGAUUGAAAACAACUGGACAAAGAAAGGCAUGUUAAAACAGAAUUUUCAACAACUCAUCACCAUUAGACAAGAAAAAGAAAAAUCAAUACAGAAACAGAAAGAACAGAGAAUAAAUGUGGUGGAAGAAAAACGUUGAAGCCAUUUGUGAAUCCAACAACACUACCACUCUGUUUCUCUCCUUUUGUUCAGGCGGAUCUGCAUAUAUCCUAAGGCGUAUUACGGAAACAACUUCUUGCCGUUAUACUUGAAUGUUGUGGAUGCUUCAACGUUGCCAUCUGGGUGGAGUGGAUUUGUCCAAUUCACCUUCACUAUGGUUAAUCAACUAGACAGACAUAAGUCAGAAACAAUAGGUAUAUAGGUCCAAAUUGUUGUUAUUUGAAAGGCUUCUAAAUUUUAACAUUUUGAUUUCUAAAUUUUGUUUUAAUAUUUCGGCCCACUUAGUUCUUCUCAAAAUAUGUCAUCAAUAUCGUUGAAAGGUUGAACUUAGUGAAUUAUUAUAGUGCAGUACGGUAAAAUAGGCACAUGAUAUAAUUUGUCCACAUGUUCUAAUAUAAGUGAAUAUUUAUUGAUAUUAUUUUCAAAAAUAAAAAAUAUCAACCAUUACAUCCUCCCAUAUUAUAAUACAUAUACAAAUUAUACCACAUUAUCAUACUCUAAUACCAUUUUAUAAUUUCUCGUACUUAGGAGGUAUAGAGCGAGUCAAUGACAUUACAUAAUAUAUAAUUGUUCAUAUAAUGGGGCAACUAACGUGAUCAACAAGUUGUGGUGAUUAAUUUAACAUAAUAAAAAACAUACCAUUUACUAUGUAACAAUUUGUUCUUUUAAAUUGGAUUGUCAUCACUUUAAUAUGUUAUGUUUCUUAUUCUAGUCUCCCAUGUUAAGUGCUUCAGCAUUGUUUGUGGUGUGUACACAAAUUUUCUUAUAAAAUGUUUUAAUGCUUCUCACAUGUAUAUCAGAUAUAGACAGUUGAUGUGACUUAGAAAUCAAAUUGUCAAUAAAGAAAAAAAAUAUAAUUGGUGAUCGAGGUCCAAUUUAAUAGAAAAUAGUCUUAAUUUGUAUAUUAAAGGUUUCAGAUUCGAAUCCUCACUGCAUUAUUGUUGUAUGCGUACACGAGAAAUUCUAUUUCCCAAUAAUUUAGAUUAUCACUUAUACUAAAAAAAAUAUAUAUAAUAAGUUUUACGAAUGCAAACAUAAAAUUACACCAAACAAUAAUGGAAUAGAAAGAUGGAAGUUUUUUUUUUUUCCUACAUCUAAAGUAUACUUUAUAUAUAUAUUUAUUAUGGGAGUUAUAACCGUUUAAUUUUCAGUUUUUAUUUUCUAUUUAUUGUGUUAAUUUUUAUGGUUUAAUAUGUAUGGAGAUUACAAGUAUUGGAUGUCUAUAAAGGGCCACUCCUCCUUCACAUCUGAAACAAACCACCAUCUCAUUUCUGUAUUUUCAUACUUUCAUAUAUUUUCUACUUUCCAGAUUAUUAUUUUUGGGCAACGGUUUUGUGACUUGGAGAUUUCUAUCCGAUUGUUAACAUGCUCAUAACGGACCUUGAGCUUGCGUAUUGGGGAUCGUAUCUUGGAGCCUUGUAGACCUUUAUUACGUGCAUGUAGGGAGGCUACAAAUGCUUUAGGUCAGCGUCUUUGACGUACUUUUGCUUUCUUUUUUUACUUAUUUCUUCGUUUCUUUAUUUUUACUUUACUUUUAAAUCUUUAUUUUAUGUAUUAUUUAUAUUUAAAAGUUUUGAAUAAGAGUUUUACAGAAAAGGAAAAACACAAUUUCAAAUAACACAAAUUUCUCGUUUUUUGUUCUUAAAAAAGAAGAAGCAUUGAUUGGGGAGUUAUGGUAAACUCAGUUUCAAUGGUUGCGAUGAGAGGCGGUGGCGGCGAGGAGAGGACGAAGGCUUUGCUGCCGACGGGGUGGUGUGGCUGGCUGCUUGGUCCUGGGUUCUCCUUUAAUUCUCUGUUUUCUUUUUUCAUUUUCUUUUUCUCUUAGAGUUAUUGAUGUUAAGUGAAUGGACAGAUGCCAAAAUAGGGACAGAAGAUGUGAACCCAAUUAUAUACAGCUGCUGCUAUAGCUGAUUACAUAAAGUAACAAAUUAAUUAAUGCUUGAGUGGAGGACAGGCUUGAGUGGAAGAAUUGAUUAAGGCUUGAGUGGAAGACAAACUUCAGUGGAGGAAAGUAUAGAUAAGGAAAGCAUGCCUCGUUUAACGGCUUUAUCUAAUAAAGAUUACUUGUUGGCACUUGGAGUUUCUUAGGAAUGCUGGUUUUGUUUCCUUGGUGGACUUGAAAGGUGGUGCCUUGGCUCGGACAUCUCCCAAGACAUACAACUGCUCAUUAGCUGAAUAUCUCGCUCUCUUUAAAGAGAUCGAAGCAAACACAAUUUGCAAUUUGUGUGAUUCAAGCAUGAAUAUCUGAUAUAGUAACUAUACCAUUUGUUGGUUUGAUAAGAAAAGUUUGGUUAGCGAGGAUGAAACCAUAAAGUUCCCAAAACACACAAAGAACACGGACAAUUGCUAAGUUUAUUCUUGAGUUCACACAUAUUUGCACAAAUGAGAUUAUUCCAAGCAUGAUUAUACCAUUUGUUGGUUUGAUGUGAAAAGUAUGGGCAACGAGGGGUAAAACCAUACAAACACACACGAAGAACGUGGACAAUACUAAAUUUAUCUUUACGUUAUUGAUCCGACCUAACUGUAAAAUAAAAAAGAUGAAAAUAUAUAAUGUUCAGUACUUAGAUCUAUGAGCACUUGCACAAAACAUCACUUUUGGUCUUUGGUAAAUUUUUAAAAUAAAUGAAUUUUUUACUUAUUUGUGAACUGAAAUGCCUCUAAAAAAAUAAUGAUAGUUCGAAGAAUUUGAUAGAAAUUAAAAAAUAUCCUCAAAUUACUUGGAAUUGAAGACCACAUAGGCAAAAACACGAAAUUGAAACCUCACUUUAAUGAUAAAAAUGGUAAACUACAAAGACAAAAAUGACGUCUUGCCUUAUAAAUAAUUGGAAUUUGCUGGUGAUAAUAGUCGAUAUCAUCUUUUGUCGGUCCGACCUAAAAAGAAGAAAAAGUUAAAAGCAUCUUGUACCAAUUUUUGCCAAUGUGGGCCCAAACAAUUUGAAGAAGUCCACCGGCAAUUUCUCAAAAGCUAUUGUGUGAGUGUGAAGCUAAACCAAUAUUAUUUUGCAUAUCCGACCCCACAUCCCCAUGUGAUGUGAGGCUACAGAGGUGUUUCCAAAACGAAAUAUGAUAUUUCAAAACGUAGCUAUGUAUAGAGUCAUUUGUAUUUGCUUUCACAAUAACAUUUGAUUUUAUAUUUAUACAUUCUGAUAUUUUAACAAAUAAAUUGACUAAAUUUGGCCAACAGGAUUUAGCCGAAUAGAAAAGUUCUUAUUUAUGGACUAGUAAUUUUAAAUUUAAAAUUUAGACUAUCGCAUGUAUUUAAAAAAAACUAAACAAUUGGCUUAAUUUGAUAUAUUUCCUUUUUUUCCUUUUUGCAUUUUAUGCUGGUUGCCGUUAUUAAGUUUUAUCCUUAUUUUUUGUUGAAAAGAAAAUUGAAAAAAAUAAUAAUAAUUCCUACAGCUAGCAACUUCUCCACCUACAAAAAAUAAUAUUUUUUGUUUUAUCCUCAUGUGAGGCUACAGAAAAUUUUUGAAAACGAAACUGGAUAUUUUAUCUCUAACGACAGCUUUCAUACUUCGUUUACCCUGUGUUUCCAAGUUGUGCUAGCUAUUUGCAAACCUUGGAAUAUUACUUCAUCCAAAUCCCUUGCAGAGAAAAGAAAGAUAUGGCUUUGAUCGGAGAGGCCCUCAUCUCUGCUACCAUCCAGACGUUGUGUGACAAAAUUGCUUCGCCUGAGUUCACCGACUUAUUUCGGCAGAAAAAGCUCGAUGAACAACUCCUCAACAAGCUGAAGACGACGCUGUUGACCUUGUCCGUAGUGCUUAAUGAUGCAGAGGAGAAGCAAAUUGAGGAACCUUUAGUGAGAGACUGGCUUGACAAUCUCAGACAUAAUGUCUUGGCUGCGGAGGACUUACUGGAUGAAAUCGACACUGAAGCUUUGCGAUGCAAACUGGAAGAAGGUGAAGGUCAAACCCACAAUUUAACCAAGAAGGUACGUGAUUUUUAUCAACGCAUGAAUGUUGAGAUGAAAGAUUUAUUAGAAAGAUUAGAACAAUUUGUACAAGAGAAAAGUGCUCUUGGUUUGAGAGAAGGUGCUGGGAGGAAGGUUUCACGAAGAACAACAACUUCCUUGGUUCAUGAACCUUGUGUCUAUGGUAGAGAUGAAGUCAAAGAAAAUCUGUUGCCAAUUUUGUUAUCUGAUGAUGCAAGUAAGGAUGAUGUGUCUGUCCUCACCAUUGUUGGAAUGGGUGGGAUUGGCAAGACAACCCUUGCCCGACUGCUUUAUAAUGACGAUGAGGUGAAAGAACAUUUUCCACUUCACGCUUGGGUUUGUGUUACGGAAGACUAUGAUUCUAAUAGGAUAACUAAAACUCUUCUAGAGUCAGUCACCUCAAAGUCUUCUAAUAUGACAGAUCUAAAUUUACUUCAAGUUGAACUAAAAGAACAACUCAAGGGAAAGAAAUUCUUAUUUGUUUUGGAUGACCUAUGGAAUGAGAAAUAUGGUGAUUGGAAACGCCUCCAAACUCCUUUUACUUCUGGGGCAAGGGGAAGUAAAGUCAUUGUAACAACACGGAGCCAACAUGUAGUAUCUGUCCUGCAAAGUGUUCAUGUUCAUCACUUGGAACCCUUGUCGCACGAAGAUUGCUGGUUCUUACUUGCAAAACAUGCAUUUGGAAAUGAAAAUUGCAGUGAUCCAAACUUGGAAGAAAUUGGCAAGAAAAUUGCACACAAGUUCAAUGGGUUGCCUUUAGCUGCAGAAACACUUGGGGGUUUGUUACGUUGCAAUAUAGAUUCAGAGGAAUGGAAUACAAUACUAAAUAGCAGUAUUUGGGAGCUACCCUAUGAUAAAUGUGACAUUCUUCCGGCUCUUGGGUUGAGUUACCAUUAUCUCUCCUCCCAGUUAAAACGAUGCUUUGUUUAUUGUUCAAUUUUUCCAAAGGAUUAUGAGUUUAAAAAGGAAGAUAUAGUUCAAUUUUGGAUGGCAGAAGGUUUAAUUCCAAAAGCUGAGAAUGGAAAGAGCAUAGAAGCGGUAGCUAGAAAAUACUUUGAUGAGCUGUUGGCACGAUCGCUAUUUCAAAAGUCAAGCAAAUCCGGUUUCACAAUGCAUGAUCUCAUUAAUGACUUGGCCAUGUUCAUGUGUAAGGCAUUUUGCCUUAGGUUGGAAGGGGGGGAAUCACAUGUCGUAGAAAAAGUUCGGCAUUUUUCAUAUGCUAUGGAAAGAUUUGAUGCAGCUCCAAAAUUUGAGCCAUUACAUAGGGCUAAGUUUAUGCGGACCUUUCUACCCAUAUCAUUAAAUUUUGUUUCCACUUCUUAUGUAACUAAAAAGGUUCUACAAGAUUUGUUGCCGUCACUAAGAUGUUUACGGGUGUUAUCAUUGUCACAUUAUCAAAAUGUUACUGUGUUACCUGAUUCUAUUGCAAACCUCAUUCACUUGCGCUACUUGGAUCUUUCCGGUACCGCAAUUGAAAGGUUACCUGGGGUACUUUGCAAUCUCUACAACUUGCAGACAUUACUAUUGUCAAAAUGUUUCUCACUCCUUGAAUUGCCUGCAGACAUUAGAAAAUUGACUAAUUUACAGAAAUUGACAUUGCUCGGUUGUAGUUCUCUUAAUAAAUUGCCUGCAGGCAUGAAGGAGUUGACUAAUUUGCAUCAUCUUGAUGUCAGUGGAACUAAAAUUGAAGAGAUGCCGGUGCAAAUGGGUAGAUUGAAAAGUUUGAGAACAUUGACUGCAUUUGUUGUGGGCAAAUCUACUGGGUUAGGCAUAAGAGAACUGAGGCAGUUCCCGCAACUUCGAGGAAAACUAUCAAUUUUGAAGCUACAAAAUGUAGUUGAUGCGAGGGAUGCACUGCACGCCAAUAUGAAGCACAAGAAAGAUCUCAAGGAGUUAAAGUUUUCAUGGGGUGCGGAGGAUGCUGAUGAUUCCCAAAAGGAGAAAGAUGUACUCGACAAGCUCCAGCCUUGCGUGAAUUUGGAGAAAUUAUCCAUCAAAUUCUAUGGUGGAACCAAUUUUCCGAAUUGGUUAGGAGACUCGUCUUUUUCUAACAUACAAGUCAUGCAUCUCAGUGACUGUAGUUAUUGUUGGUUGCUCCCACCAGUUGGACGGCUACCGGCACUCAAAGAGCUCUGUAUAAAAAGAAUGAAGUCUUUGAGGACGAUUGGCGUUGAAUUCUAUGGCAGAAAUGGAGCUUAUCUGACUCAGCCAUUUCGAUCUCUGGAGAAGCUAGAGUUUAGGGGGAUGCCGGAGUGGGAGGAAUGGGUACCAAGUGGAAGUGCAAGUGGAGGUGAAUAUGGUCCAGACUUUCCUCGUCUCCAAAAGCUGAUUCUAAACGAGUGUCCGAAGCUAAGAGGAAGUUUGCCUUGUGAGUUGCCUUGCUUGAAGAAGCUUACGGUGUAUGGGUGUAAGGUUUUACAUGAUGGAAGGACCGCUACCGCAACUACCAAUAGUGUUAACUAUAAAUCUCUGGAAGAAUUGGAUAUAAGUGGUGGAUGCCAAACUCUGUUAUCAUUAUUAGAGACAAAGCUCCUGUCCCGACUUCGGAUUCGAAAUGUUGUUGACAUACAGUGCUUGCCCAACUGCAAUCGUCUUCAACGUUUGACUCUUUGCCUAACGCUGUCAUCGUUUCCCAAAGAUGGCCUACCCACUACAUUGACAUCACUUUAUAUAAACAAUUGUAGGAAAUUAGAAUUCCUACCUCAUGAGAUGUUGGCCAAAUUAACAUCGCUUGACUAUUUGUGCGUACAAAAUAGCUGUGAUUCAAUGAGGUCCUUCCCGUUGGGCAUUUUUCCCAAAUUGACGACGCUUCAAAUUCGUGGUUGUGAGAAUCUGGAAUCUUUUUCCUUGAUUGAAGAAGAAGGAGCUGUUGACAAUCUCAGCCAUCUCAAUUCCUUGCGUGUCUAUAACUGUCCAAAAAUGGUGUGUUUUCACGAGGGAGAAUUGCCCACUCCCAACCUGAGUCACUUUGUAGUCAUUGGUUGCGAGAAUUUGAAGUCAUUGCCCGAACGCCUUCACACCCUCACUGCCCUUCGAUCUUUGAAUAUAUGGAAUCUUCCGAAUCUGGAGUCAUUUGCAGAAGAUGGGGGUUUGCCUCCCAACCUCCGAUCUUUUAUCAUUAGGAAUUGUAAGAGACUGAGGGCACUUGACUCAGUGGGUUUGCAAGCACUUGUCUACCUUCAGAUCGAUGGAAGUGACCAUGUCUUGGAGACGUUGCUGCUCCCUACCACUCUUCACACUCUCUGCAUCUCUGAUCUAUCAACUCUGAAAUCUUUGGACGGAAAGGGUCUUGGACACCUCACUUCUCUUCAAACUCUAAAAAUUUACAGCUGUCCAAGUCUUCAAUGCCUGCCAGAAGAGGGUUUGCCGCCAUCUCUUUCUCAUCUGAGUAUCCGCUGUUGUCCUACCCUGGAGGAAAGGUAUAAGAAUAAAACGGGACAAGAUUGGGCAAAGAUAUCUCACAUUCCUUGCAUCGAGAUAGGGGAAGAAGUGAUCAUAUAAUAUGAGCUAUUCCAUAUUUCACGCUCAACCCUCAACUCUCAAAUCAAAGUCAGGUGAGGUAUGUGCCUUCUCUUACUUUAAAAAACUGCUUCUCUUCUUCUAAUUGAAUACAAAAACCAAAACACAUAUUCUCUUUCUCUUCCAAAAACCCAAAUACAUGUUGGACAUUGCCCAAAUUUGUCUCCAAAUUCCUAGUUUAAAUCAAAUUUAAUGCCUAUGGAUAGUUUGUUAAUAGGUUCAUGCCAUGAAUUAAUCUUUGGACUUUCCCAGGUACUGCAGGUUUGUUAUUAAUGUUGUGGCCUGAUAUUCGUCGUAUCAAUACGUUGAGGAGAGAGAUCGAUCAGCAAUUACAAAAUUGUUAGUGAAUUUAGCUUGUUUAUCAUCUCUCUCCUUUUGUUUGUUAAGUUUUGUUGUUCUAGGUUAAACCCUUGUCCCCGCAUUUCACAGCAACUCUGUGUUUUUCCACUCUGUUUAGAUUUCACUAGCAGGAGAGCCCGCGCGAUGCUGCGGGUUUUGAAAUUGUGUAGACAAAAUUAGAUUGUUUAUAUAUACAAUGAGAUUUAAUUUAUAACAUUAUGUUUAACUACAGGAGUGUAAGUUGCAAAAAAGUAUAUAAUAACAUAUUUUACAGGCUACUUGUUAUGGUAAAAUACUAUACUUGUUUGUAUAUACAUUGAGAUGUUUAUAGUAGGAAGUAGGCAUCAAAAUAGCAAAAGUUGGAUAGUUUUGUACAGAAUGUUAUUUAAUUGGGCAAGCUUUGUUUUGCACUUGCUUCAUGAUUUUUCUUCUCUUUCAUGGAAGUCUUGAUCCUGUUAUAAAAAAAAGUGAGAAAAUAGUAAAUGUUAAUAUUGAUGAAUGGGGGAAAUUGAGUUAGGACAAUAAUCAUAAACAUUUAAUUAUGUAUAAACAGGAAUAAUAUAAUUUAUUGAUUUAAUAAGAAAGUUAUAAAUAGUUUUUCAAUCUAGGAAAUACAAAGUUACAAAAUUAAGAGAACUAAUGAGCAAGUUGUAGAUGGUUUUCUAAUUGAAGUAAUACAAAGUAAACAUAUUUUAAAUUUUGUGUUUGUCUAAAAGAAAAGUUGAAGAGAGGCAAAAUAAUUAUGGUUGAAUAUAUGGAGAAAAGGAUGUCAAUAUAAUGUUUAGGUUUUUAUGUAUUAGGAAUAUAUGACUUUUUUGCUGUUAUUUAGAGCAAAAAUUAUUUAAGGGCUUGACAUUUCUGUUAAAAAACGGGUAGAAUCUACCCUGAAAAAUGGACAUUUUGCCAAAAAAUUCACCUGUAAACUAAUUAGUACUGAAUACCGAUUGGCGAAGGCAAGACAAUCAUAGUUGUGGAGUACAUAGUUAGAAAGAUGAAUGUGCAAACGUACAUCUAACCCCAUGAUAUACAUCUAACCCCAUGUGAACAUGAUUUAUUCUACAACAAUGAUUAUCAAUUUUCUAAUUGCUCAUUUUCCUAACCCUAAUCAUCACAAACCCAAAAUUAACUCUAAAAAUUUCAAAUAAGCAUGGUUCUAAACCAAUUUCUAACUUACUUAGCGAAGUCUUUUCUAUAAAUGAUAGUUGUUGAAGAAAAAGGGAAACGAAAAUAAGCUUUUAGUGUAUAAGUACAUUGAAGCAAAACAUGAAGAGAAUCCAAUAUAUAACUUCAAUAUAUAACUUUAAUUUUCUAUAAGUGUUGAUCUAAAUUUACAUCCCUUACCACUCUUCAAUUUAAAAAUAGUUUUAGCUACAACAAACAACUUCAGAGAGAAGAUUUGGCCCUGUUUUAUAAGGCAAAACCUCUCUAACCACAUGACAUACAUCUAACUCCAUGUGAACGUGAUUUAUUCUACAACAAUGAUUAUCAAUUUCCUAAUUGCUCAUUUCCCUAACCCUAAUCAUCACAAACCCAAAAUUAAUUCUAAAAAUUUCAAAUAAGCAUGGUACUAAACCAAUUUCCAACUUACUUAGUGAAGUCUUUUAUAUAAAUGAUAGUUGUUAAGGAAAAACGGAAACAAAAAUAAGCUUUUAGUGUAUAUGCACAGCACAGAAAUUGCAUGUAGCUUUCCGAUUUUUAUCCCAACUUCGUUUCUGUGGAAUCACAAAACUACAUACGCACAGCACAGGGAAGGGAAAAAAAAAAAAAGGCACAUUUAAGAGACACCUAUCUUCUCAUUCUACAUCACAUCCUCUUUUCCUAGCUUUCCAACCUUGCAACCAAAGCAAACAUCUUUCCUGAUAAAGGGUAGGAAAGAAAGUGGUUGUGUGAAUUGGGAUGAGAGAGACAGAGACAGAGACAGAGACAGAGAGACAAAGAGAGAGAGAGAAAAGAGAAAUCAAAGUAUAUAUAUAAAUAGUAAGUAUAGUUUAUAUCAUGCAAAGUUUUGAUGGUUUCGUUCAAAAAAAAAACAGGGAAAAAGUUUUGAUGGGUAAUUCUAGUAAUAAUGUUCUUAUAAUUCUAUAUAUAUAUAGAUAUCAAACUGUACUACCAUAUUCUUCCUAUAUAUACACUUGGUCGUCAACUACCUCUCUCUCUCUCUCUCUCUCUCUCUCUCUCUCUCUCUCUCUCUCUCUCUCUCUGUGACCUGCAUUUAUACAGAACCAAUUAUUCCAUCUUCACUAUACAUUUUCCUCAUCUUCCCAUUCAUAUUUUAUGGCUCUCUUGUUCUUCCUCCUAAUUCUUUUGGUCCCUGCAAGCAAUACUAAUUGGCCACCAUCACCUGGCUACUGGCCAAGUUCUAAAUUCAGGUCUAUGAGCUUUUAUAAAGGAUUUAAAACUCUCUGGGGUCCUCAGCAUCAAAGCUUAGACCAACAUGCAUUAACAAUCUGGGUUUAAUGAGGCCAGAAAAUUUUAAGAACUUAUCUACCAAGCAUACCAAACUGACAAAGCAAACCAUAUCUGUAUUUUAUCAUCAAUUUCAUCAAUUUUAUCACCAACAACAGAUAAAAAAAGGGAAUUUUUUCAAAAAAAAAAAAAAGGAAAAAACAUAAAUAAAAAAAGGGGCACAUUUAAGAGAGACCUAUCUUCUCAUUCUACAUCACAUCCUCUUUUCAUUUUGAAGCGGUCAUGUGUUGUGAGUUUCUUGUUUUAUAAAUUUUCAAAACUGUUGUUUAGAACUGCAAAAUUCUUCAUCAUAUAUCUUGCCUUCUAAUAUACAUUCUGUAUCAGGAAACUGGAAUGAGGCUUGCUCUUUGAGGAAGAGAAAUAAAAGAAAAAGUUGUGGCAAAGGUUCACGGAUGUAGUUGGAUUGUAGUGGGACAGAGAACAAAUUUAUUUGUUGCAGGGGAAAAGUCUCAUCCAAAUGCUAUGAAAUCAUGGCAACUUUAAAGUAUUGGACAGCAAUAAUGAAAGAAGAGGGCUAUGUUGGUGACACAGAUUCUUGCUUGCAUGAAUAAGAGGGAGAAAAGCCCCUAUGGUAUUGACUGUUGCCGCCAAGUGCAUAUUGUUAUUACUAUGCGUACUACAUCCCAAGGCCUCUCUCAGCAGGAUUACAAAGUAAACCAGAAUUACUAUCCCAGCAGUAUUCUGCAACUUUGCUCUGCACUUCCUUAUGUAAUCUCUCUCUCUCUCUCUCUCUCUCUCUCUCUCUAUAAAUAUAUAUAUACACACACACACACACACACACAUAUAUCUAGGCAUGCAUAUUUAUGAGUUCCCCAUUGAGGAGGGAUUCCCUUUUGAGGAUUUUAUAAUUAGAAUUAGACUGCCUUCUUAACCAAUAGUUGGGUUUGUGUGGUAAGGUAUGCUGGGUUUGUUGAUGUGGAUAUUUAUGCCUGGAGGUGCUUUGUUUUACUACUUCGUUGAAGUAGAAACAGACACUGACAAAGAAGCCCUUCAUUCUUUGUCUCAAUAGUGAUUGGUUUCUUUGAUCCUAUUCAUCAUAUCUGGUGGUGAGGUUGCCUAAUCAGCCAAAUGUUGGGUUCAACUACCUCUCUCUCUCUCUCUCUCUCUCUCUCUCUCUCUGUCUCUCUCUCUCUUUCUCUCUCUCUCUGUGACCUGCAUUUAUACAGAGCCAAUUAUUCCAUCUUCACUUUACAUUUUCCUCAUCUUCCCAUUCAUAUUUUAUGGCUUUCUUGCUCUUCCUCCUAAUUCUUUUGGUCCCUGCAAGCAAUACUAAUUGGCCACCAUCACCUGGCUACUGGCCAAGUUCUAAAUUGGCCAGAAAAUUUUAAGAACUUAUCUACCAAGCAUACCAAACUGACAAAGCAAACCAUAUCUGUAUUUUAUCAUCAAUUUUAUCGCCAACAACAGAUAAAAAAAGGGAAUUUUUUCAAAAAAAAAAAAAAAAAAGGAAAAAACAUGUUUAGUCUUUGCUUUCCAAUGUUUUAUCCAAAAACCUGAAAAUCAAAGUAACUAAAUAAAUGAACCCAAUCAUUCCUAAUUUCUAUUUUGUCAAAACCUAAUUAAGCUUCACUUCUUUUUUGCUUGUAUUUUAUCAUCAAUUUCAUCUAUUUUAUCACCAAUAGCAGAUAAAAAAAGGAAAUUUUUUCAAUUAAAAAAAAAAAAAACAUACUCAGUCUUUGCUUUCCAAUGUUUUAUCUAAAAACCUAAAAUCAAAGGAAUCAAAUAAAUAGGGUUUAGGGCUCAAGAACCUGAAAUCAAAAGAACCAAAAAAAUGAACACAACUCUACAUAGCACGAAAAAUCUCCCAGCCAACAAUCAAAUUCAUGAAAUAAAUACCAAAAGAUCUGUUAAAAAAUUGAUGAGAUGCAUACCUGAAAACAAAGGAUGCAACAAAGAUGGAAGCCUGAGUCGAAGCAAGAACGAUGGAAGCCUGAGUCGAAGCAAGAAAGAUGGAAGCCUGAGUCGAAGGUUGUAGAAAAGACGAAAUCUCCCGAUCCCAAAUCUGUGACACGAAGACUGAAAGCACGGCUGGAUUUGCAGCUCACCUCCCAAACAAAAAUCGACGGCCUUCAACGCAUCUCCAGCAACGAACACAACUCUUCCAUGGCUGCCCCCCAACCAGCUGGUUGGAAACGAACGGGAGAAAAUGGUUUCUCUCAGCGGACGAAACCAUCUCAACGAAGGGGGAGGGGCAAAAACGGGAACAAAAGAAACUGUUUAGUCAAGGGCAGUUUCGUCAUUUAACUGUGCUGCAGGAAAAAAAACGAAAACAGCAGAAAAAUGAGGGGCAUUUCCGUCAUUACACUGUGCUUAGCUACAGUGUUUAGUUGCAUUGGGUUUUAGUAUAUAUAUAAUUUAUGUUGUGAUUCGACUGCUGCUGUAUUUUAGAUUUAUAGGAACAGACCAAACAUGUUGAUUCUAUCACCAAAAUUAUAAAGUAUACUUCCAUUACAAUUAAUUUGUUGAUUCUAAUUUGGACUUGUAGGAACAGACCAAACAUGUUCAUACGUGGCAUUGCUCAAGUCAUCAUCAUUCGGGACAGAGAAUAAGCCUUCAAAUGUCUGCUGAGUCAAUGAACCUUUCUAGAUAUCUCAAGUGUAAUGGAAAUUGAUGAGUUACAAAGGAUUUGUAAACAUUUUCUACUGGAGGCUAGAAAUGCUUCAAAUAAAUGACUCUGUUGCAAUUAUUUUGUAGGAUCAAAGACUCUGCAAAGAGGUAAGAAAGUCAUCAUCAAGUAACUUCGCUCUUCAUACUUUUUAUUAGGGGUGGGCAUUGGAACCGCAAAACCGCAAAACCGAACCAACCCAAUCCGAAAAAAACCGAAAAAAACCGUGUUGACCGAAAAAGUCAAAAACCGAGACAAAUCCAAACCGAACCGGUUCAGACCGGUUCCGGUUCCGAUUUUCCACCUUAAGGAACCGGUCCAAUCCGAACCGGUCCAAUAUAAUUAAUUUUUAUAUUAUAUUUAUAUUUAUAUUUAAAAUAUCAAAUUUUGUAGGCCCAAACCCAACUAUUUCAUUAUACCAACAAAAAGCCCAAAUCUCCCAAGUCCAUUGCCCAAGUCCAACAAGCCAUAUUUUAAUAUCCUAAUCACAUCAAAUCUCACUUCACUCUCUCUCUCUGACGCACUCUCUCUUUUCCUCUCAGAUUUUUUUUACUCUCUUUUUCUUUCUUUCUUCUCUCUUCCGCCUCUUUUCCUCUAGGUUCUUUAACUUCUUUUUACUUCUUUCUUUCUUCACUCUUCUGCCUCUUUUCCUCAGUUUUUUCUUCUUCUUUCUCUCUUAUUCUUUCUCCUCUCAAUUCGUCUCCAUUUUUUUUCCCUCUCUUUCUCUGAUUUUCUGUUACUCUGAUUUUUUUCUUCUUGGUUUUAUGUUUCUCUCUCUCCCUCUAUAUCUCUUUCUUUGCAACUCUGUUUUUCAAUUUCUCCUUUUUUUUCUCUCUUCAUUUUUUGUUUCUCUGUACAUAUAUGUGUUCAUCUUGUAGAUCUGGGUGAAAUUCUUGUAGAUCUAGGUGAAGUUCUUGGAGAUCUGCGUUAAGUUCUUGUAGAUCUAGGUAAAGAGCCAAUUCAAAGCAGGUCAGCGUCUCUUAUCUCCCCAAUCCCUUGUGAAGAUAUGUAUUUUUUUUGUUGUCAACAAUCCAUUUUGGUGUUUUUAUAUGGUAUUGAUAUUUUCUAUGAUUUUGGGCUGAUUUGAGGUCUGAUUCUUUUUUUUUCUUUCAAUUUUUUCCUGUUGUGUUUUGAUAGACAUGUUCUCUAUUCCUGAUAUCAUUCCUCAGUGGCAAAAUCUUUGAGCGUUGUUGUAAAUUUUAGACGGGAAAGAAGCUCAUUCAUAAUUCAAAAAAAGAAAAUAAAGUUACAACAACUGACAAUUUGUUGCUCUUUGAAAUAGGUACUGAAGUAGCAUGGAUAAAAAGAAAGACUGAAGAUGUUGCAGAAGAUUGAAUAUGUUCUAUUUCUGUAAUUUGUUUGUAAUUAAAUUUGUUUAUUUUGUUUUGUUUUUAGGUUGUAAGUUUUAUUUUAAUGUUUGAUAUUUGUUGUUUUGUCAAAAAAUUGUAUUAAUGCUUGAUGGAUUCAUUCAAUUUGCAGUGCGUGGAUGUGAAUUGGGCCAAUCGGUAAUAAUUAGGCCCAAAAGGUUUUAAAUAUCAAUUGGGCUGAAACUUACAAAAAAAUUUAAGAACAAAAAAAAAAUCAAUUAAGCUGUGUGUCGGCCCAAACCGUAAAAACCGGAACCGAACCGGAUUCAAAUGGGUUCGGGUUGGUCCGGUUUUCUCAAGCAUUUUAGUAAAAAUCCGAACCGGACCGGACCGGUGAACAGUACCGGUUCCGGUUUUAAAUUGAUGCAAAAACCGGUCCAAACCGGACCGUGCCCACCCCUAUUUUUUAUUUUUAUUUUUAAAUAUCAGUAAUAACUGGGAAAGCUUGCAUCUCCUUAAAUUGCUCAUUCUUACAUCUUUUAUAGUUUGUUGAUCUUGGGCAAGUGGAGAGAGAGGCGUCAAGUGAUACGCAACAACCAUUUUCUGUGAGCUGAUUUGAUAAAGAGAAAUGGUAUGCUUUCUUGUCUUAAGCGGUGUGUUCUGCAAUUAUUUGAAACAAAGGAUGCCGCACUUCAAGUUCGAGAAAAUCAGGUAUUUUAGUAUUUUAUUCUUGAGAAAUUUGAUUUAUGUAGAAACUUGAACAUGUAAAUGAGAGAAAAAAAAAUAAAUAUAUAUAUAUAUUAUAUAUUGUAUAUGCUGUUAAUGAGUUAAUAUGGUGCUUGCUCCUAGUUGGAAAUUUAUGUAGUCAUCUACCUAUGAUCAAAUAAAGAUGAAAAAUAAAAUAAAAUUGAGAGCAUCUUCCUCUCCCCUGCUUUGCUCAUCCCUUGUUCUUCCACUUCAGCCCCACUAUUACACCAUUUUUUUCAGCCACAAUUAUAAUAGCUCCAUGAGCAUUAAGUCCCUUUCAAAUUCUGCUGACAUUCAAAAUUGGAAUCUGCUGGUGAUAUAUGAUAGCGUUAACAUAUUGUACCAUUUUGGCCAGUGUACGCAAUAUUAUUGCAUCCAACUUUGCAUAUUAACAUCAGUGGCCACAGUUACACGAUUUGAGUGCACAGAAAGGUUUCAAAAGUUGUCCCACAGAGAACAGUCGUUCAAAGUGAGAGAGUUUUGAAAGCUUAAUUACAAGUUCAUGUUGUUUACAACCUCAAAAAGCUUUCAUACUUGCUUACAAACCUGUAUUUCCAAGUUCUGCAAACCUUGGAAUAUCACUUCAUCCAAAUCCCCUUCCAAAGCAGGAAAAAAUGGCAGCAGCUUUGAUUGGAGAGGCUCUCAUCUCUGCUUCUAUCGAGGUGUUGUGUGACAGAGUUACUUCAGCCGAGUUCAUAGACUUAUUUCAGCAGAAGAAACUUGAUGAAACACUCCUCAUGAACCUGAAGACGACACUGUUGAUUUUGUUUGCGGCGCUCAAUGAUGCAGAGGAGAAGCAAAUUGUGAACCCUGCUGUGAUAGAGUGGCUUAACAGCUCAAGCAUGCUGUCUUUGAUGCAGAGGACUUACUUGAUGAGAUUGACACUGAAGCUUUGCGAUGCAAGCUGGAAGGUGAGGAUCAAACCCACAAUAAUUAACCAACAAGGAUCUUUUUGAUUGUUUGAAAGGAGGGUCUUUGAUGAUUUGAAAGGAGAGGGUUGCUUCAUUUCUGUUGGAUGCUUAAUUAAAUCUUAUCUGGACUUGAACAAGGAUUAGGUUAGCUGUAUAAUUCGUGGUAAACACCUUUUUCUAAGGUUCAUUUAGACUCCUAUUACGAUUAAUUUGUUGUUUCUAAUUUGGACUUGUAGGAACAGACCAAAUAUGUUCACACGUGGCAUCGUUCAAGUCAUCAUCAUUUCAGACAAAAUCAGCCUUCAAGUGUCUGCUGACUCAAUGAACCUUUCUAGAUAUAUCAAGUGCAAUGGAAAUUCAAGAGUUACAUAGAGAUUUGUAAACAUUUUGAAGAUUGCAACACCUGCAAGUGAGAUAGGUGGUGACGAAAUCAGAGCUGAUCUUGAAGCCUCUGAUGCCCCUGUCGUUGCAAGUUGCACCUGAGAACAUGGUUUUUUUUUGGGUAAAAAACCAGCAACAUGUUCGGGGCUGGCAAUUCAAUCCCUGAUGAACUUGAGAAGCAAAGCUCCAGUAAGGAAAUUGGUCGAGGUCACGACAGGGAUAAUUGAUGGUGAAAUGGAUGCUAUUUCUUAUUGCAGCCUGUUCUCAAAGUUCUUGUUGGCAAAAGCAAGAGAUGGAGUAUUUUGAUUGGGAGGAGAGAUAAUGACAUGUGUUGACAAUUCUAGAACAGCCCAUCUGAGUUCUUUUGUCAGGCUGCAUCAUUUAAUCCCAGCAAAAAUCCAGUUUUUGCUAAACAAUCAAAUUGUACACAUUUUUUCUUUUCGAGGAAUUUAACAUUACACAUUUUUUCAUUUUUUCAUCAAACAGUUUUCUAAUGCAUUUGUUGUCCCAAGUUACAAUGAGGAAUUUGGAUUGAGUUUCUUGUGUUAAUAACAUUAUACUUUCAUGGAAUGGUUUAUCUUCUUUUUCUGGACAAAAAUAUUUAGAUUAAUUUCUUGGAAUAAUUUUUUAAUAAUUUUUUAAUUGCAGUAGCGAAAAAAGGAAAAUUGUAUUUUUCAAAACCAAUCUUAAGUCCAGUUUCCUCUUCUUGGUCGUCACACUUGGAAAUUGCUAACCAUAUAUAACUUGGGGUAACAAUCUUAGUCCGAAUGUGUACGAUCUUAGUCCGAUCAAUGGCUACGCGUAUUGGCUCGGCCUUGGGGUCUACCAUUCCAGUGUACAAGCUUCCUGGGUCUUGGGGCAAUUCCUUCAAAUUGUACACAUGUUUUCUUUGAGAAGCAAGGCUCUAGUAAGGAAAUUGGUUAUGUAACAAAUUUUGGUCCCUUUGGAUGGAAUGAUUUACAAUGAGGAAUUUUAUUAUUAUUAUUUUGUUUUUGUUGUUAGUGUAAUGAAAAUGAUCUAGGUUCAUACACUGGGUAUAGCUCUAAUUUGGCCAAUUUCAUUAUUUUAGUUUCUUCAUAUUUUCAAUUAUUAUAAUUUGGUGCGUUGUUUUUUAAAAACAUUCAUGAGAAUCUCCAUUUUUUAGGUGUUUAAGUUAUUCAUCCACAACGGUUUUAUAAUACCGUCAUCUUUUCAAACACAACGAUGAUUUUUUAAUCUAUCGUCGUUGUUUUCUGAUCGUCUUUUUCACUUUUUGUAGUAGUGUCAAUAAGUAAGAUGAAAUAAUACAUUCACAAUCUGUUUAAAUUUUAAAUUAAAAAAAACACAAGAAAAUUUUAAAUAAGUAAGUAAUUUUAAAUAUAUAUUUCCAUUGUUUUGGUUUUCUUUUCAUAUUAGUUUUCUACUAGCUGCUAAUUUCAUUUAAAUUGUUUUUCUUACUUCAUUUAACUUUUAAGCAUGCAGAUGCAAUCAUGACUUCUUCUUUUUUUCAAUAGACUGAUUCUCUUCCCACAUAUAUAAUGCUCUCUAAGUAUUCGUAAUAUGAGUAGGAAUUUAUUUUCAUUUCACAAGAAUUGUCCAUCAAAUUCUGAUAGGUUUGUCGAUAGCACAAGCAUGCACAUAUAGACACUACAAGAACUUUGUUUCUUCAUUUUGUUUCCUAAAGAUUUGUUGGCUUCGUGCAGAUGAAUAACAAGUCUCUCUGUCCUCUAUUUCUUCUUUUUCUUUUUUAACAAUUCAUAUUCUACUUUCUGUUUUCACCCAGUAAAAAUUGAUUUUAGACAUGGGCUUCUAAAUUAUGUGCGGAUAAUGGUUGCAUUUAUAGAAUAUCCAUGGGCUUCUAGUCACCGUGGUUGUUGAUUCAGCAUGUCAUAUUACUCUUGGACUAGCUGUUGACACUACUACAUUUUACACUUUGCGCGACGAAGAACAAAACGUCGCGCAAAGUCGCAUUUAGUCGCCCCAAUUUCAGCGCGACAAAAACGUCGUCGCGCAUAUUCCGUCGCGCGAAGAUCGUGAAGAAAGCCUUUGCACGACGAGGUACAACCCUUCGUCGCGCAAAAGUGUGCGACGGGUAAACCAUCGUUGCACCAACGGUGUGGAGACGAAACAACCCUUCGUCGCAAAAAUAUUUGCGCGACGAUAAAUUAUGCGGCGCACGUAUAUUUGCGAGACGACGGGAAUUGCGCGACAAAACAUUAUUCGUCGCGCAAAAUAUGUAUGGGAGACGUAUAUGUUCGUCGCAGAACAAUUCGCGCGAUGAGAAAGUUUUCGUCGCACAUAUAAUUGCGCGACGAAAAAUUAUGUCGUCGGCCAAAUAUUUUGCGCGACGAAACAUUUCGUCGCGCAAAACGUGUUAUGUGUUCGUCGCGCAUGAAUUAAAAGUGAUAAAAAAAUAUUUGAUUUUUUUUUGUUACAUGUUGGUUUGCGCGACGAAAGAUUUUCCGUCGCGCAAAAAUAAUAUUACAAUUUUUUUUUUAUUUAUAUUUUUUAUUUGAUAUAAAAUUGGUUUCUUUUUAUUGAUUAAACAAUGAAAUUGCAAUAAAAAUAAAUUAGAAUAAAAUUUUGUUAUAAAAUAAAAUAAAAUAAAUGUAUUACAAAUAAAAUAAAUACACUAAUCAAAUAAUGAAUCAAAAUCAACCGAGUCGUCGCCAGUAUGCGGCUCGGAGGGCGGGGCGUUCACCGGGGCAGUGGUCUGGUGGGGAUGCCCGGGAUGGACGGGCUCAGAGGUCGGCGCAUCAAAAUGCGGGACUGGAAUGCCGGACUGUGCGAGGGACUGCAGAAUGACCGACAUCUGGCUCUGAAGAGUGGCCACCUGUGCUGUCAAAGCAGUGACCUGACUGUUUGACUGCGCCGAUGAACGAGGUCGAGGUUCCCUCCGCCGGGCAUUCCCCAUCCCUCGACAAUAUGUCCCCGGCCUCCUCCCGAGAGUCUGAUCCAACGUCUCCGUCAAUAUCUGAAAUCCAGCAUCCUGUGGAGGAGCCACAGACUCGAUCGGAGUCUCGGGAGGAAGCUGGGAGGCGGACUCCUGAAGAACAAGCUGGCUCCUCUCCACCAUCGUCGUCUGUUGAACAUAACAUAAAAUAUAAAUUAAAACAUGCAUAUAAAUUGAAUGCGUAACAUAAGAAUUAAAAUUAAAUAAUACUUACAUGAAGGGACUCGGCCAACUCAUUCCCGGGUCGAACAUAAACGUCACCAAAGACGUCGAUCUCUGGGAACUUGGACCCCUCCUAAAUUGAACAAGAGAAGAAAAAUAUUAGUAUGAAAAAAAUAAAUUAAUAAAAAUGACAUUAAAAAUGAAAUAAAAAUUUUGUGAUUAUUACCCGACGCCGUGCAUCCAUCCUAUAAGAAAAGGGUCUGGAGCCGGAAUGGUGGAGAAGGGUCUUCUUCUUCCUAUUACCCUUAUUCACUUGGGCUUUAUUCUGUUAUACAAAAAAUGAAACGUAUUAGUUAAAAUAUAAAAAAUUAAAUAAUAAUGAAAUAAAAAAAUAAAAUAAACAUUAAUAAGUAAUAAGUAAUAAUUAAACAAAUAUAAUUAAAAAAAUACCGCAAAUUCGGGCGCUUGAAAAUGAGCGCAGAGCCACUCCCAACUAUCCUCCCGCCCCUCAAGCUCCUUCGGGCAACCCUCCUGAAGAGCGACUUGCGGAUCAUCAUAGGCCUGAAAAUGGUGGUGCAAGUCGCUCUUCCACUGCUUGUACCUCUCAGCGAAGAGUCGGUUGACGUACGUCAACGACUCUUCGUCGAGAUCCUCCAAGUUAUAGUUCGUCUGCAAUCAAUUAAUUAGAUACGUUAAGUAAUAGAAAUAUACACAAUUUUAAAGAAAAAUAAUGAAAAUGUAAGGUACAUACCGACAACUGGCCGUGAAUCUCCGCCUGGAUCUCGUCAGGCAUGACCCUCCAAGACUUCCAUUGCAUCGGGCAAUGGGUCCGCACGACGUGGCCAAUGUCGUGGGCCAAGGAGCUAUGCAACUUCGCCGUCGGUGCAGCACGAUGGCGCUCGUCGUAUCCGAUGCUGAUACGACUGUUGGUCACCCGGGUGACCUUCGCCGUCUUCAGCUGACGACACGGUCCUCGGGUGUUCCUCUUCGCUGCAAAGAAAUAAGGUAUUAAUGUUAAAUAAAAAAACAUUGUCAAAUUUCAAUAUAAAAUUAACAAUACAAAAGUGUAGUUAUACCUGGCUGUGAUCCCGAGGCACCAGUACCGUCGGUCGAUGUCGUGUCGAUGGUGUCGGUGGGCCGGUGCCGCCGCCUAGCACUAGCUGGUUGCGCCACGGAUGACGCAGAUGACACAGGCGCCUGGGGCGCCCCGGGACCAACCACCACGUGGUCCAACAAAGCAGGAGCAGUGGCAGCAGAUGCCGACUGAGCCAGGGGAUCCGAACUCGGUGCAGUCGUCAUCGACCUACCACGUCUAAUCAAGUCUGACAUCUGCACAUAUAAUUUCAUUCAGAAUGUAAACUAAUUAAUUAAAAGCAUAGCCUGACCUAGGGUUUGGAAUUUCGGAGUAUCCGGGACUCCGAUCAACGAUCGGUCGAAUCCUAAACGAUCCUAGAAACACAAAGGUACAACUACGCGAGUUUCAGUUCGAUCCAACGGUCCGAACAUAUCAAACCUGGAAAUCGCACAAUAGGCGAAAUUCGAUCAAGACUCAAACGGUAACCAAAUUCAAAUCCGAGCAAACCUACGCGCUCGUGACAAACAGGGGAUCGCUCUGGGACACAAUGCCCCACUGCCACAGCAUCCCACGCGCCGGCAGCGCGUGGGUGUCCAAAGCGAUAACAUUCGCCGGAAAAUUCUAAAAACUAACGGCCAAGGUUCCUACCCUAGGUUGAAAACAAUAUUUGGCGCCACUUUUGUUCUCGGACCUACCCCGAAAAAUGGCCGGAAGUGGCCGGAUUUGAAAUUGCCAAACCGGCCAAAACCUAGGGUUUUAAUUCCUAUUUCCUAUACCCAUCAGCUAGAGCACAAAAAAUAGUCGAGAAAUCAUACCUCAGGCGUCGGAAAUGGUGGCCGGAGGAGAGAGAAAACGGCCGGCGAGGAAUCGGUGAAAAACCGACGAUGUGCGACGGCAGGCUCGACGGCGAAGGCAGGGGAGGCUAUGGCAGGAGCGGCGGUGGCUGAGGUGACGGCGGAGAGAGAGGGCUGAGGUGACGGCGGAGAGAGAGGCAAACGGAGGAAAAAACCAGAAAUGGGGAAGAAGGAGGCAUCGCGACGUUUCUGCAAAUUUUUACGACUUUGCGCGACGAAUCACAUCAUUCGUCGCGCAAAAUGCUAUUAAUGAAUCUUGCGCGACGCUAUAUCCGUCGCGCAAGAUCUGUCAGAACGCCAAAUUCUGAAAGUGGAUUAGGGUCUGUAAGUUUUGCGCGACGAAAUAGACAUACUUCGUCGCGCAAAAGGCUGUCUUUCCGCCAAAAUUUUGGGAUUUAGGGUUUAGCGGGAGGCUGAAACUGAAGGGUUUGCGCUUUUGCGCGACGAAGACGGUAAACGUCGCGCAAUGGUAACCUUGCGCGACGGAACGUAUUAUAUUCGUCGCGCAAAAGGCUAUCUUUCCGCCCAAAUUUUGGGAUUCAGGGUUUAGCGGGAGGCUGAAGGGUUUGCGCUUUUGCGCGACGAAGACACUAAACGUCGCACAAAAGGCUGUCUGCUGAAAUGAAUGGUUUCUGCUUUUGCGCGACGAAGACAAUAAACGUCGCGCAAAACGUUGUCGUUCCGCCAACAAUUUGGGGUUUAGGGUUUAGUGUGAAAACUGGCGCCCAGAUUGCGCGACGAAGAGUACAUAUUUCCUUCGCGCAAUCUAUUUCACUUUCACUUUGCGCGACGGAUAUGUUGGUUCGUCGCGCAAUCUUCAAGAUUUUCAUUGAAAUUUUCACUAAGUGUUCAAAGGGGAUGGAGGUGUGAAAACUGGCGCCCAGAUUGCGCGACGAAGAGUACAUAUUUCCGUCGCACAAUCUAAUUCACUUUCACUUUGCGCGACGGUUAAAUUGUUCGUCGCGCAAAAUGUAGACCCUAAACCCCCUUGUAAACCCUAAACCCUGAACCCUAAGCCAUAAACCCUAAACCCUAAAAUAGUUUCAAUGAUCCAACCGGCAAACUUAUUGUUUGAAACUUGGAGAUCAUAUACGCCAAAAAUCAAGAAGACCAAACAUUCAGAUAUCAGGGAACGGGACUAAAUAUUUCGACGGUUAUAAAUGAAAAGUCAUGAUUUAACGGUUAUUGUAACUCCGAUUUUGAUCAAUUUUGACAGCAGCAUUUGUUGACCCUAUAUGAAUACAAUGACUGAAUUUGAUCUUCAAUUUCAGAUUUUUACACUAGGGGAUACCACAUAAACGUGAAGUUACAUUUGCACAAAUGUAUAAACAAAUUUUAGGGUUUUUGGUGAAUAUAUGAUUUUGAUAGCACAUGCAGUCUACGAAACAAGUUUCAGUCAUCCAGCCGUCAAACUUGUUUUUUUAGACUUCGAGAUCAUAGACAGCAAAAAUCGGACAAAAAAAACAUUCAGAGAUUAAGCAACGGGGUAAAACUUUUCGACGGUUCUAAAUAAAAAGUGAUGAUUGAACGGUUAAUUUAACUCCGAUGUUGAUGAUUUUUUGCAGCUACAGUCCUACACUCCAUAUGAAUACAAUGAACUACUUCGAUCGCCAAUUUUAAAUAUAUAUGUGUGUAUAUAUUAUACUAUAACGUUACCUAAUAUAUAUUUGCGCGACGAAAGUUUGCUUAUCGUCGCGCAAAAAUGCCAUACGCGACGCAUGUAUAUAUGCGUCGCGGAAACUAUGCGCGACCAGUUGUAUUCGUUGCGCAAACAUUACGCGACGCUUAUGUAUGCGUCGCGUAUGGUAUGUUUGCGCGACGAUAUGGAGCCCUUCGUCGCGCAUGGAUUUGGCGCCAUAAAUCCUCAUUGAUUUCAAAUUGUGUAUGCUUUGUAUUUUUUAGAAAGGUUUUGUAUUCAUCAUUUUUUAUGCUUUGUAUUUUGUGGAAAGGCUUUGAAAUAUUCAUUUCUUUUGUUAUUUUUAUUGAAGCUUUAACUUGUUCUGUUCCGCAGAAAAUUCCAAUGAAGUUUGUGAUGAAAUAUGGAGAAUGAAUACACAACUACAUAUGGACAACUACACAUAUUCAAAGAUUUGUAUUACACAAAAUUAAUACACUAACAUAAUAAAUUUACAAAUAAAUUCAUUAUUCAUCAUCUGAACUAUAAUAACUUUCGUUAUCGUCGCUAGCUUUAACUUGUUCUGUUCCGCAGAAAAUUCCAAUGAAGUUUGUGAUGAAAUCUGGAGAAUGAAUACACAACUACAUAUAGACAACUACACAUAUUCAAAGAUUUGUAUUACACAAAAUUAAUACACUACAUAAUAAAUUACAAAUAAAUUCAUUAUUCAUCAUCUGAACUAUAAUAACUUUCGUAUCGUCGCUAUCAUCACUCUCGGUCUCCCAAUCUUCUUCCUCCUCCUCCUCUAUAACUGCAUCAUCGGCGUUGCUAGGGCCCACUGCAACAUCGUAUCGGGGAAGAUCACCGAGGUCAAUUGUAAUUGACUGAAUCGGUAUUUCGACUGAAGACACUCCUUCUAUUUGAAACGGUUCUUGUAUAACAUUUGUAUCUCGAAGUGUUUCCGCAUCAUUUUCCAUUGAAGAUUCUAAACGAUGGUCAGCCACAUUGUCGACGUCGUUGUCACUUGGGUCUAGUUCUGGUAUAUUAUACACGUUCCUAUGAUCCAUCUUCUGCACAACUUUCCACCCGUUCCCGGCUUUAGGGUCAUCUAGAUACACAAUUUGGGACGCCAUGUUUGCCAAAAUGUACGGGUCGUCAUCAUACCAAGUUCUGUUAAUAUUCACAGACAGUACUCCAUGGUCGAUUUUAACACUUCCCGCCCUAUUUGGGUUGGUAUCGAACCAUCGACACUUAAACAUGAUGACUUGGUAUCGAUCUUUGUAAAGCAAUUGCACGACAGUUGUCAGUUUGCCAUAGAAAUCAAUGUCUGUACUUUCGCCUCCACCUGGGACAUGAACACCGCUAUUUUGCGUACACAACUUGUCAUCUCGUGCGGCCCCUAAAAAUUUGACGCCGUUAACAUUACAACCCGAGAACAAUUCAGCGCGAAUUGGGCCGAACGCCAAGUUAUAUAACUCAUCACUGUAAGUGGGGGAAUUCGAUGAUUUCAAUUUAUUCACCUAAUAGUAUACAAAACCAUUUACAUGUUAGUCUGACAAAAUUAAAUACUAAAAUUUAUAUUUGUCAAUUACAAAACACUUAUAACUUACAGAAUCCAAAAACCAUUGUGGAAAUAAUUCACGGUGUUUCCGGGCAACCAAAUGUGAUGGAUGUUCUCGCUUCAUCAUCUGUUCAUGCUCAUCUAAGUAGGCCAUUAUCUCAUCACAAUUGUUCAGUACGAACCAAUGCGCUACCUCCAUGUCAUUUCUAGAAAACGACUCUCCUCGUCCAGGAUCUCCAAAUGGUCGUGCGCUUUGGGCAAAAACAGAAAGUUUUUCAUUUCUCAUACCUCCGUCAUUAUUGCGGUGAGGACGAUUGAAAACCGUCUCCACAUCUUUUAAAUACAUUCCACAGAAAGUAAGCGACUCAUAUUGAACCCAAGCCUCUAUAAUUGAUCCUUCGGGCUUUGCCCUGUUGCGUACACUUUUUUUCAGCUCUCCGAGAAGCCUGCCAAAAUAAAACGAUAUGAUACAAAUUAGCAAAGUGUCGAUAAUGAUGCAUACACAAAUGAUAAAGAUUAUAUACCUUUCUAUUGGAUACAUCCAGCGAUAGUUGACAGGACCAGCAAGCAAUGCCUCUUCUGGCAAGUGAACCAUCACGUGCAUCAUACUUAUAAAGAAAGCUGGAGGAAAUAUCAUCUCAAACUUGCAUAGGACUUGGACAAUGUCAUGGCGCAACUGAAACAUGUCUGUCCUUCGCAAUGUUUUUGCCGUCAGUUGGGAAAAAAAUCUGGAUAACAACAUGAUUGGCUUCACCACAUCUUCCGGCAGUAAGUGUCGAAUACCCACAGGAAGUAGGCGUUGCAUGAACACAUGGCAGUCAUGGCUCUUAAGUCCAGUAAAUUUACCCCCAUCGACAUUCACGCAACGUGCGAUAUUAGAAGCAUACCCAUCGGGAAAUUUGACAGACGAUACAAACUUUAGAAACUCCUUUUUGUCAUUCGGUUUCAUAGAAAAGAAUGCAAGAUCCCUUCUAGCUUUAUCACUGUCCCUAUUCAUCCAUAAACCCCUUCGUAUGCCCAUUCUUUCCAAAUCAAGACGAGCUUUGAUCGUGUCCUUCGUCUUCCCCUCGAUAUCUAGAAUCGUGCCCACCAAUGUGUCGAAAACAUUUUUCUCAACAUGCAUCACAUCUAGAUUGUGCCUCAAUUUCAGUUUCGACCAAUAUGGGCGCUCAAAAAACAUAGACUUGUGCGUCCAGUUCAAAUGUGUAGAAGGUCGGGUCCGACUAACUGUUUUCCCGAACGGAGCAAAAUCCAAACGGUUCAGCUGUUCCAAGAUCUCAUCACCGGACCAUUCUCUAGGUCUGAGGCGACGCUCUGUGUUCCCGUCGAACUCUUUAUCUUUUUCUCGCCACUCGUGGUCCCAUGGCAACCAUCUCCGAUGACCAAGGUAACAAACUUUUCCCGCGUGCCAACCAGAAGUUACAUCUUCCUUGCAUACAGGACAUGCCAUAUAACCCUUUGUGCUCCACCCAGAAACCAUUGCAUAUGCUGGAAAAUCAUUCACAGUCCACAUAACUGCUGCUCGCAAAGUGAACAUCCUCCCAGUUGAUUUAUCGUACGUGCGAACACCGUUUGUCCAUAAAUCCUUCAGCUCAUCAACCAGAGGCCUUAAGUACACAUCAAUUGACCUGCCAGGAUCCUCAGUUAUCAAAACAGUCAUCAUCAUGUAUUCUUUUUUCAUGCAUUUCCAAGGCGGCAAAUUAUAUGGGAAUGCGAAAAUCGGCCAAGUGCUGUGGUGUUGGUUUAGAACCCCAUACGGAUUGAAUCCGUCAGUGGCAAGUCCCAAUCUAACAUUUCGGGGAUCAGCAGCAAAUUCGGGGAACGUUCGAUCGAACUCUUUCCAUGCCUCCCCAUCUGCAGGAUGCCGCAUCACAUCAUCGUCUACCCGUUUUUCCUUAUGCCAUCUCAUGUCUGUGGCAGUAUGCGUUGACAUAUACAAUCGCUGCAACCUAGGUUUAAGGGGCAGAUAACGCAUGACUUUUUGUGGUAUCUUAGUCGUUCUAUUCUGGGAUGUCAGUUUGAACCUCGACUCAUUGCAUAUAGGGCAUGUAUCCAACGUUUCAUGCUCUUUGUAGAAUAACAUGCAAUUGUUUUUGCAAGCGUGGAUUUUUUCAUAACCCAAUCCAAGACCGUGCAACACCUUCUGUGCAUGUUUAUGGUCUUUCGGCAAACAAUUGUCCGUCGGAAGCAUUCUCUUGAAAACCCCCAAAAAGUAAUCAAAACACAAGUUCGACAUACGAUACUUUAUUUUUCCGUGCAUUAGCUCCACAAUGGCAGUGAGAACGGAAAACCUCUCGCACCCCGGGUAUAACUCUUGGUUGGCAUUUUUUAACAGUUUUUCAUACUGUUCAAACUCCGCACUGUCUAUUGGUGUAGGCACGUCAUCUUCCCCUUCCUGAUUGAUGUUGGUCGAUGCGAAUGGAAAAGCAUCCUGUAUAAUACCCAUGACUUGAUCAUUAGGAUCCACAAUAGGUUCAACAUUGUCCACUCUCGGGGCAUUUGAAGACGAAGCAUGGUCUACUUGUUCGCCGUGAAGGUUCCAAAUGCUAUAUGUUUCAAUCAUUCCAUUCCUUACUAAAUGAAAUCCAACAUUUUCAAUUGUCUCCCACAACGUGUUGUUACACCUCCUACAAGGACAACGGAUUCUAGUUGCACCCGGGUUGUGUCUACGUGCAAACUCAAUAAAAUCCUCGAUUCCAUCCAAGUAUUCGUCUGCGCAUCUAUUCGGGUUCUGUAUCCACCUUCUGCUCAUAAUUCCUGAAACCACAAUCACGACACAACAAUCACAACAACUUCAUACGAAGUUAUAAUGUCACCUUAUGCCUCCGGUAAGGGCCCUAUCCCAUUCGGGAAUGCAUAGUCCUGUCACGUAACCUACGGCUACAUGAGAUUAGAUUUCGACGUGGAUUAAUUUCAGCAGCAUCUCGACACAGUUCUUGAAGUGGGCAUAGGUAUAAAUACCUACGUACCACCCGAAGAACGUACCGAGAUGACACCGAAAUCUCCACAAUCGAAACCUAAUCCUGUAGCCGAAGAUUAUGUGACAACACUAUGCAUUACCAAACUGUCCAAAUAAUGGGACAAUUCAAGAAUUAAUUGGACCGCAGUCAUGCAUUACGCAUCCAUGCACGAAAUUCAACUAAUCUCGAACGGGAAACUACGUGUUACUAAACAUAAAAAUAAAAGUACGAAGUUAAUUUCAAUUAACUUCGUACAUCACAACACAUUGUGCUAUGUCACGCACAAUUUCACAACAUUAUACACAUAUAACUUCACAAAAAAAUUACAAACAUAACAAACAAACUUUUACAAUAACAUACCUUCUCAAUCGUUCUCCACCAAUCACAAAUAUCCCUAACGAUAACAAAAUUAAUAGCGUUACUACGAAUUUACAUUAAUACAUUUAAACUAACGACAAAAAAUACAUACCCAAUGAACGUACUGAAUUCACAGUAGAGCAACGGCAGAGAGAGUGAGAGAGAGGUAGAAUGCAGUGGGAGAGUGAGAGAGAGGCAGAAUGCAGAAACUGCAUUCUGCCUCUGCAAUGGAACUGGCUAAAAUGAAGAAGAAGGACUUUGCGCGACUAACAAUCCAAUCCGUCGCGCAAAAUGCCGUCGCGAAAACCCACUUUUCCGUCGCACAAAAAAACAUUUCCGUCGCGCAAUUACCUGCCGACAUCAGGUUUUUUGCGCGACGAAUACAAUUAUCCGUCGCACAAACAUCCGUCGCGCAAAUAACAUUAUUCGUCGCGCAAGGUUUAUAUUACGUCGCGCAAAUAACACUUAUUUCGUCGCGCAAGAAAUUACACUUUACGCGACGAAGGUAAUUCCGUCGCGCAAAAAAGUUUUUUCCACCCUGCAUUUUGCCGCCAAAAUUAAGUAACCCUCGUUUUCUUACGCGACGGUACAUAUUUCCGUCGCGCUAAGGCGUCUUUUGCGACGAAAAUGUUCGUCGCGCAAGAUUCUGGCGCCAAAAACAUAAACUGGGGAUUUUUCCCCGACCUUUGCUCGACGAAAUUAGUUUUGGUCGCGCAUAGAUUGUUUGCGCAACGAAGAUUGUUCGUCGCGCUAGUGUUCUGCUGUUUGCGCUACGGUAUUUUUUUUUCGUCGCAAUAGUGAUUUUUGCGCGACGAAAAUAUAUUCGUCGCGCAAACGUCCGUCGCGCAAAUAGUAAAUCGUAGUAGUGUGAUUUGGUUUAGACUUGGUUUAAUUAUCAUUGUUGUGGUUGGUUCACCAAAAAGAUUUGGCUUAGAAUUACCAGUUUUGUUGUUGGUUUAGUUAUGCUUGGCAUUUGAGGAUCCUAUGCUUACUUGUAUGGGUAAUACAUUUUAUUGAUCGUUUCAUAUACUAAUUAUGAACUUUUAGUUCCAUUGUGCAUUUAAGAGUACACAUAUUUCAUAUGUAAUUCGAAAGUUUGUCGCUGAAAUUUCUGAGAAUUUGAAACUAGAUAAGCACACCUUGCACAAAGUUCAUAUAUUUUCUUCCAGCAAGUCUGUCUAUUAACCCCCCUUAUCUGAAAUUAAUUGUUAAAAGUUCUGAUUCAUCUUUAAUCAUUGUCUUACCCUUGUUGAAUAACACUCCUCAUUCUAAUUUAUAUUCGAAGUUUGAGGUUUCAAUUUCAAUUGUGGGCUUUGAUUUUACAGAUUUUGUUUGUCAAUUUCAAUUUGGACAAAGCAUAUGCAAACAAAGUAAGGCAUUAUCUAUUAUUUGGAUCAUUUCCAUAUGUUUAUAUGUUUUUAAUAUCAUUUGCCUAUGUAGUUGACAUGUUAUAACAUUUUCGUAGUGUUGAAUAUAUAUAUAUAAUAAUUUUAUUUUAGUGGAUGUGAGAUCUCAGUUUGUUGCUUUAUAUAAUUAUUUCUUUGCAAUUUAAUUUUUUUUAUCAGUCAUACUAUUGUUGACGGCUAAAAACCAUCAAGAAACAACUCUUAAGUUUUUUAAAAAAUAAAUAAAUAAAUAAAGAUUUGUUGAUGCUUAAAAAGCAUCAAGAAAAGAUAGUUUCUUGACGGUUUUGUGACGUUUCAUAACCGUCAUGAAACAUUACAUUUUGACGAACGUCUUUCUGAUAGUGGCAUCCGUGACGCUUUCCGAGCCAUCAAUUAAGGGCUAUCGUGAUGCUUUUUAGUUGUCAGCAAAAGGUGUUUUUCUUGUACUGUAUUCACUCAAAAUCGUUUUUCAUUUAGGGUUGCUAGUGUGGUUGAAUGCCAUUUGUUUUGUUAAUGAAUAUUAUACAUUAUGGAUUUUUGUAGAAAUGUCGCUUGAAAUUAUACCUCAGUUUCAAUUUGUCACCUUAAAGAAAAAUUUAAGAGAAAUGUCACCUUAAUUUUUCAAAAUCCACGAUUUGUCAUCUCACUUUAACAUCAUCCAAUUUUCCAUCUAUUUUAAGGGUAUUUUAGUCUUUUCAUUUUCAAGGGAAAAAAAGAGAGGAAGAAAAAGACCUCUCUCUUACUUUCUCCCCCAACCCAACCCCACCCGCCCCCCAAAACACAUCGCAUAGGACCGCCUCCCCCUUCCCCACAUUUCUUUUUUCUUUUUGGCCUACUUUUCCACUAUGUUUAUGUUGAAGGAUCUAAAGUUUUCUUGGUCACCAUCUAUUACGUAGGCUACCGACUUGUUGGUUUGGGUGGGUUGAGGGAAUUUGUGUGUGGAGGGCAGGUGUUCAUGUUGUGUGCACCAAGACCUUAUCGUUGAUGAACUAUGUGACGGCACACACACAAACUCGUUGAGAAUAAAACAAACAUACCACCAAGAGAGUAAAACAAACACACAAGGACACAAAGAUUUAUAGAGGUUCGGCCUCCUGCCUACGUCUUUUUGGUGAUUCACUCGAGAAAUUCACUAGUAUGUAAAAAUAACUUUGGUUACAACUGAACCCCCUUAGCCCUCACAAGAACCUUAGAUCUCUUUUCUCUCACCCUUGCUCAAACCCUUUGAUGCCCUUGUAGACACUCAAGAAUUCACCCUUGAAUUCUAUCUUGUGUUACAUCUUCUCUUCUCCCUUUUGUUAACCUAACCCUAAAAGUCCUAUUUAUAAUGCAUAGGACUUAAGUUACAAGUUAACUUGGAAUAGGAAACAUAAAAUACCCCAAAAAUUGGAGAAAAUCUGUCCAAAUCUAGCCUGCAAAAUCAUCCUUCUGCCGCUCGAGCUGCCGGUGGCGCUCAUGGGAUGGGGGAAUUGGAGAUUUUCUUUUCAAUUUUAAUUGUUUAAAAGAUAUACAAUUUUUUAUUAUAAUAAUUUUUCCAUUUUUAAAAUACACUUGAAAAUAGAAAGCUUAAAAUGCCCUUAAAAAUAGAUGGAAAAUUGGAUGGUGUUAAAGUCAGAUGACAAAUCAUGGAUUUUGAAAAAUUAAGGUGACAUUUCUCUGAAAUUUUUCUUUUAAAAGUGACAAAUUGAAACUGAGGUAUAAGUUCAGGCGACAUUUCUACAAAAAUCCCUAUACAUUACAAUAUUAUAACAAUAAAAUUGGCUAAAAUUGAUAUGUUCCCUCUUUUCUUUUCUUUUUCUCUUUUCCUUUUCAUUUUAUGCUUUGUUGCUAUUGCUAUGUUUAUCCUACAAAUAUAGCAACUUCUCCACCAUUCAUUUGUUAGUGACUACGAUGCUUAGUAACUUCUUCAGCUCCCCUUAUUUCCAUGUACUAACCAGGGACACCAGGUCAGCAUCUUCGGUAAGAAUCCUAACUCAAUCAAACAAUGACAUCUGUAAAUAUUCAAAAUUGGAAUUUGCAUUGUGAUAGUUGAAAGCAUCCUUGUCCCAAAAAAAGCCAAAAAAUAAAAUAAAAUUGAGAGCAUUAAGUCCUUUUCAAAUUAUGCUAAUAUGCAAAAUUGGAAUUUUGAUGGAGUUGCUUCCUUGACUUUUCCACCUUUGUAUCCAGUCCACUUUGCACAAGGAGCCAAGUUUGAGAGAUAGUUUUCUGUAUUUACACCAUCCAGGAGAAAAUUAAAAAACUAUUUCAUGCCAAACUAACUACGGAUUCUUGCAAAGGACCCAUUAGUGUAGUGGUUUGGAGUAUUUACUCCCUCAGGCAAGGUCUUGGGUUCGAGUCCUAGCAUUCAUGUUGUGUGUGUGAGUUUAAUAUGCUAUCACCCCUUCCAAUAGGAAAGGACCUCAAAAAAAAAAAAAAAACUACAGAUUCUUUAAUUGAAAGAAACCCCAUAUUAAUCAUCCUUUGGCACAUAAAUGUUUGGUAAUUGGCAUUAAAGUAUCUAAAGGUUACGAAAUUAAAGAUUUUAAUGCAAACCUAAAAUUGGAAAAGAGGGCACCAAUUCAUGUAAAAUAUGGUGUACUUAGUAGAUCCAACAUAUUUUUUUAGCAACCAAGGACAAUCAUCAUUUUUUUUUUUAAGAACCAAGGAUAGCUUACAUUCUAGUUUGUCCAUCAUGUCAACACAUUUAUAAUUAAAACUUCUUUUUUGGUGAGGUUUCAAUUUUUGUCACUGUAACAAGACCACAAUUGCCAUUCAGUAUGCUAACAUUGUCACUAUGUUUGCCAAUUGCAUAUUAUCUAGAACAUAAAGGCUUUGGUGUUUUGUAUAUCCUCGGGGUGCCAAACCUGUCUUUAUAAAAAUGGUCCUUAUGAUACUACUUUAACAACAAAAAAAUAUAAUAAACUAGGCCUUUGUAGUCACUGAACGAAUGUUUUCUCAUAGAUAUGACUAUUUAAAUGUAAUUACGGGAUUAAAACAUUAUAAUAAAUUGGAGUGAACCAUAACAUUAUAUAUGAUCCAAUCCUUUUCAUAUAUUUUUGUUCAAGACUUUGUUUUAGAAUGCUCUUUUACUAAUUUGGUACAGGUCCCUAAAAUCUACGCCUUUAUGAGGCAACGUCUUUAUUUCUUUGGUUAUUCCAGUUUAGAAUAUAUUUGUACAAAUGAGAUGACUCCCAACAUAAAGUCACAUUCAACCAAAAAGCAUGAAGUCACACACAAAAAGAACACGGACAAUUGCUAAGUUUAUCUUGUAUCCUUAUUUUAUUGAUCCAACCCAAUUGAAAAAUAAAAAAGAUGAUAUAAUAUAUUGUUCACUGCUUACAUCCAUGAGUAAAGUCCUCCAUUUGAAAUUGCGUGAUUAUACAAAAUUGGAAUGAAAAAAGAAAAUCCUACAACUAAAUUUGAUAUAUUCCUUUUCAUUUUAUGUUGGAUGUUAAGUUUUCUUGUUUCUUGUUGAAAAGAAAAAUGAAAAGAAAUAAAUAAAUUACACAGCUAGCAACUUCUCCACCUUCCCUUCUUCCCAUGUACUGACAACAAGGGAGGCCUUCAAUCCAAAAUAAAGACAAGGGAUGCCAGGUCAGCAUCUCAGAUAAGUAUCCCAACCAAAACCAAUCAAAUAAUGACAUAUGUAUCUCUUUUUGUGUUUUGUUCUAUUUCUCUUUGAAUUAACUGCGAAGUUUCAUAAGCGUGUCCUCCUUUUGAAAUUGUGUAUUAUUCAAAAUUGGAAUUUGCUGGUCAUACUUGAUAUAAGCUAAAACAGUUUCCAACAUCUUGUACCAUUUUUUUCCAGUGUGGGUCAUAACUUGAAGAAGCCCACCGACAAUUUCUCAAAAGCUAUUACCAUCCAACUUUGAAAAAUAAAAGUUUCAAAAGUUACCCCAAACAACAGCCCUUGAAAGAGAGUUUUCCAAGGCUAAAGAUUACAAGGAUGUUAUUGGCACAUGCAUUAACGUGUGACAAGAAGUUAGUUAUAUUUAUAAAGUAAAAGAACGAAGUACAUAACAUGUAAGUUGAUGCCAAAUAUUUGAUCAACAGAGCUAAACAUAAAACCACGACAAUAUAACGUUGUUCACCAAAAAUUGUGUUUCGUUGAGGGUCAGUAGUGUAGGUUUCAAGAUACGAUUUAUUUUGUUAAAGAAUAUUCUGAUAUUCUAACAAUAAAAUUGGCUCAAUUUGAUAUGUUUCUUUUUUUUUUUGUUUUUGUUUUCCCUUUCAUUUUAUGCUUUGUUGUGCUAUUGCUAAGUUUAUCCUAGAGACCAGGGAUGCUUAGCAAGUUUCUUCACCUGCCCUUCUUCCCAUGUACUAACUAGGGAUACCAUGUCAGAAUCUUAGAUAAGAAUCCCAACCCAAUCAAACUAUGACAUCUGUAAGUAUUCAAAAUUGGAAUUUGCAUUGUGAUAGUUGAGUGGAAGAAUCGAUUAAGGCUUGAGUGGAAGACAAACUUCAGUGGAGGAAAGUAAUUAAUCUCACAAGACAUAGCCCAUCAGUUGGCUCAUUUUUCUUGAGUGUGUAGUCCUGGCCUUGAGGCGAGGCCACAUUGCUUUGGAGAUUUCUUUCUACUUGGUGAAAUUAUAAUUUAGAAGAAGCAAACUGCGUUUUGCAAUUUGUGCGAUUCAAGCAUAUCUGACACUAGUAAUUAGACCAUAAUCUUUGUCCGACCAGAAAAUAAGAAAAGUUGUCUUGUACCAUUUCUGCCAGUGUGGGUCCCACCCACCCCAUACGAGUAAUUUGAAGAAGUCCACCGACAAUUUCCCAAAAGCUUUGGCGUCCAACUUUGCCGACCCCAUCCCCAUGUGAGGCCAUAGAAAAGUUUUCAGCCACAAUCAAAGAAGGGAACAGUCCUUGAAAAGAGAGGGUUUUCCAAGGCCAAGAUUACAAGUUCAUGUUAUUUACAGUCUCAAAAAGCUUCCAUACUUGUUUACAAACCUGUAUUUUCAAGUUGUGCUAGCCUAGCUAUUUGCAAAUCUUGGAAUAUUUUACUUCAUCCAAAUCCCUUGCAGUCUGCAGAGAAGAUAAAAGACAUGGCUUUGAUUGGAGAGGCUCUUAUCUCUGCUUCCGUCCAGGUGUUGUGCGACAGAAUUACUUCACCCGAGUUCGUUGACUUAUUUUGGCACAAGAAACUCGAUGAGCCACUCCUCAGGAAGCUGAGGACGACACUGUUGGCCUUGAACUUGGUGCUCAAUGAUGCAGAGGGGAAGCAACUUGUGAACCGAGAUGUGAAAAAGUGGCUUGACGAGCUCAGACAUGCUGUCUUUGAUGCGGAGGACUUACUGGAUGAGAUUGACACUGAAGCUUUGCGAUGCAAGCUGGAAGAAGGUGAAGAUCAAACUCACAAAUUUACCAAUAAGGUGCGGAACUUGCUCUUUUCUCCUCGUAGUCAUUUUUAUCAGAGCAUGAAUGAUAAGAUAAAAGAGUUACUAGCAAGGUUAGAAAACUUUGUACAACUGAAAAGUGCUCUUGGUCUGGGAGAAGUUGCUGGGAGGAAGGUUUCGCAAAGAACUCAAACAACCUCCUUGGUUCUUGAACCUUAUGUAUAUGGUAGAGAUGAAGUCAAAGAAAAGUUAUCAAAAGUGUUGCUAUCUGAUGAAGCAGGCAAGGAUCCUGUGUCUUUCCUCACCAUUGUUGGAAUGGGUGGGGUUGGCAAGACAACCCUUGCUCGAAUGCUUUACAAUGACGAUAAGGUGAAAGGGCAUUUUAAACUUAAAGCUUGGGCUUGUGUUUCAGACUACGAUGAUUAUAUUAAAAUUACUAAAACUCUCCUUGAGGCAGUCACUUCAAAGCCUUGUAACACGGCAAAUCUGAAUUUGCUUCAAAAAGAUCUAAGAGAGCAAUUGAGGGGAAGGAAAUUUUUAUUUGUGUUGACCUAUGGAAUGAGAAUAAUGAGGAUUUGAACUACCUUAGAGCUCUUUUUAUUACUUUAGGAACAAUGGGAAGUAAAGUCAUUGUAACAACACGGAACAAAAAUGCAGCAUCUGUCAUGCAAAAUGUUCAUAUUCAAUACUUAGAACCAUUGUCGUAGGAGGACUGCUGGUUAUUACUUGCAAAACAUGCAUUUGGAAAUGAAAAGUGUAGUGCACAUUCAAACUUGGAAGACAUUGGAAAGCAAAUUGCACUCAAGUGCAAAGGGUUGCCUUUAGCUGCACAAACACUUGGGAGUUUGUUACGUUGCAAUAUGGAUUUCGAGUACUGGAAUAGAAUACUAAAUGAUAGUUUUUGGGACCAACCCUAUGAUAAAACUAACAUUCUUCCGGCUCUAGGGUUGAGUUACCAUUAUCUUCCUACUCAGUUGAAACGAUGCUUUGCUUAUUGUUCAAUUUUUCCAAAGGAUUAUGAGUUUGAAAAGGAAGAUAUAGUUCAAUUAUGGAUUGCAGAAGGUAUAAUUCCACAAGCUGAGAAUGGAAAAAGGAUGGAAGCAUUGGCUAGAAUAUACUUUGAUGAGCUGUUAUCACGAUCGUUGUUUCAAAAGUCAAGUAAAUUCAGCUUCAUUAUGCAUGAUCUCAUUAAUGACUUGGCUAUGUUCAUGUCUCAGGGGUUUUGCCUUAGGCUCGAAGAUGGGGUAUCCCGUGAAGUUAAAAGAGCUCGUCAUUUGUCAUAUGCUAGGGGAGAAUUUGAUGCUGCUCCAAGAUUUGAACCAUUAUAUGAGGCUAAAUGUUUGCGGACCUUCCUACCUACCAUUUGUUGUGGGCAAAUCUACUGGAUCAGGCAUAAGAGAACUGAGGCAGUUCCCGCAACUUCGAGGAAAACUAUCAAUUUUGAAGCUACAAAAUGUAGUUGAUGCGAGGGAUGCACUGCACGCCAAUAUGAAGCACAAGAAAGAUCUCAAGGAGUUAGAGCUUUCAUGGGGUGCGGAGGAUGCUGAUGAUUCCCAAAAGGAGAAAGAUGUACUCGACAAGCUCCAGCCUUGCGUGAAUUUGGAGAAAUUAACCAUCAAAUUCUAUGGUGGAACUAAUUUUCCGAAUUGGUUAGGAGACUCGUCUUUUUCUAACAUACAAGUCAUGCAUCUCAGUGACUGUAGUUAUUGUUGGUCGCUCCCACCAGUUGGACCGCUACCGGCACUCAAACAGCUCUGUAUAAGAAGAAUGAAGUUUGUGAAGACGAUUGGCGUUGAAUUCUAUGGCAGAAAUGGAGCUUAUCUGACUCAGCCAUUUCGAUCUCUGGAGAAGCUAGAGUUUAGGGAGAUGCCAGAGUGGGAGGAAUGGGUACCAAGUGGAAGUGCAAGUGGAGGUGAAUAUGGUCCAGACUUUCCUCGUCUCCAGGAGCUGAUUCUAUACGAGUGUCCGAAGCUAAGAGGAAGUUUGCCUUGUGAGUUGCCUUGCUUGAAGAAGCUUACGGUGUAUGGGUGUAAGGUUUUACAUGAUGGAAGGGCCAUUACCGCAACUACCAAUAGUCUUAACUAUAAAUCUCUGGAAGAAUUGAAUAUAAGUGGUGGAUGCCAAACUCUGUUAUCAUUAUUAGAGACAAAGCUCCUGUCCGGACUUGAGAUUCGAAAUGUUGUUGACAUACAGUGCUUGCCCAACUGCAGUCGUCUUCAACAUUUGACUCUUUCGAAUUGUCCAACGCUGUCAUCAUUUCCCAAAGAUGGCCUACCCACUACAUUGACAUCACUUUAUAUAAACAAUUGUAGGAAAUUAGAAUUCCUACCUCAUGAGAUGUUGGCCAAAUUAACAUCGCUUGACUAUUUGUGCAUACAAAAUAGCUGUGAUUCAAUGAGGUCCUUCCCGUUGGGCAUUUUUCCCAAAUUGACGAGGCUUGAAAUUCGUGGUUGUGAGAAUCUGGAAUCCCUUUCCUUGAUUGAAGAAGAAGGAGCUGUUGAGAAUCUCAGCCAUCUCAAUUACUUGCAAGUCUAUAACUGUCCAAAAAUGGUGUGUUUUCACGAGGGAGAAUUGCCCACUCCCAACCUGAGUCACUUUGUAGUCGGUGGUUGCGAGAAUUUGAAGUCAUUGCCCAAAAGCCUUCACACCCUCACUGCCCUUCGAUCUUUGUCGAUAUGUAAUCUUCCGAAUCUGGAGUCAUUUGCAGAAGAUGGGGGUUUGCCUCCCAACCUCCGACAAGUAAGUAUUAGGAAUUGUGAGAGACUGAGGGCUUCAUCAGUGGGUUUGCAAGCACUUGACUCCCUUGAGAUCAGUGGAAGUGACCAUGUAUUCUCUAUCACACUCUUCACAUCUAUUCUCUAUCAACUCUGAAAUCUUUGGACGGAAAGGGUCUUGGACACCUCACUUCUCUUCAAGAGCUAGAUAUUAACAGGUGUCCAAGUCUGGAAUUCCUGCCAGGAGAGGAACUUCAACACCUCACUUCUCUUCAAAAUCUAUACAUUUGGAACUGUCCCAGUCUUCAAUGCUUGCCAGAAGAGGGUUUUCCAUCAUCUCUUUCUCAUCUGAGUAUCCGCCGGUGUCCUACCCUGGAGGAAAGGUAUAAGAAUAAAACGGGACGAGAUUGGGCCAAGAUAUCUCACAUUCCUUGCAUCGAGAUAGGCAACGAAGUGAUCAUAUAAUAUGAGCUAUUCCAUAUUUCACGCUCAACCCUCAACUCUCAAAUCAAAGUCAGGUGAGGUAUGUGCCUUCUCUUACUUUAAAAAACUGCUGCUCAAUAACACUCUUCGCACUCUAUAUAUUAUGGCCUGUCAGUCUAAAAUUCCUGCCAGGAGAGGAACUUGAACGCCUCUCUUCACUGCAAAGGCUACAUAUUUGUGGGUGUGACAAUAUCCAAUUCCUGCCAGAAGAGCGUUUGCUGCAAUCUCUUUCUUAUCUGUGCAUCGACCAUUGUUUUGCCAUGUAGAAAAGGUAUCUCACAUUCCUUGCGUCAAGAUAGGUGAAGAAGUGAUCAUAAGAUAUGAGCUCUCUCUCCCUCUCGCUCACAUACAAAGUACUUAAAACACUCAAUCUGAUUUCUAUUAUUAUUUUGCUCAGUAAAUUUUGUUUAAAUUUGCUUUGUUUCUCAUUGCGCUUGUUCUGCUUAUCACAACUUAUAUCCUAUUUAAAUCUCAAAUGCUGAAUAGUUAGCAGUCUUUUCGCAGGACAGCAUAUCUUCUCUUGGAGAGCUAUUCAUUUGCAAGGUUUCUUUAUGUGUCAUUUCCAGAGGAGGGUUUACUAUUUAAUAGAAAGGUUCACCUGGAAUAUCUCAAAUGACACAUUCCCAAAUACAGGCAUUGAAUGCACAACAUUUUGAGGUACUAUUUUUGUAAUAAAAAUGUACUUGAGUCUCAUUUGAGCUAGUUUAAAUUGUAUUCAAUGUCUAUGGAUAACCUGUGAGCUUAAGUUGUAAGAUAAAACUCACAGUAUAUUAUUAGGGUUUAGGGUUCAACAGGUGAGCUUAAGUUGUACUUUCCUAGGUACUGCAUGUAUAUUAUCUUAGUAUCAACACUUGGUCUUAUGUGGACGAGAGAGAACAUUUGAGGAAUUACAAAAUCUUCUUAGUGAAUUAAGCUUGUUUCAGCUCUGUUUGUCAUCCCUCACAUUUUCUUUGUUAAGCCUUGAUUUUUUAUUAGACAUACGAAAAAAUGCUUUUAUAAGACAGGAGAUGAAUGCUUUUAUAUGUUGAUGUCGUAGUCAGUCUUCAACCACACUCUGUUUUUAGAAUUCAUUUAUGUUACUAGUUGAGAGCUGCUGUAUUUUAUAUUUCGUUCCUGUAAUGUUUGGAUGUUUAGCUUGAGCAGUCUAGCUUAUCCAGUAGAUAACUUGUCCCCUGUUUUGUAAUGUUUUUGUUUCCUCUAAUGAAAGCAGGUUUUACUUAUCUUGAACUGCAGAAGCCUACUUUUUGACAUAGGUGGCAUGGCACAAACUCGCAUCCGCAUUUCCAUCCCCAUUGGCAUGCUGUCUCAUCUUUUCUAUUCUGUUACCAGCUUGAAGCUUGUGUGGACAUGUUAUGCUCUUGUAAUUCUGAUCACAAACAUCACUUGACAAAUGGAAAGUCACAAUCAGAUCUUUCAGGUGAUCUGGAGGUUUACUUUCUAACAUUUGUUUUCGUGGGGGGGAGACAACAAUACAGAAUUUAAAAUUUCUGAUAAUCAAUAGUAGUUUGCAUAUAUCAGCUGGGACCUGUAUGACUGUAUUAUGUAAUUAAUUAUUUCUCUUAUUGUUUGGGUACUGUUAAAAGGAGUUAGCCACACAACAUAAAAAAGGAGGUCUCUUAUUUCAUACAAUUUUUCAAAUGUGAUCAUUAAUCCGUUUCUUUUUCAACAAUAGAGGAAUGUAUACUAAUCGUCUGGUCCAUCUGCUGCUUCACUCCCUAGUAGCUUCAUCUCCUGUCCUUUGCUUUAUUUCUGUUGAUGAAUGUUUUGUCUGGGUUAUUUAUUUUCAUUUCAUGUCCAUUGCUUUAUUUCUGUUUGGAUUCUUAAUUAAAUCUGUCCUGGACUUGAACAAGGGUUAGGUUAGCUGUAUAAUUUGCGGUUUUAUAUACACAACUGUCUACAUUGAUUAAAACCAGCAUUAUUCUAAGGUUCAUUUAGAAUGUAUUAUCACCAAAAUUAUAAAGAAUACUUCUAUUACAAUUAAUUUGUUGAUUCUAAUUUGGACUUGUAGGAACAGACCAAACAUGUUCAUGCGUGGCAUUGCUCAAGUCAUCAUCAUUCGAGACAGAGAAUAAGCCUUCAAGUGUCUGCUGAGUCAAUGAACCUUUCUAGAUAUCUCAAGUGUAAUGGAAAUUGAUGAGUUACAAAGGAUUUGUAAACAUUUUCUACUGGAGGCUAGAAAUGCUUCAAAUAAAUGACCGUGUUGCAAUUAUUUUGUAGGAUCAAAGACUCUGCAAAGAGGUAAGAAAGUCAUCAUCAAGUAACUUUGCUCUUCAAACUUUUUAUUUUUAUUUUUAAAUAUCAGUAAUAACUGGGAAAGCUUGCAUCUCCUUAAAUUGCUCAUUCUUACAUCUUUUAUAGUUUGUUGAUCUUGGGCAAGUGGAGAGAGAGGCGUCAAGUGAUACGCAACAACCAUUUUCUGUGAGCUGAUUUGAUAAAGAGAAAUGGUAUGCUUUCUUGUCUUAAGCGGUGUGUUCUGCAAUUAUUUGAAACAAAGGAUGCCGCACUUCAAGUUCGAGAAAAUCAGGUAUUUUAGUAUUUUAUUCUUGAGAAAUUUGAUUUAUGUAGAAACUUGAACAUGUAAAUAAAAUAAAUAAAAUAUAUUAUAUGCUGUUAAUGAGUUAAUAUGGUGCUUGCUUCUAGUUGGAAAUUUAUGUAGUCAUCUACCUAUGAUCAAAUAAAGAUGAAGAAUAAAAUAUAAUUGAGAGCAUCUUCCUCUCCCCUGCUUUGCUCAUCCCUUGUUCUUCCACUUCAGCCCCACUAUUACACCAUUUUUUCAGCCACAAUUAUAAUAGCUCCAUGAGCAUUAAGUCCUUUUCAAAUUCUGCUGACAUUCAAAAUUGGAAUUUGCUGGUGAUAUAUGAUAGCAUCUUUGUCCGACCAAAAAGAGAAAAAAAAAAAGUUGAUAGCAUAUUGUACCAUUUUGGCCAGUGUACGCAAUAUUAUUGCAUCCAACUUUGCAUAUUAACAUCAGUGGCCACAGUUCCAUGAUUUGAGUGCACAGAAAAGUUUCAAAAGUUGUCCCACAAAGAACAGUCGUUCAAAGUGAAAGAGAGAUUUCAAAGCUUAAUUACAAGUUCAUGUUAUUUACAAUAUCAAAAAGCUUUCAUACUUGCUUACAAACCUGUAUUUCCAAGUUCUGCAAACCUUGGAAUAUCACUUCAUCCAAAUCCCCUUCCAAAGCAGGAAAAAAUGGCAGCAGCUUUGAUUGGAGAGGCUCUCAUCUCUGCUUCUAUCGUGGUGUUGUGUGACAGAGUUACUUCAGCCGAGUUCAUAGACUUAUUUCAGCAGAAGAAACUUGAUGAAACACUCCUCAUGAACCUGAAGACGACACUGUUGAUUUUGUUUGCGGUGCUCAAUGAUUCAGAGGAGAAGCAAAUUGUGAACCCUGAAGCUUUGCGAUGCAAGCUGGAAGGUGAGGAUCAAACCCACAAUAAUUAACCAAAAAGGAUCUUUUUGAUUGUUUGAAAGGAGGGUCUUGAUGAUUUGAAAGGAGAGGGUUGCUUUAUUUCUGUUGGAUGCUUAAUUAAAUCUUAUUUGGAGUUGAACAAGGAUUAGGUUAGCUGUAUAAUUAGUGGUAAACGCCUUUUUCUAAGGGUCAUUUAGACUCCUAUUACGAUUAAUUUGUUGUUUCUAAUUUGGACUUGUAGGAACAGACCAAAUAUGUUCACACGUGGCAUCGCUCAAGUCAUCAUCAUUUCAGACUGAAAAUCAGCCUUCGAGUGUCUGUUGAGUCAAUAAACCUUUCUAGAUAUAUCAAGUGCAAUGGAAAUUCAUGAGUUACAUAGAGAUUUUUAAACAUUUUGAAGAUUGCAACACCUGCAAGUGAGAUAGGCGGUGACGAAAUCAGAGCUGAUUUUGAAGCCUCUGAUGCCCCUGUUGUUGCAAGUUGCACCUGAGAACAAGUUUUUUUUUUCUUUGGGGUAAAAAACUGGCAACAUGUUCGGAGCUGACAAUUCAAUCCCUGAUGAACUAGAGAAGCAAAGCUCCGGUAAGGAAAUUGGUCAAGGUUGUGACAGGGAUGAUUGAUGGUGAAAUGGAUGCUAUUUCUUAUUGCAGCCUGUUCUCAAAGUUCUUGUUGGCAAAUGCAAUUGAUGGAGUAUUUUGAUUGGGAGGAGAGAUAAUGACAUGGCUUGACAAUUCUAGAACAGCCCAUCAUUAAUCCCAGAAAAAAUCCCGUUUCUGCUAAACAAUCACUUAUGGCAAGGCCAACUCUGUAAAUGGAAUUUGUGAUCCCUUCAAAUUGUACACAUUUUUUCUUUUUGAGGAAUUUAAUCAAACAGUAUUCUAAUGCAUUAUGAUAGCACUACACGCUUUUGUUGUAACAAAUUACAAGGAGGAAUUUGGAUUGAGUUUCUUGUAUAAGCACACCUUACACAAAUUUCGUAUAUUUUCUUCCAGCAAGUCUGUUUAUUAACCCCCUUAUCUGAAAUUAAUUGUUAAAAGUUUUGAUUCAUCUUUAAUCAGUGUCUUACCCUUGUUGAAUAACACUCCUCUUUCUAAUUUAUAUUUGAAGUUUGAGCUUUCAAUUUCAAUUGUGGGCUUUGAUUUUUCAGAUUUUGUUUGUCAAUUUCAGUUUGGACAAAGCAUAUAUGCAAACAAAGUAAGCAUUUUAUGUUAUACUUUUGAACUAGGUGUUGAUUUGAUUUAAUCAUAAGUUUUGCUGGUGCAUUUACUAGGCUAAUCAUUCAAUACUUUUGAUCAUAGAACUUCUUUGGUUGAUAUUAUCUUUGUUAAGUUUAACCAUAACUUUAGAGAGGGGACUUCAACAGAUUUAUAAUCUCAUCAUUAUAGUAUUAAAAAUUAGAGAUUAUUUAAGGCAUUGUCUAUUAUCUGAAUUCUGCUUACUUUUAGUUCAUAUGUUUACAUCUUAGCAUAUUCAUGUGAUUAGUGCGGCUCAUACCACAAAGGCAAUUUUAGGCUCAUCAAGUGCUAAGCAAUGUCAAGCUUCCAAAUGACAAGUUCUCUACAUAGUUUGAGACCUACACUUACUAGAUAUUAGAUCAUUUCGAUCAUUUCCAUAUGUUUAUAUGUAAUUGACAUGUUAUAACAUUUUUGUAGCGUUAUAUAAUUAUUUAGCAAUUUAAUUAUUUCUUUGCAACUUAAUUUUUUUUGUCAAUCAUACUAUUGUUGACUGCUAAAAACCAUCAAGAAAUAGUUCUCAAGUUAUAAAAAAAAAAAAAUUUUAAAAAAGAUUUGUUGAUGCUUAAAAAGCAUCAAGAACAGAUAGUUUCUUGACGGUUUUGUGACAUUUCAUAACUGUAGGGGGCUUUUUCUUCCGACAGCUGUAAAUGGGCUGGGCUGCCGUAAAGGGCAGACUGAUGAAAUUGUCCCCUUUUGUAUGAGCUCAAAAAUUAAGCCCCAAAAUACUUUGAAAGGGCAGCAGAGCCUUAGGAAGUAUUUUGGUUACCCUCACCAACUAAAACAACAACAACUUACAGGUAAUUACUUAAUGCUUAUGGAUGAACUCUUGAGCUUGGCAUGAGAGACAUAUGGCAUGGAAGCAAAAUCAACAUGAGUUUAGCACUGAGGGGAAAUUUAGGCUCUCUUGGGGGAAAAAGGGAAGUGUUAAGGUGAGAGAGGAGAAGUUUGUAGGAGAUUUAGCUAAGAAAGGAGAAAUAUAGAACAAUGCUCUUUUGGCAGCUUGACAGAUGCUCUGUUUGCCAGAAAAGGAAGAUGGAGAAGAAAUGUGAAUAGUGCAAGAGUUUGCUAGAUUUUUGCAGGUAAGAGAGGAAGCUUGCUCUCUGGGUCUGAGUUGAGUUUUUUUGUGUGGAAGAGACCUCAUUUUAUAGCCCUUGGAAACCAUCACUUCCCAAGAAACCCUAAUGGCUUCUACCCAUUUUGGCCAAGCUUUUCCCUUCCUUUCUCAUUUCCUUCCUUGACUUUACCCCUCUUGAUGAAAUCCCCUCUGCCUAUUUGCACCAUAUCAGAGUUUUUUGAAGCUCAAGGCCCCUUUUUCCCGCAGUUGUCUCAAUGGGAGACUUCCAUUCCCAGUCAUCUCCUUUAUUGCUUUCCUUUCUUUUUUUCAUGGCCAAGUUUGGUGGGGAAAGGAGUUGGGAUAUAUAUGCUGGUUUGAAGGGUGCUUCUCUUCCUGGCAUCUUACACACUAAUACCCCUUGGUUCCUUGAAUGUUUUGGCUUUGAAACUUGCUCUCCCCCCCCCCCCCCCCCCCCCCAUGUACUGGAACCUACCAGCAGCUCUAUUCAAUGAAUCUUCAGACCUUCUCUUCGUGGCUUUUAUUUUUUAUCAACGGGCUGGGGCUUUUGUGGCUCAUUGUGGCAAUUGUAUGGGCUAAGGUGGUUCAUUAAGUAAGUGGGCUAUUUUUAUUAAACAUUAGGCUUUUUGGUUGAGUCACUAGGCUAUUUUGAUUGGGCUAUUGGGCUAUUUUUUUCCUCUCUUGUGCUCACCCACAUGUUUGGACCAAAGAAAUGAGCUUGAGUCCUGAGGCUCCCAAGCGACCCGAGACUUUCCAUUUCUGGCCCAUCAAUGGGCCUCAUGUUGAUUUAUUACCAUCCAUACCACAACCCACUCAAGCAGGCUCCGGGCAUUUGAAUGACUUGGGCGCACUUAGGCUUGUAGUGUGGUUGGGUGCGAAAUAACGAUUUCGUGCUUGGCAUGUUUUAAUUUUAUCAUCCUUGGGAAAGGCUGCGAUGUUUGAUUUCGGCAUGGGCUUGUAGAGCUGGUAUGCUUUAUUUCAACUCCUAGCAUGACGAAUUAUUUAUUUAGCAUGGCACGUGAAUUACAACUCGCAUGUGGUGGGUUUUUGUGUACUACACCUUACGCCUCUUCUUAAUAGAACAUCGUUUUGGGCUGAUAAUUUAUUCGGGCCAAACCGUGAAUUUUUUGGGUCUCAAUAAUAACCAUCAUGAAACAUUACAUUUUGACUGACGUCAAGAAAUGGGGUAUCCCUUUCCUGAUAGUGGCAUCCAUGAUGCCUUCCAAGCAGUCAAUUAAGGGCUAUCGUGAUGCAUUUUAGUUGUCAGCAAAAGGUGUUUUUCUUGUACUGUAUUCACUCAAAGUCGUGUUUCAUUUAAGAUUAGUAGUAUGGUUGAAUACCAUUUGUUUUGUUAAAGAAUAUUAUACAUUAGGGAUUUUUGUAGAAAUGUCAUUUGAACUUAUACCUUAGUUUCAAUUUGUCACCUUGAAGAAAAAUUUAAGAGAAAUGUCACCUUAAUUUUUAAAAAUCCAUGAUUUGUCAUAUGACUUUAAAAUCAUCCAAUUUUCCAUCCAUUUUAAGGGUAUUUUAGUCUUUUCAUUUUGAAGGAAAAAAAAGAGAUGAAAAAAGAGACCUCUCUCUUACUUUGUCCCUCAACCCAACCCCACCCGCCCCCCAAAACACAUCACAUAGGAUUGCCUCCCCCUUCCCCACUUUUCUUUUUUCUUUUUGUCCUACUUUUCCACUAUGUUUAUGUUGAAGGAUCUAAAGUUUGCUUGGUCACCAUCUGUUACGUAGGCUUCCCAAUUGUUAGUUUGGGUGGGUUGUGGGAAUUUGUGUGCUCGAAACCCGAGACGAAUCUUGUGGAAUUCCCGACAUCACACCGAUGCCGGGCCCACUUCUGAACUAAAUUCUCUUUUCCAAAAUUAAGGAAAAAGAGUACGAGGCUUUCUGCCGAAAUUUCGACAGAGUAUUCCCUAUAAAUUUAACAUUUCAGCUUUGGUGGCCGUUCUCUCAUUUCAGCUUUGGUGGCCGGAUGAGAGAACGGUCGGCUAAAACGUGGCCAGCUGGCACUGCCGUCGCGAGAGAGAGAGAGAGAGAGAGAGAGAGAGAUUUUUAUCAAAUCAUUUUUGCCAAAAUUACGAUUAUGCAACUGAGGGUAUUUUGAUCGUAUCUUUUUCAUUAUAACUCUGAUUCAAGCCCACUACGUGUUUACGGACUCAUCUCGCCGUGCUCUAUGCAAUUGUAUAGUUGAAAUUCCCAAAUUCCACCCCAGUCAAAAAUUCAACUUUAAACCCUACAAAAUAUUAUAGGGGCAAAAUGGUCUUUUAUCUAAUUAAAUUAAUAAUUGAAAAUUUAUUUAGGACCGGGUUGUUACACUGUCGUUGAUGGACUGUGCGAUGACACUCACACAAAGUCCUUGAGAAUAAAACACACACACACCAUGAAGAGAGUAAAACAAAUACACAAGUACACAAAGAUUUAUAAAGGUUUGGCCUUCUGCCUACGUCCUCUUGGUGAUCCACCCGAGAAAUUCACUAGUACGUAAGAACAACUUUGGUUACAACUAAACCCCCUUAGCUUUCAUAAGAACCCUAGAUCUCUUUUCUCCCACCCUUGCUCCAACCCUUUGAUGCCCUUGUAAACACUCAAGAAUUCACCCUUGAAUUCUGUCAUGUGUUACAUCUUCUCUUCUCCCCUUUGUUAACCUAACCCUAAAAGUUAUAUUUAUAAUUCAUAGGACUUUAAGUACAAGUUAACUAGGAAUAGGAAACAUAAUAGACCUCAAAAAUUGGAGAAAAUAUGUUUAGAUCUCGUUAGGAAAUUGCACAACACGUGCGAUCCGCUCGAGCGCCUGCAAAAUGAUCCCUUUGUCGCUCAAGCUGCCGAUAGCUCAUGGGAUGGGGGAAUUAGAGAUUUUUUUUUUUUUCAAUUUUAAUUGUUUAAAAGAUAUACAAUUUUUUAAUAAUAAUUUUUCCAUUUUUAAAAUACCCUUGAAAAUAGAAAGAUUAAAAUGCCCUUAAAAAUGGAUGGAAAAUUGGAUUGCGUUAAGGUCAGUUGACAAAUCAUGGAUUUUGAAAAAUUAAGGUAACAUUUCUCUUAAAUUUUUCUUUAAAGUGACAAAUUAAAAUUGAGGUAUAAGUUCAAGUUACAUUUAUGCAAAAAUCCUUAUACAUUAUGAUAUUCUAACAAUAAAAUUGGCUAAAAUUGAUAUGUUCCCUCUUUAUUUUCUUUUUCUCUUUUCCUUUUCAUUUUAUGAUCCAAUCCUUUUCAUAUAUUUUUGUUCAAGACUUUGUUUUAGAAUGCUCUAUUACUAAUUUGGUACAGGUCCCUAAAAUCUCGGAGCCGCCUUAGUACAUUCAUAAUGUACAUGUUCAGAGUUCAAGAAUAAUGUAUAGAAUGUGAAAUUGACGAUGCCGGCCUUUAUGAGGCAACGUCUUUAUUUCUUUGGUUAUUACAGUUUAGAAUAUUUGCACAAAUGAGAUGAUUCCAAGCAUAAAGUCACAUUCGACCAAAAAGCAUGAAGUCACACACAAAAAGAACACGGACAAUUGCUAAGUUUAUCCUUGUACCCUUAUUUUAUUGAUCCGACCCAAUUGAAAAUUAAAAAAAGAUGAUAAAAAAUAUUGUUCACUACUUUAAAAUCUAUGAGUAGAGUCCUCCAUUUGAAAUUUCGUCAUUAUACAAAAUUGGAAUGAAAAAAGAAAAUCCUACAGCUAAAUUUGAUAUAUUUCCUUUUCAUUUUAUGCUGGGUGUUAGGGCUUGUCAAUGGGCCGGGCUAGGCUAGCCCGGCUCAAAUUUAAUGGGCUUGGGCUAGGCCGGGCCAAGCUUUAAAGAGGAGAGAGAAAAUAUCCGGCCGAGUUUUUUAAGAAAAUUCAAAGCCCAAGCCCGAAUCACUGCUGUCUAGCCCGGCCCAAAUUUAAUGAGCUUGGGCCAGGCCGAGCCAAGCUUUAAAGAGGAGAGAGAAAAUAUCCGGCCGAGUUUUUUAAGAAAAUUCAAAGCCCAAGCCCGAAUCACUGCUGUCAUUUCAUUGAUUUGUGACGAGCACAACCACCAAAUCAGAAUUUACUCACGAAAAUAUCAAGUAUGUCUAGCAAAUUUCAAUUUUGAAUAAUACACAAUUUCAAAAGGAGGACAUGUUGCAAGACAGCAUACCUUCUCUUGGGGUGCUUUUCAUUUUGCAACAUUUCUUUACGUGUAAUUUCCAGAGGAGGGUUUAUCAUUGUAUAUAGCUUUUCGGGUGGUUUGUCUACAAAACAAAUGUCACAAAGAAGGAGGAGAAACGGAAAAGAUUUACUUGGAAUGUCUCAAGUCUCCUUUGAGAUAAAGGCAUCGAAUGCACAACAUUGCUUUUGUGCUAUUUCAUAAUUAAAGUGUGCUUCCCAAGUCUCCUUUGUGUUUUGUAACUUGUAAUGUUUGUUUUUUUGUUUCCCCUGUUUUCCCUCUUAUAAAAGAAAUACAGGUCCAAACCACACGGAUCUACUUGCAUAAUAAUGGACCAAAUUUAUGAUUUUUAGAAAGAACCUUCUGCCGGUGGAAUCUUGGGCUACUGUUGUGGCUCUCCUCUGUGUGCCUCCUUUUUAGAACGGUAAAAUAUUCAAAAUACUAGAAAAUGUUCGUGAUUAAUAUAAAUAUUAAGAAUUGAAAUUAUUAAUUAAAUGAGGAUAAUAUGGUAAAUUCACACUUUUUUAUAUUAAAAAAAUUAAAAUUAAAAGAAAAAUCAGAUAAUUGAUAUUAUUUUUAUGGAACACAGCUACUCAUUAUCUUUUUUAAUUCUAAAAUAAAUUUAAAUUAAAGAAAAAAACCCCUCUCACAGGCACGGAAGCGCGUGCUCAGAGGCUAGUUAAAAAUAAUGAACUUUGCUUCUGAAGACGUCUAUACCAGACCCACUCAACCUGCUUUAUGAUUAUACAAAGAACAAACUCGUCCUUAGACUCAUUUGGUUAAACUUAGAAAAUAAUGAAACAAAAAUAUGCACUCCCACAAGUAACACAGCCAGGAUUGAAAACAACUGGACAAAGAAAGGCAUGUUAAAACAGAAUUUUCAACAACUCAUCACCAUUAGACAAGAAAAAGAAAAAUCAAUACAAAAACAGAAAGAACAGAGAAUAAAUGUGGUGGAAGAAAAACGUUGAAGCCAUUUGUGAAUCCAACAACACUACCACUCUGUUUCUCUCCUUUUGUUCAGGCGGAUCUGCAUAUAUCCUAAGGCGUAUUACGGAAACAACUUCUUGCCGUUAUACUUGAAUGUUGUGGAUGCUUCAACGUUGCCAUCUGGGUGGAGUGGAUUUGUCCAAUUCACCUUCACUAUGGUAUAUACGUCCAAAUUGUUGUUAUUUGAAAGGCUUCUAAAUUUUAACAUUUUGAUUUUUAAAUUUUGUUUAAAUAUUUCGGCCCACUUAGUUCUUCUCAAAAUAUGUCAUCAAUAUCGUUGAAAGGUUGAACUUAGUGAAUUAUUAUAGUGCAGUACUGUAGAAUAGACACAUGAUAUAAUUUGUCCACAUGUUAUAAUAUAAGUAAAUAUUUAUUGAUAUUAUUUCUAAAAAUAAGAAAUAUCAACCAUUAUAUCCUCCCAUAUUAUAAUACAUAUACAAAUUAUACCACAUUAUCAUACUCUAAUACCAUUUUAUAAUUUCUCGUACUUAGAGCGAGUCAAUGACAUUACAUAAUAUAUAAUUGUUCAUAUAAUGGGGCAACUAACGUGAUCAACAAGUUGUGGUGAUUAAUUUAACAUAAUAAAAAAUAUACCAUUUACUUGAGUGAUGUAACAAUUUGUUCUUUUAAAUUGGAUUGCCAUCACUUUAAUAUGAUAUGUUUCUUAUUAUAGUGUCCCAUGUUAAGUGCUUCAGCAUUGUUUGUGGUGUGUACACAAAUUUUCUUAUAAAAUGUUUUAAUGCUUCUCACAUGUAUAUCAGAUAUAGACAGUUGAUGUGACUUAGAAAUCAAAUUGUCAAUAAAGCAAAAAAAUAUAAUUGGUGAUUGAGGUCCAAUUUAAUAGAAAAUAGUCUUAACUUGUAUAUUAGAGGUUUCAGAUUCGAAUCCUCACUGCAUUAUUGUUGUAUACGUACACGAGAAAUCCUCUUCUCCAAUAAUUUAGACUAUCACUUAUACUAAAAAAAUAUAUAUAUAUAAUGACUUUUACGGAUGCAAACAUAAAAUUACACCAAACAAUAAUGGAAUAGAAAGAUGCAAGUUAUUUUUUUUUUUUUUACAUCUAAAGUAUACUUUAUAUAUAUAUUUAUUAUGGGUGUUAUAACCGUUUAAUUUUCAGUUUUUAUUUUCUAUUUAUUGUUUUAAUUUUUAUGGUUUAAUGUGUAUGAAGAUUACAAGUAUUGGAUGUCUACCACUCCUCCUUCACAUCUGAAACAAACCACCAUCUCAUUUCUGUAUUUUCAUACUUUCAUAUAUUUUCUACUUUCCAGAUUAUUAUUUUUGGGCAACGGUUCUGUGACUUGCAGAUUUCUAUCCGAUUGUUAACAUGCUCAUAGCGGACCUUGAGCUUGCGUAUUGGGGAUCGUAUCUUGGAGCCUUAUAGACCUUUAUUACCUGCAUGUAGGGAGGUUAUAAAUGCUUUAGGUCAGCAUCUUUGACGUGCUUUUGCUUUCUUUUUUUUUUUACUUAUUUCUUCGUUUCUUUAUUUUUACUUUACUUUUAAAUUUUUAUUUUAUGUAUUAUUUAUAUUUAAAAGUUUUGAAUAAGAGUUUUACAGAAAAGGAAAAACACAAUUUCAAAUAACACAAAUUUCUCGUUUUUGGUUCUUAAAAUAAAUGAAUUUUUUACUUAUUUGUGAACUGAAAUGCCUCUAAAAAAAUAAUGAUAGUUUGAAGAAUUUGAUAGAAAUUAAAAAAUAUCCUCAAAUUACUUGGAAUUGAAGACCACAUAGGCAAAAACACCAUUUUGGACAAAGGCUGGUGAUAAUAGUCGAUAUCAUCUUUAAGUACUUUAAUAUGAUAUGUUUCUUAUUAUAGUGUCCCAUGUUAAGUGUUUCAGCAUUGUUUGUGGUGUGUACACAAAUUUUCUUAUAAAAUGUUUUAAUGCUUCUCACAUGUAUAUCAGAUAUAGACAGUUGAUGUGACUUAGAAAUCAAAUUGUCAAUAAAGCAAAAAAAUAUAAUUGGUGAUCGAGGUCCAAUUUAAUAGAAAAUAGUCUUAACUUGUAUAUUAGAGGUCUCAUAUUCGAAUCCUCACUGCAUUAUUAUUGUAUGCGUACAUGAGAAAUCCUCUUUCCUAAUAAUUUAGACUAUCACUUAUACUAAAAUAUAUAUAUAAUGACUUUUACGAAUGCAAACAUAAAAUUACACCAAACAAUAAUGGAAUAGAAAGAUGGAAGUUUUUUUUUUUUUUCCUACGUCUAAAGUAUACUUUAUACAGUCCCGAUCUCUUGGACCACAGGAGUCCAAGAGAUUGUGGUCACCCACCGUUGGAUAUUAAUCCAAUGGUUCAAAAUGAUAUAUAUAAAUGCAAUAUGACAUAAAUGAUUAUUACCCGAUCCAAGUCAACCGUUGAAUUUACAUUCAACGGUGGGUGACCAUAAAUCUCUUGGACUACAGGGGUCCAAGAGAUCAGGACUGAUACUUUAUAUAUAUAUAUAUAUAUAUUUAUUUAUUAUGGGAGUUAUAACUGUUUAGUUUUCAGUUUUUAUUUUCUAUUUAUUGUUUUAAUUUUUAUGGUUUAAUGUGUAUGGAGAUUACAAAUAUUGGAUGUCUAUAAAGGGCCACUCCUCCUUCACAUCUGAAACAAACUACCAUCUCAUUUCUGUAUUUUCAUACUUUCAUAUAUUUUCUACUGUCCAGAUUAUUAUUUUUGGGCAACGGUUCUGUGACUUGGAGAUUUCUAUCCGAUUGUUAACAUGCUCAUAGCGGACCUUGAGCUUGCGUAUUAGGGAUCGUAUCUUGGAGCCUUGUAGACCUUUAUUACCUGCAUGUAGGGAGGGUACAAAUGCUUUAGGUCAGCGUCUUCGACGUACUUUUGCUUUCUUAUUUCUUCGUUUCUUUAUUUUUGCUUUACUUUUAAAUCUUUAUUUUAUGUAUUAUUUAUAUUUAAAAGUUUGAAUAAGAGUUUUACAGAAAAGGAAAAAUACAAUUUCAAAUAACACAAAUUUCUCGUUUUUUGUUCUUAAAAAAGAAGAAGCAUUGAUUGGGGAGUUAUGGUAAACUCAAUUUCAAUGGUUGCGAUGAGAGGCGGUGGCGGCGAGGAGAGGACGAAGGCUUUGCUGCCGACGGGGUGGUGUGGGUGGGUGGAGACCUCGGCUGGCUGCUUGGUCCUGGGUUCUCCUUUAAUUCUCUGUUUUCUUUUUUCUUUUUCUUUUUCUCUUAGAGUUAUUGAUGUUAAGUGAAUGGACAGAUGCCAAAAUAGGGACAGAAGUAGGGGUGGGCAUCAAUCCGGCCGAUCCGGUCAAUCCGGCCGAACCGAUUAUAUUGGAUUGGUUUGGUUUGGUUUUGACCAAAGAAAAAGUCAACAUUUUGAAAAACCGAACCGAACCGGUUUGGUUUGGUUCAGCUGUGGUUUGAGAGUUUUAAAAACUGUCCUAAACCGAACCGGACCGAUUAUAAAUCAAUUUAUUAUUUAUUUAAUUUAGUUUACAUGUGGCAAGGUUUGUGUGCGUUUUGUGAGUCCGCGUAUCUGAAUGUUGGUGCACGUUUUGAUCUUCUAAUUUGCAUAUCCCAGUUAUUUGUGUGUGCUUGUAUUUCCCUCUCUUUCUAUCUCUACUAUGUGUGUUUGCUCUUUGUGUUGUGUGGCUCUUCUUACUCUAUCUAUCUUAAUUAAUGGGUCCAUUUCAUAAUUUCAUACGCAUUCAAACUCCACCUCUGUGAUAAAAACAUUUACCUCUUUGUGAUAAAAGCUUUUCAUUUGUUUGUAUUUCUCUUUGGCUUUUUGACUCACUCACUGUCUUUCUUUCUUUUAAUGCUACUUGUGAUGAAUGCAAUGAGUAAAUUUAAUGCUACUUGGUUAAUGCAAAUUUUGUAUAUGUUUGUUUUGAUGGAAAUUGUGAACUUAGAUGCAUGCUAGACAUUGGACAACCUUUGAAUAAAUGGAAUGAUGUUGUAUUAGCCUUUGAUGGAAUGAAAUGAAAUGAUAUAAUGGCAAAAUGUUAGCAUUAUAAUGUAAGAGCAGGUUGAAAAAUGCAUGGUUUUGUGUUAGGCACAAACCGGCCGAACCAAUCCGAACCAAACCGAUUACAAGUGGUUUGGAUUGGUUCGGUUUCCAUUAUGAUUUUAGGCUAAUCCGAACCAAACCGGACCGUUAUUUUCUUAUUGGUUCAGCUGUGGUUUGAGAGUAAAACCGAACCAAUCCGGACCGUGCCCACCCCUAGACAGAAGAUGUGAACCCAAUUAUAUACAGCUGAUUACAUAAAGUAACAAAUUAAUUAAUACUUGAGUGGAGGACAGGCUUGAGUGGAAGAAUUGAUUAAGGCUUGAGUGGAAGACCAACUUCAGUGGAGGAAAGUAUAGAUAAGGAAAGCAUGCCUCGUUUAACGGCUUUAUCUAAUAAAGAUUAGUUGUUGGCACUUGGAGUUUCUUAGGAAUGCUGGUUUUGUUUCCUUGGUGGACUUGAAAGGUGGUGCGUUGGCUCGGACAUCUCCCUAGUAAUUAAUCGAAGGUGGAAUCUUACAAGACAUACAGCUGCUCAUUAGCUGAAUAUCUCGCUCUCUUUAAAGAGAUCGAAGCAAACUGCAAUUUGCAAUUUGUGUGAUUCAAGCAUGAAUAUCUGAUAUAGUAACUAUACCAUUUGUUGGUUUGAUAAGAAAAGUUUGGUUAGCGAGGAUGAAACCAUAAAGUUCUCCAAAACACACAAAAAACACGAACAAUUGCUAAGUUUAUUCUUGAGUUCACACAUAUUUGUACAAAUGAGAUUACUCCAAGCAUGACUAUACCAUUUGUUGGUUUGAUAUGAAAAGUACGGGCAACGAGGAUAAAACCAUACAAACACACACAAAGAACGUGGACAAUAUACUAAGUUUAUCUUUGCGUUAUUGAUCCGACCUAACUGUAAAAUAAAAAAGAUAAAAAUAUAUAAUGUUCACUACUUAGAUCUAUGAGCACUAAAGUCCUCCUUUUGAAAUUGCACAAAACAUCACUUUUGGUCUUUGGUAAAUUUUUAAAAUAAAUGAAUUUUUUACUUAUUUGUGAACUGAAAUGCCUCUAAAAAAAUAAUGAUAGUUUGAAGAAUUUGAUAGAAAUAAAAAAAUAUCCUCAAAUUACUUGGAAUUGAAGACCACAUAGGCAAAAACACCAAAUUGCAACCUCACUUUAAUGAUAAAAAUGGUAAACUACAAAGACAAAAAUGACGUUUUGCCUUAUACAUAAUUGGAAUUUGCUGGUGAUAAUAGUCUACCAUCUUUUGUCGAUUUGCUGGUGAUAAUAGUCUAUCAUCUUUUGUCGGUCCGACCUAAAAAGAAGAAAAAGUUGAUGGCAUCUUGUACCAUUUUUGCCAAUGUGGGCCCAAACAAUUUGAAGAAGUCCACCGGCAAUUUCUCAAAAGCUAUUGUGUGAGUGUGAAGCUAAACCAAUAUUAUUUUGCAUAUACGACUCCACAUCCCCAUGUGAUGUGAGGCUACAAAAGUGUUUCCAAAACGAAAUAUGAUAUUUCAAAACGAAGCUAUGUAUAGAGUCAUUUGUAUUUGCUUUCACAAUAACAUUUGAUUUGUGAAAGCAUUUUAUAUUUAUACAUUCUGAUAUUCUAACAAAUAAAUUGACUAAAUUUGGCCAACAGGAUUUAGCCGAAUAGAAAAGUCCUUAUUUAUAGACUAGUGGUUUCAAAUUUAAAGUUUAGACUAUCGCAUGUAUUUAAAAAAAAAAAAACAAUUGGCUUAAUUUGAUAUAUUUCCUUUUUUUCCUUUUUCAUUUUAUACUGGGUGCCGUUAUUAAGUUUUAUCCUUAUUUUUUGUUGAAAAGAAAAUUGAAAAAAAAUAAUAAUUCCUACAGCUAGCAACUUCUCCACCUUCCCUUCUUCGCAACUAGGGAUGCCAUUGCAAGGUCACCAUCUCAGAUUAAGUCCUCCUUUUAAAAUUGUGUCGUUAUUCAGAAUUGGAAUAUAAUCCUGUACCACUUUGGCCACUUUUGAAGAUGUUCACCGACAAUUUCUCAAAAGCUAUUAAGCUGUACAUCCACAAUAUUAUUGCAUCCAUCCCCAUGUGAGGCUACAGAAAAAUUUUGAAAACGAAACUGGAUAUUUUAUCUCUAACAACAGCUUUCAUACUUCGUUUACCCUGUGUUUCCAAGUUGUGCUAGCUAUUUGCAAACCUUGGAAUAUUACUUCAUCCAAAUCCCUUGCAGAGAAGAGCAAGAUAUGGCUUUGAUCGGAGAAGCCCUCAUCUCCGCUACCAUCCAGACGUUUUGUGACAAAAUUGCUUCGCCUGAGUUCACCGACUUAUUUCGGCAGAAAAAGCUCGAUGAACAACUCCUCAACAAGCUGAAGACGACGCUGUUGACCUUGUCCGUAGUGCUUAAUGAUGCAGAGGAGAAGCAAAUUAAGGAACCUUUAGUGAGAGACUGGCUUGACAAUCUCAGACAUAAUGUCUUGGCUGCGGAGGACUUACUGGAUGAGAUCGACACUGAAGCUUUGCGAUGCAAGCUGGAAGAAGGUGAAGGUCAAACCCACAAUUUAACCAAGAAGGUACGUGAUUUUUAUCAACGCAUGAAUGUUGAGAUGAAAGAUUUAUUAGAAAGAUUAGAACAAUUUGUACAAGAGAAAAGUGCUCUUGGUUUGAGAGAAGGUGCUGGGAGGAAGGUUUCACAAAGAAGAACAACUUCCUUGGUUCAUGAACCUUGUGUCUAUGGUAGAGAUGAAGUCAAAGAAAAUCUGUUACAAAGAAGAGGAUUUGCCGUCAUCUCUUUCUCAUCUGAGUAUCUCGCGGUGUCCUGCCCUGGAGAAAAGGUAUAAGAAUAAGACGGGACAAGAUUGGGCAAAGAUAUCUCACAUUCCUUGCAUCAAGAUAGGAUACGAACUGAUCAUAUAAUAUGAGCUAUUCCAUAUUUCACUCUCAACCCUCAACUCUCAAAUCAAAGUCAGGUGAGGUAUGUGCCUUCUCUUACUUUAAAAAACUGCUUCUCUUCUUCUAAUUGAAUACAAAAACCAAAACACAUAUUCUCUUUCUCUUCCAAAAACCCAAAUACAUGUUGAACAUUGCCAAAUUUGAUCUCCAAAUUCCUAAUUAUUUCACGCUUUUUGUUAUUUUGUUGCUUAGUAAAUUAUGGUUGCUGGUCACAAAUUAUAGUCUGUUAAUAGGUUCAUGCCAUGAAUUAAUCUUUGGACUUUCCCAGGUACUGCAGGUUUGUUAUUAAUGUUGUGGCCUGAUAUUCGUCGUAUCAAUAGGUUGUCUUACGUUGAGGAGAGAGAUCGAUCAGCAAUUACAAAAUUGUUAGUGAAUUUAGCUUGUUUAUCAUCUCUCUCCUUUUGUUUGUUAAGUUUGGUUGUUCUAGGUUAAACCCUUGUCCCCGCAUUUCACAGCAACUCUAUGUUAUUCCACUCUGUUUAGUUUCAUUUAUGUUGUGAUUCGACUGCUGCUGUAUUUUAGAUUUCGUUCAUGUAAUGCUAGGAUGUUUAAUCUCUUAUCUGUGGUGGUAGUUGAGUAGUCUAGCUAAUCCAAUGAUAACUUGUCCCCUGUUUUGUAUUGUUUUUAUUUCUCUGGUAAUGAAAGCACGUUUCUUAUAAAUAAAUAAAAAAUAUUUCAUUGAUAUUCAUUGCUUAUUUUGAACUGCAGAAGCCUACUUUUGUCAGAGUCAGUAGAUGCCAGAAUGAAGUCAUUGCCUAAACACAUUGGCACCCUCACAGCCUUCGACAUUUUGGGAUAUAUGAUCUUCAAAAUCUUGUGUCAUUUGCCUCCCAACCUGCAAUAUUUUCAUAUUUUAAAUUGUGACAGACUGAGCCCUUUGGUGGGAGAUUACUGGGGUUUGCAAGGACUUGGUGGCAAUAUCUUGUAGACGUUUCUCAAGGAACAGCUGCUCAAUACCACUCUUCACACUCUAUAUAUUAUGGCCUGUCAGUCUAUAAUUCCUGCCAGGAGAGGAACUUGAACGCCUCUCUUCGCUGCAAAGGCUACAUAUUUGUGGGUGUGACAAUAUCCAAUUCCUGCCAGAAGAGUGUUUGCUGCCAUCUCUUUCUUAUCUGUGCAUCAACCAUUGUUUUGCCAUGUAGAAAAGGUAUCUCACAUUCCUUGCGUCAAGAUAGGCGAAGAAGUGAUCAUAAGAUAUGAGCUCUCUCUCCCUCUCGCUCACAUACAAUGUACUUAACACAAACACUCAAUCUGAUUUCUAUUAUUAUUUUGCUCAGUAAAUUUUGUUUAAAUUUGCUUUAUUUCUCAUUGCACUUGUUCUGCUGAUCACAACUUAUAUCCUAUUUAAAUCUCAAAUGCUGAAUAAUGAGCAGUCUUUUCGCAGGACAACAUAUCUUCUCUUGGAGAGCUAUUCAUUUGCAAGGUUUCUUUAUGGGUCAUUUCCAGAGGAGGGUUUACUAUUUAAUAGAAAGGUUCACCUGGAAUAUCUCAACUGACACAUUCCCAAAUACAGGCAUUGAAUGCACAACAUUUUGAGGUACUAUUUUUGUAAUAAAAAUGUACUUGAGUCUCAUUUGAGCUAGUUUAAAUUGUAUUCAAUGUCUAUGGAUAACCUGUGAGCUUAAGUUGUAAGAUAAAACUCACAGUAUAUUAUUAGGGUUUAGGGUUCAACUGUUCAACAGGUGAGCUUAAGUUGUACUUUCCUAGGUACUGCAUGUAUAUAAUCUUAGUAUCAACACUUGGUCUUAUGUGGACAAGAGAGAACAUUUGAGGAAUUACAAAAUCUUCUUAGUGAAUUAAUGUUGUUUCAGCUCUGUUUGUCAUCCCUCACAUUUUCUUUGUUAAGCCUUGAUUUUUUAUUAGACAUAAGAAAAAAUGCUUUUAUAAGACAGGAGAUGAAUGCUUUUAUAUGUUGAUGUCGUAGUCAGUCUUCAACCACACUCUGUUUUUAGAAUUCAUUUAUGUUACUAGUUGAGUGCUGCUGUAUUUUAUAUUUCGUUCCUGUAAUGUUUGGAUGUUUAGCUUGAGCAGUCUAGCUUAUCCAGUAGAUAACUUGUUCCCUGUUUUGUAAUGUUUUUGUUUCCUCUAAUGAAAGCAGGUUUUACUUAUCUUGAACUGCAGAAGCCUACUUUUUGACAUAGGUGGCAUGGCACAAACUCGCAUCCGCAUUUCCUUCCCCAUUGGCAUGCUGUCUCAUCUUUUGUAUUCUGUUACCAGCUUGAAGCUUGUGUAGACAUGUUAUGCUCUUGUAAUUCUGAUCACAAACAUCACUUGACAAAUGGAAAGUCACAAUCAGAUCUUUCAGGUGAUCGGGAGGUUUACUUUCUAACAUUUGUUUUCAUUGGGGGGAGGACAACAAUACAGAAUUUAAAAUUUCUGAUAAUCAAUAGUAGUUUGCAUAUAUCAGCUGGGACCUGUAUGACUGUAUUAUGUAAUUAAUUAUUUCUCUUAUUGUUUUGGUACUGUUAAAAGGAGUUAGCCACAAAAUAAAAAAGGAGGCCUCUUAUUUCAUACAAUUUUUCAAAAGUGAUCAUUCAUCCGUUUCUUUUUCAACAAUAGAGGAAUGUAUACUAAUCGUCUGGUCCAUCUGCUGCUUCACUCCCUAGUAGCUUCAUCUCCUGUCCUUUGCUUUAUUUCUGUUGAUGAAUGUUUUGUCUGGGUUAUUUAUUUUCAUUUCAUGUCCAUUGCUUCAUUUCUGUUUGGAUUCUGUCCUGGACUUGAACAAGGGUUAGGUUAGCUGUAUAAUUUGCGGUUUUAUAUACACAACUGUCUACAUUGAUUAAAACCAGCAUUAUUCUAAGGUUCAUUUAGAAUGUAUUAUCACCAAAAUUAUAAAGUAUACUUCUAUUACAAUUAAUUUGUUGAUUCUAAUUUGGACUUGUAGGAACAGACCAAACAUGUUCAUACGUGGCAUUGCUCAAGUCAUCAUCAUUCGGGACAGAGAAUAAGCCUUCAAAUGUCUGCUGAGUCAAUGAACCUUUCUAGAUAUCUCAAGUGUAGUGGAAAUUGAUGAGUUACAAAGGAUUUUUAAACAUUUUCUACUGGAGGCUAGAAAUGCUUCAAAUAAAUGACUGUGUUGCAAUUAUUUUGUAGGAUCAAAGACUCUGCAAAGAGGUAAGAAAGUCAUCAUCAAGUAACUUUGCUCUUCAAACUUUUUAAUUUUAUUUUUAAAUAUCAGUAAUAACUGGGAAAGUUUGCAUUUCCUUAAAUUGCUCAUUCUUACAUCUUUUAUAGUUUGUUGAUCUUGGGCAAGUGGAGAGAGAGGCGUCAAGUGAUACACAACAACCAUUUUCUGUGAGCUGAUUUGAUAAAGAGAAAUGGUAUGCUUUCUUGUCUUAAGCGGUGUGUUCUGCAAUUAUUUGAAACAAAGGAUGCCGCACUUCAAGUUCGAGAAAAUCAGGUAUUUUAGUAUUUUAUUCUGGAGAAAUUUGAUUUAUGUAGAAACUUGAACAUGUAAAUGAGAGAAAAAAAAAUUUAUAUAUAUAUAUAUUAUAUUGUAUAUGCUCUUAAUGAGUUAAUAUGGUGCUUGCUCCUGGUUGGAAAUUUAUGUAGUCAUCUACCUAUGAUCAAAUAAAGAUGAAAAAUAAAAUAAAAUUGAGAGCAUCUUCCUCUCCCCUGCUUUGCUCAUCCCUUGUUCUUCCACUUCAGCCCCACUAUUACACCAUUUUUUCAGCCACAAUUAUAAUAGCUCCAUGAGCAUUAAGUCCUUUUCAAAUUCUGCUGACAUUCAAAAUUGGAAUUGCUGGUGAUAUAUGAUAGCAUCCUUGUCCGACCAAAAAGAAAAAAAAAAAAAGUUGAUAGCAUAUUGUACCAUUUUGGCCAGUGUACGCAAUAUUAUUGCAUCCAACUUUGCAUAUUAACAUCAGUGGCCACAGUUCCAUGAUUUGAGUGCACAGAAAGGUUUCAAAAGUUGUCCCACAAAGAACAGUCGUUCAAAGUGAAAGAGAGUUUUCAAAGCUUAGUUACAAGUUCAUGUUAUUUACAAUAUCAAAAAGCUUUCAUACUUGCUUACAAACCUGUAUUUCCAAGUUCUGCAAACCUUGGAAUAUCACUUCAUCCAAAUCCCCUUCCAAAGCAGGAAAAAUGGCAGCAGCUUUGAUUGGAGAGGCUCUCAUCUCUGCUUCUAUCGAGUUGUUGUGUGACAGAGUUACUUCAGCCGAGUUCAUAGACUUAUUUCAGCAGAAGAAACUUGAUGAAACACUCCUCAUGAACCUGAAGACGACACUGUUGAUUUUGUUUGCGGUGCUCAAUGAUUCAGAGGAGAAGCAAAUUGUGAACCCUGCUGUGAGAGAGUGGCUUAACAGCUCAAGCAUGCUGUCUUUGAUGCAGAGGACUUACUUGAUGAGAUUGACACUGAAGCUUUGCGAUGCAAGCUGGAAGGUGAGGAUGAAACCCACAAUAAUUAACCAAAAAGGAUCUUUUUGAUUGUUUGAAAGGAGGGUCUUGAUGAUUUGAAAGGAGAGGGUUGCUUUAUUUCUGUUGGAUGCUUAAUUAAAUCUUAUUUGGAGUUGAACAAGGAUUAGGUUAGCUGUAUAAUUAGUGGUAAACGCCUUUUUCUAAGGGUCAUUUAGACUCAUAUUACGAUUAAUUUGUUGUUUCUAAUUUGGACUUGUAGGAACAGACCAAAUAUGUUCACACGUGGCAUCGCUCAAGUCAUCAUCAUUUCAGACUGAAAAUCAGCCUUCAAGUGUCUGUUGAGUCAAUAAAACUUUCUAGAUAUAUCAAGUGCAAUGGAAAUUCAUGAGUUACAUAGAGAUUUGUAAACAUUUUGAAGAUUGCAACACCUGCAAGUGAGAUAGGCGGUGACGAAAUCAGAGAUGAAGCCUCUGAUGCCCCUGUUGUUGCAAGUUGCACCUGAGAACAUGUUUUUUUUUCUUCUUUGGGGUAAAAAACUGGCAACAUGUUCGGAGCUGACAAUUCAAUCCCUGAUGAACUAGAGAAGCAAAGCUCCGGUAAGGAAAUUGGUCAAGGUUGUGACAGGGAUGAUUGAUGGUGAAAUGGAUGCUAUUUCUUAUUGCAGCCUGUUCUUAAAGUUCUUGUUGGCAAAUGCAAGAGAUGGAGUAUUUUGAUUGGGAGGAGAGAUAAUGACAUGGCUUGACAAUUCUAGAACAGCCCAUCAUUAAUCCCAGAAAAAAUCCAGUUUCUGCUAAACAAUCACUUAUGGCAAGGCCAACUCUGUAAAUGGAAUUUGUGAUCCCUUCAAAUUGUACACAUUUUUUCUUUUUGAGGAAUUUAAUCAAACAGUAUUCUAAUGCAUUAUGAUGGCACUACACGCUUUUGUUGUAACAAAUUACAAGGAGGAAUUUGGAUUGAGUUUCUUGUAUAAGCACACCUUACACAAAUUUCGUAUAUUUUCUUCCAGCAAGUCUGUCUAUUAAACCCCUUAUUUGAAAUUAAUUGUUAUAAGUUUUGAUUCAUCUUUAAUCAGUGUCUUCCCCUUGUUGAAUAACACUCCUCUUUCUAAUUUAUAUUUGAAGUUUGAGGUUUCAAUUUCAAUUGUGGGUUUUGAUUUUACAGAUUUUGUUUGUCAAUUUCAGUUUGGACAAAGCAUAUGCAAUCAAAGUAAGCAUUUUAUGUUAUACUUUUGAACUAGGUGUUGAUUUGAUUUAAUCAUAAGUUUUGCUGGUGCAUUUACUAGGCUAAUCAUUCAAUACUUUUGAUCAUAGAACUUCUUUGGUUGAUAUUAUCUUUGUUAAGUUUAACCAUAACUUUAGAGAGGGGACUUAACAGAUUUAUAAUCUCAUCAUUAUAGUAUUAAAAAUUAGAGAUUAUUUAAGGCAUUGUCUAUUAUCUGAAUUCUGCUUACUUUUAGUUCAUAUGUUUACAUCUUAGCAUAUUCAUGUGAUUAGUGCGGCUCAUACCACAAAGGCAAUUUUAGGCUCAUCAAGUGCUAAGCAAUGUCAAGCUUCCAAGUGACAAGUUCUCUACAUAGUUUGAGACCUACACUUACUAGAUAUUAGAUCAUUUGGAUCAUUUCCAUAUGUGUAUAUGUAAUUGACAUGUUAUAACAUUUUUGUAGCGUUAUAUAAUUAUUUAGCAAUUUAAUUAUUUCUUUGCAACUUUAUUUUUUUUGUCAGUCAUACUAUUGUUGACUGCUAAAAACCAUCAAGAAAUAGUUCUUAAGUUAUAAAAAAAAAUUAUAAAAAAAAAGAUUUGUUGAUGCUUAAAAAGCAUCAAGAACAGAUAGUUUCUUGACGGUUUUGUGACGUUUCAUAACUGUAAGGGGCUUUUUCUUUCGACAGCUGUAAAUGGGCUGGGCUGCCGUAAAGGUCAAGACUGAUGAAAUUGUCCCUUUUUGUCUGAGCUCGAAAAUUAUGCCCCAAAAUACUUUGAAAGGGCAGCAGAGCCUUAGGAAGUAUUUUGGUUACCCUCACCAACUAAAACAACAACAACUUACAGGUAAUUUCUUAAUGCUUACAGAUGAACUCUUGUGCUUGGCAUGAGUGACAUGUGGCAUGGAAGCAAAAUCAACAUGAGUUUAGCACUGAGGCGAAAUUUAGGCUCUCUUGGGGGAAAAAGGGAAGUGUUAAGGUGAGAGAGGAGAAGUUUGUAGGAGAUUUAGCUAAGAAAGGAGAAAUAUAGAACAAUGCUCUUCUGGCAACUUGACAGAUGCUCUGUCUGCCAAAAAAGGAAGAUGGAGAAGAAAUGUGAAUAGUGCACGAAUUUGCUAGAUUUUUGCAGGUAAGAGAGGAAGCUUGCCCUAUGGGUCUGAGUUGAGUUUUGUUGGGUGGAAGAGACCUCAUUUUAUAGCCCCUGGAAACCAUCACUUCCCAAGAAACCCUAAUGGCUUCUACCUAUUUUGGCCAAGCUUUUCCCUUCCUUUCUCAUUUCCUUCCUUGAGUUUACCCCUUUUGAUGAAAUCCCAUCUGCCUAUUUGCACCAGAUCAAAGUUUUUUGAAGCUCAAGGCCCCCAUUUUCUUGCAGUUGUCUCAAUGGGAGACUUCCAUUCCCAGUCAUUCUCCUUUAUUGCUUUCCUUUCUUUUUUUCAUGGCCUAGUCUGGUGGGGAAAGGAGUUGGGAUAUAUAUGCUGGUUUGAAGGGUGCUUCUCUUCCUGACAUCUUACACACUAAUACCCCUUGGUUCCUUGAAUGUUUUGGCUUUGAAACUUGCUCCCCCCCUCCCCCCAUGUACUGGAACCUCCCAGCAGCUCUGUUCAAUGAAUUUUCAGACCUUUUCUUCAUGGCUUUUAUUUUUUUAUUAACUGGCUGGAGCUUUUGUGGCUCAUUGUGGCAAUUGUAUGGGCUAAGGUGGUUCAUUAAGUAAGUGAGCUAUUUUUAUUAAACAUUGGGCUUUUUGGUUGAGUCACUAGGCUAUUUUGAUUGGGCUAUUGGGCUAUUUUUUCCUUUCUUGUACUCACCCACAUGUUUGGACCAAAGAAAUGAGCUUGAGUCCUGAGGCUCCCAAGCGACCCGAGACUUUCCAUUUCUCGGCCCAUCAAUGGGCCUCAUGUUGAUUUAUUACCAUCCAUACCACAACCCACUCAAGCAAGCCCCGGGCAUUUGAGUGGCUUGGGCCCACUUAGGCUUGUAGUGUGGUUGGGUGCGAAAUGACGAUUUCGUGCUUGGCAUGUUUUAAUUUUAUCAUCCUUGGGAAAGGCUGCGAUGUUUGAUUUCGGCAUGGGCUUGUAGAGCUGGUAUGCUUUAUUUCAACUCUAGCAUGACGAAUUAUUUAUUUAGCAUGGCACGUGAAUUACAACUCGCAUGGGGUGGGUUUUUGUGUACUACACCUUACGCCUCUUCUUAAUAGAACAUCGUUUUGGGCUGAUAAUUUAUUCGGGCCCAACUGUGAAUUUUUUGGGUCUCAAUAAUAACCAUCAUAAAAUAUUACAUUUUGACUGACGUCAAGAAAUGGGGUAUCCCUUUCCUGAUAGUGGCAUCCAUGAUGCCUUCCAAGCCGUCAAUUAAGGGCUAUCGUGAUGCAUUUUAGUUGUCAGCAAAAGGUGUUUUUCUUGUAUUGUAUUCACUCAAAAUCAUGUUUCAUUUAAGACUAGUAGUAUGGUUGAAUACCAUUUGUUUUGUUAAAGAAUAUUAUACAUUAGGGAUUUUUGUAGAAAUGUCAUUUGAACUUAUACCUUAGUUUCAAUUUGUUACCUUGAAGAAAAAUUUAAGAGAAAUGUCACCUUAAUUUUUAAAAAUCCAUGAUUUGUUAUAUGACUUUAAGAUCAUCCAAUUUUCCAUCCAUUUUAAGGGGAUUUUAGUCUUUUCAUUUUCAAGGAAAAAAAAGAGAUGAAAAAAGAGACAUCUCUCUUACUUUGUUGCCCAACCCAACCCAACCCCACCCGCCCCCCAAAACCACAUAGGAUUGCCUCCCCUUUCCCCACUUUUCUUUUUUCUUUUUGUCCUACUUUUCCACUGUGUUUAUGUUGAAGGAUCUAAAGUUUGCUUGGUCACCAUCUGUUACGUAGGCUUCCCAAUUGUUGGUUUGGGUGGGUUGUGGGAAUUUGUGUGUGGAGGGCAAGACCCUAUCUGACAGGACCUGCCUCGAAUUCCUCGAAACCCGAGACGAAUCUUGUGGAAUUCCCGACAUUACACCGAUGUCGGGCCCACUUAUGAACUAAAUCCUCCUUUCCAAAAUUAAGGAAAAAGAGUACGAGGCUUUCUGCCGAAAUUGCGGCAGUGUCUUCCUUAUAAAUUUAACAUUUCAGCUUUGGUGGCCAUUCUCUCAUUUUAGCUUUGGUGGCCGGAUGAGAGAACGGCCGGCUAAAACGUGGCCAACUGGCAUUGCCGUCGCGAGAGAGGAGAGAGAGAGAGAGAUUUUUAUCAAACCAUUUUUGCCAAAAUUACGAUUAUGCAACUGAGGGUAUUUUGAUCGUAUCUUUUUUGUUAUAACUCCGAUUCAAGCUCACUACAUGCCUAUGGAUUCAUCUCGCCGUGCUUUAUGCAAUUGUAUAGUUGAAAUUCCCAAAUUCCAUCCCAGUCAAAAGUCAACUUUAAACCCUAUAAAAUAUUCUAGGGGAAGAAUGGUCUUUUAUCUAAUUAAAUUAAUAAUUGAAAAUUUAUUUAGGAUCGGGUCGUUACACUGUCGUUGAUGGACUGUGCGAUGACACUCACACAAAGUCCUUGAGAAUAAAACACACACACACCGUGAAGAGAGUAAAACAAAUACACAAGUACACAAAGAUUUAUAAAGGUUUGGCCUCCUGCCUACGUCCUUUUGGUGAUCCACCCGAGAAAUUCACUAGUAUGUAAGAACAACUUUGGUUACAACUAAACCCCCUUAGCUUUCAUAAGAACCCUAGAUCUCUUUUCUCCCACCCUUGCUCCAACCCUUUGAUGCCCUUGUAAACACUCAAGAAUUCACCCUUGAAUUCUGUCAUGUGUUACAUCUUCUCUUCUCCCCUUUGUUAACCUAACCCUAAAAGUUAUAUUUAUAAUUCAUAGGACUUUAAGUACAAGUUAACUAGGAAUAGGAAACAUAAAAGACCCCCAAAAUUGGAGAAAAUAUGUCUAGAUCUCGUUAGGAAAUUGCACAACACGUGCGAUCCGCUCGAGCGCCUGCAAAAUCAUCCCUUUGCCGCUCGAUCUGCCGAUAGCUCAUGGGAUGGGGGAAUUAGAGAUUUUUUUUUUUUCAAUUUUAAUUGUUUAAAAGAUAUACAAUUUUUUAAUAAUAAUUUUUCCAUUUUUAAAAUACCCUUGAAAAUAGAAAGAUUAAAAUGCCCUUAAAAAUGGAUGGAAAAUUGGAUGGUGUUAAGAUCAGAUGACAAAUCAUGGAUUUUGAAAAAUUAAGGUAACAUUUCUCUUAAAUUUUUCUUUAAAGUGACAAAUUGAAAUUGAGGUAUAAGUUCAAGUUACAUUUCUGCAAAAAUCCUUAUACAUUAUGAUAUUCUAACAAUAAAAUUGGCUAAAAUUGAUAUGUUCCCUCUUUUAUUUUCUUUUUCUCUUUUCCUUUUCAUUUUAUGAUCCAAUCCUUUUCAUAUAUUUUUGUUCAAGACUUUGUUUUAGAAUGCUCUAUUACUAAUUUGGUACAGGUCCCUAAAAUCUCAGAGCCGCCUUAGUACAUUCAUAACGUACAUGUUCAGAGUUCAAGAAUAAUGUAUAGAAUGUGAAAUUGACGAUGCCGGCCUUUAUGAGGCAACGUCUUUAUUUCUUUGGUUAUUCCAGUUUAGAAUAUUUGCACAAAUGAGAUGACUCCAAGCAUAAAGUCACAUUCGACCAAAAAGCAUGAAGUCACACACAAAAAGAACACGGACAAUUGCUAAGUUUAUCCUUGUACCCUUAUUAUCCGACCCAAUUGAAAAAUAAAAAAAGAUGAUAAAAAAUAUUGUUCACUGCUUUAAAAUCUAUGAGUAGAGUCCUCCAUUUGAAAUUUCGUCAUUAUACAAAAUUGGAAUGAAAAAAGAAAAUCCUACAGCUAAAUUUGAUAUAUUUCCUUUUCAUUUUAUGCUGGGUGUUAGGGCUCGUCAAUGGGCCGGGCCAGGCUAGCCCGGCCCAAAUUUAAUGGGCUUGGGCCAGGCUGGGCCAGGCUUUAAAGAGGAGAGAGAAAAUAUCAGGCCGAGUUUUUUAAGAAAAUUCAAAGCCCAAGCCCGACCCAUGAGCCCGGCUUGAGAAAGCCCAUCGGGCCGGCCCGGGCCUAAACAGGCCCUACUUCGUUAAAAAAAAAUCAUAAACUUAAUCAUAAGGUCAUUUUAGUCCAAAUUUGAGAUUAAACUCACUUAAUUCCAAUAUUUUCACUUCAAACCAAAUUCAUAAAACACCCAAUAAAGUCACACAGCUUGUAAGAUUUUCCACAAAAAUAAUAAAACCAAGUACUAUUUUUGAGGUUAUUACAUAAUUAGAUCGUAAUAUGUUUUAAGAAAUAAUUUUAAAAAAUAAUAUUAAUAAGUAUCAAAAAAAUAAUUUUUUAAAGGAUGGUAUGAAUAAAUAUGCAAAUAUUUGGUGAUGUGUUCAAGAAAAGGAUGAUUAUAUUUGGUGGUACGAUUAUGUUUCGUGAUAUGAUUAUAAUUAGUGAUGUGAUAUGUUGUUCAUCUUAUAUAUAUAUAUAAUUGUUGAAUUAAUAAUUGACACAAAUUAAUGUGUUAAUCAUCCAAUUAUAAACUAGGAAUGAAUAAAGAAAAGUAAAUGAAAUGAAACAAAUUAUAUAUGUGAUUUAAGUGAUAUAAUCCUAAACCUAAACUCUUAUUUAUACAUAAUUAUAUAUGUAUGCGGGCCUAACGAGCCGGACUUUUGUGGGCGGGUAGGGCCGGGCUUUAUUGGGCUUAAUCGGGCUUUAUUGGACUUAAUCGGGCUGGGCCUAUAGGUCGGACCGAGCUUCAGACAUCCAAGCCCACGCCUAGCCUCGCCCGCCUUGGGCCGGGCCAUUCUUUUUUUGGGGUUCUAUUUCUCUUUGAAUUAACUGCUGAGUUUCAUGAACAUGUCCUCCUUUUGAAAUUGUGUAUUAUUCAAAAUUGGAAUUUGCUGGACAUACUUGAUAUUUUCGUGAGUAAAUUCUGAUUUGGUGGUUGUGCUCGUCACAAAUCAAUGAAAUGACAGCAGUGAUUUUGCAAGACAGCGUACCUUCUCUUGGGGUGCUUUUCAUUUUGCAACAUUUCUUUACGUGUAAUUUCCAGAGGAGGGUUUAUCAUUGUAUACAGCUCUUCGGGUGGUUUUUCUACAAAACAAAUGUCACAAAGAAGGAGGAGAAGCGGAAAAGAUUUACUUGGAAUGUCUCAAGUCUCCUUUGAGAUAAAGGCAUCGAAUGCACAACAUUGUUUUUGUGCUAUUUCAUAAUUAAAGUGUGCUUCCCAAGUCUCCUUUGUGUUUUGUAACUUGUAAUGUUUGUUUUUUUGUUUCCCAUGUUUUGUCUCUUAUAAAAGAAAGGCUUUUUAUCACAAAUGGUCCUUCAGGUUUACAAAAUUAUCACAAAUCGUCCUUCAAGUUUUUUUGUGACACUAAUAGUCCUUCAGGUUAUCAUUUACCCAUCAAAAUGGUCCUUCUGUCAGUUUCUGUCAAAACUGACGUUAAAUUCCUGUGCUCAGCCUGCUUUUGAAAUGAUAAUCUCAUCUUUUCCACUCAACCUUCAACCAAACUCAACUGUCAGAACCCUUUCCCUCCAUUUCCUCAUGGUCCUUCCAGUUUGGCGCCCCUGUAAUAUAUAACCAAUCUUAAAAAUUAAACUUCUGAAGAAAUUGAAACAAUCCAAGCUCAAGAGAAAGACCAACAAUUGAGAACUGCAGAGAAAGAUCAAACUCAUGGAUCAAUAUGGUAAAGCCAAAUUGAAAAACAUAAUUUGCUAAAGAUAAAGCCAAACUGAAAAACCAAACUGAAAAACAUAAAGAUAUCAUUGACAAAUAUAAAAAGUUAAAAAAUAUUGCACAAUCAAAAUACAACCACAUGUUUCACAAAACAAAACAAAACAACCACAUUUGCAGACAAGCUGUAGUUUACACUUUAACAAAGAUUAAAAAACUAACCUGUAUACUUUGGUUGUUUCCCCCCCUUUCGAAAGAACUCCUCGGACUCAUCCAUCUAGUCACUUUUGUAAGAAGAAUAAUGCGUAUUUGACUCUUACGAACCCAGAUAUUCCUUUUGCAGACCAGCUUUAUCAAUUAAAAACCCAAAAAACCUUAAUUGUGCAGGGCCCGAGGAUGAAAUGGAGGGAAAAGGUUAUAUAUGCGGUUUAGAGCGCCAAAAUGGAAGGCCCGAUGAAGAAAUGGAGGGAAAGGGUUAUUUCAGUUGGGUUUGGUCGAAGGUUGAGUGGAAUGAUGCGAUUAUCAUUUCAAAAGGCAGGCUGAGCACGCGACUUUAACGUCAGUUUUGACAGAAACUAACAGAAGGACUAUUUUGAUGGAUAGAUGUUAAACUAAAGGACUAUUAGUGACACAAAAAAACCUAAAGGAUGAUUUGUGAUAAUUUUGUAAACCUGAAGGACCAUUUGUGAUAAAAAGCCUAAAAGAAAUACAGGUCCAAACCACACGGAUCUACUUGCAUAAUAAUGGACCAAAUUUAUGAUUUUUAGAAAGAACCUUCUACUGGUGGAAUCUUGGGCUACUGUUGUGGCUCUCCUCUGUGUGCCUCCUUUUUAGAACGAUAAAAUAUUCAAAAUACCAGAAAAUGUUCAUGAUUAAUGCAAAUAUUAAGAAUUGAAAUUAUUAAUUAAAUGAAGAUAAUAUGGUAAAUUCACACUUUUUCAUAUUAAAAAAAUUAAAAUUAAAAGAAAUAUCAGAUAAUUACUCUUAUUUUUAUGGAACACAGCUACCCAUUAUCUUUUUUAAUUAUAAAAUAAAUUUAAAUUAAAAAAAAAAUCUCUCUCACAGACACGGAAGCGCGUGCUCAGAGGCUAGUUAAAAAUAAUGAACUUUGCUUUUGAAGACGUCUAUACCAGACCCACUCAACCUGCUUUAUGAUUAUGCAAAGAACAAACUCGUCCUUAGACUCAUUUGGUUAAACUUAGAAAAUAAUGAAACAAAAAUAUACACACCCACAAGUAACACAGCCAGGAUUGAAAACAACUGGAAAAAGAAAGGCAUGUCAAAACAAAAUUUUCAACAACUCAUCACCAUUAGACAAGAAAAAGAAAAAUCAAUACAGAAACAGAAAGAACAGAGAAUAAAUGUGGUGGAAGAAAAACGUUGAAGCCAUUUGUGAAUCCAACAACACUACCACUCUGUUUCUCUCCUUUUGUUCAGGCGGAUCUGCAUAUAUCCUAAGGCGUAUUACGGAAACAACUUCUUGCGGUUAUACUUGAAUGUUGUGGAUGCUUCAACGUUGCCAUCUGGGUGGAGUGGAUUUGUCCAAUUCACCUUCACUAUGGUUAAUCAACUAGACAGACAUAAGUCAGAAACAAUAGGUAUAUACGUCCAAAUUGUUGUUAUUUGAAAGGUUCUAAAUUUUAACAUUUUGUUGUAAAUGUGGAGAGAAAAAGUAGAGAAUUGGAAUAGAGAGGAGAGACUGAUUUUCUCAUUCAUAUGUUCAGAUGAAUGUCUUCAGUGUAUAUUUUACAAGUAGGGGGAGGUAUCUAUUUAUAGGCUAAGGUUUUGGUAAAAUACAGGGAAGGAAAGUUCCUGGAAGAUGCAAGGAAACUUCCUCUGUGGGCUCCACCUUCAAACUUUUACAACACUCCCCCUUGGAGACCACAAAUGAUAUGGAAUAUGCCUCGUUAAAAACCUUGCCAGUAAAAACCCAGUGGGACAAAAACUGGUCAAAGGGAAAAAGAGUACAUAAUGAUGUGUAACAUAAAAUUCUGUGUAUAUUGACGCGCGUGCGACACUGCCUCGUUAAAACCUUGCCAGGAAAAACCCAGUGGGAUGAAAACCUGGACGAAGGAAAAAGAGUACAGUGUUUGAAGAUCUUUAUUGAUAGCAUGCUCCCCCUGAUGCUUGGUAAAAUAUCUUUAAGUCAUACUGUUGAUCACCUUUCUGAAUAUCGUAGUUGACACUGCUGCUGUGAGUCAAUCUUGAGCGACACUGCCUCGUUAAAACCUUACCAGGAAAAACCCAGUGGGAUAAAAACCUGGAUGAAGGAAAAAGAGUACAGUGUAUGGAGGUCUUUAUGAAAAACCACGCUCCCCCUGAAAAAUAUCUCCCCCUAAAAAAUUUCAUGACUAGCUUUUCCAGUAUGCGACCAUAGAAAUUUUCAUAGUAUACUCUAAACCCUUGAGCGACACUGCCUCGUUAAAACCUUACCAGGUAAAACCCAAUGGGAUAAAAACCUGGAUGAAGGAAAAAGAGUACAGUGUGGAGCUGACCUCUAUCUGGUCUAGUAUACUUCCGGAAAAACAUUUAAGGUGUCCAACGGAUAAUCCUCAUAAAAAUGCUUCAAUACUUUCUUAGUAUAAGCAAGAAUCUCGUUGGCAUAAUGCUCGAUCUUUAAGUCGAGACAAAUAUUUCGUGACUUCUGCAGAAGCUUUAAUGUGUUGCAAACACAUUAUAAACAAUGUACUCACUGAGGUAAUUUAUGCAUAUUAAUAUUGAGUACAAAUUUUGUGCUUCAAGCACAUGUCCUUUAGGGACUUGCUUUAUGCAAUGUCAAUCCUCUCAACGGAUUUUGUUUAAAAGGGGAUUAAACUUUAUGACACAUUAUAUAGCUUUAACCCAGCUAUUUAUACAUCUUUAGGGAAUCACUUCAAGUGAUAUGCUCUGUGCAUUUAAUAACCCUUAAAGAUAACAUGUUGGUCUCCGUAAUUGUGCAGUAAGGGGGGAGGCACAAUUGAAUCUGUAAAUAUGGAAAAGACCCAACAUUCAUUGUUUCUGCCAGAAACAUUGUGUCAUACAAAGUAGGUAUAUUCCCUUUUAUUCCGAACACCCAAGUAUAAGUUUCAAUAUUAACAUCUUUUGGGGUUCGUACUGUGGGUUUGUUCUUUCACGUUCAUUCUCAUCUAUAAUGGAAUUACCUCUUUCCAUUUUGGCCAAUGAUAUUGUCGACAUCUAAUAAUUGAACGUGGUUCCAAUCAACACAGCCCAUUGAUGAUUUGAGUAGCUACUCCAAAACCAAAAAUUGUCAUUCAUCAAUUCAUUAUCCCACCAUUCUCAUGUGCAUGCGCAUGCAUCAAUUAUAAGCAUUUCUUUGCUUUUGGGUACCCAAGCCACUUCAGGGGGCUUUUAUUAUGUGAGAAUGUGGAUUAUAACCUCCAAUGGAGCGUUAUUUUGCAGUAGGGCGUGGAUAAUCUCCAUUUAGGGAGUUGGAACAUUUAGAACCCAUAUAUCUGUCAUGCUGCAGGCAUGCCACAGAUUAAUACAUACAUGUCAAUUAGUUUAUGGGACUUUAACCCAUAUGAUGGGACUUUAACCCAUGUAAUUUGCUACGCAUUCGGCGUGCAUAAUCUCAAUAUUGACAUGUCAAAGGAUUGUCCAUUCGGGACUUCAAUCCACAUCAUUUGCUACGCAAUAGGCGUGCAUCAUAUUGAUCACUGCUAUACCCAUAUUCUGUUCUUAUGGGACUUUAAUCUGUGCAAUGUAUUAUCAAUGUAUCCAACUUGCAAUCUGUAAAAUUUGCAUUAAUAAUACAUGGAUACAUACAAGCCAUUCUUUUGGGACGGACUUAUCUCCCCAUUUGGUUACCUUUCAAUAUAAAAUAUCAAAUAGGUAUAUAAGCAUAAAAUAACACAAGUAUUGCUUACAUCCUUAGGUGGGAGAAACUUUUCUCAAGUAUCGCUUGAUGAUCUUGUUAUAUCCUGCAAGAGCAAAAAUCACAAUUCCUUUCUCUGUCAAAAACAAAUAAGAGGAAUAGGUAGAACCGGUGAAUUUCAAAUUAACCAUAGGAAAAUUGCGAGAUUCUCGGGAUGCUUUUGAAAAAGUAGCUCCGUGAAAUCCGUAAAGCAAGAUUGGCUUUGAAAAUAAUACUUGAAAACGCCGAAAGUGCCGACAGGCAUUAUUAGAGGCCACGUGAAGUUUUGGACUUCUAGGAAAGAAAAAGAUAAUAUGGGGAUUCGAGAAGAUAUUGGGGUCUUGAAAAACAGUAGCCAUAUUUCCUCCUAUAGAUAUGGCCUUUGCAACAAUUGCGCACCUUCUUAAACUUGCACCUGUGGUUUUUACGCCUUUUCAAAAUGACGGUUUGGAACCUUGUGCCUUAUAGGUUCAAAUAACCACAUUGUUUCUCCCAAAUUUCAUAUUUUAUCGCAUGGUAGCCCGAAACUUUUGGCCUGGGCACAAAUUCAGAAUUUAUUUGCCCUUUUCAAAUGGACAUGAAAUAUGAAUUGAGUAAAAGCCAUGAUAAUAUCGCAAUAUAGUAGUGAAGAGCAUUAACUACUAUAUACCCACAACUUCAAGUUCAGGAUCUCUCAUAUAUUUGGAUCCAUGGGUUUCCGGCCCAGAUAUAACAAAAUAUGUGGGGAGCCUCAAUUCAUCAUUUGAGGUUCAUACUGAUAUUAUCCAUUUCACGGUGUAUUCUUGACAACCGGAAUUCACAAAAUAUAUUUCUUCCUUGAAGUGUCGAUUAUAACAAAAUCGAACUUUAAAUUCAUCAUCUUCUUAUGCCAAAGAAAUAUGUGGCAUACCACAAUUUGCAAUAAUACCUCAAGGGUUGUCCAUUUAAUUGUUGGAACUUCAGGUUCUCAACACUGUUAGAUUUUGAACUUCUGGCCAAAAUCACAUAUUCUCAUGGUAUGGACAUUCAAUCCCCUUAGAUUUUGAACUUCGGGCCAAAAUCACAUAUUCUCAUGGUAUGGACAUUUUUACAAUUUUCUGUACAUAUUUCUGGACUUCAAGCCCUUACAUAAUUGUCCAUAUUUUGAGGAACUUCUGGCAUCUCAUUUAAUUGCUCAUCCAUGAGUUUAAGGAACUGCAGGUUCCCUUUUGAAUGGUGAUGGUUUACCCAAAAUGGUAAAUACUUAUGCAUACAUCACUAUUCAUGUAUACGGCACUAUUUAUGUAUACAGUACAUUUGCCAGUACAGUUAUCAUCCAUGUGUACGGCAUUAUGAACAAAUACGGUACUGUUACAUCAUUAAGGAACCCCAUGUCCUUAUUUACAUGUCAGGGAUCAAGGACCCUCAAGUCCGAUCACAUGUUUACAAAUAUAGUACCGGAGAGACUGCCAGCUCUCAUAUUAACAUCAUCAUCAAGGAUCUUCAAGUCCUGAUGUAAUUGUAUGAUGAGGAUCAAAGAACUUCUGGUCCUGAUCUGUAUACUGUAAAAACUCAUCAUACAGCACAUUUAAUCCAUAGAAUAAAUUGCUGGUAAAUAAAUUACUGGUAUGGACGAUAAACUCGCACCAUACUUUAAAUAAAUAUUGCCUUACAUACACUUACAGCAUCAAUAAUUGAUAUCCAUCCAUGAUCCACCUGUAUAAAUGUAUAUAUAUAUAUGUAUAUAUAUAUAUAUUAUUUUUAUUUGGACUUAAACAGAAACAGGCAUUUUCUAUAGCUGUAAGUAUAAUUGUACCUGCCUACGCUGAAGAUUCCUUUCAUUGUUGCAGGAUGGUGGGCAUUCAGUUUAAAUAAAGCAAACACACACAUUUCAAAUUUUAAUUGAAUUUCAAAUUAGCAGUUUACUUACAUGCCCAUCCAUGACGUAAAAAGCAGAGACAAGUGAUUGUCUUUCGACAAUGACAUGAUAUCACAGUAGUGGGGAUAACGCUAUGAUAUUGGCCGAUCGGCUUCGCUGUAUCCCUGCACACCUUUAAUAAUUAUAUAAUAUUAAAAUAAUAUAAUUAUGUACCUGCACUAUAGACCUGCAUCUUAAGCUUCUUCCCUUUAUGGGGUCUGCCGCUUUGCCUUUUGUUUCCUUUGCUUUGCUUUCCACUGAAGCAAGUUGGCCAGCACCAAUAAUGCCGCCCACAAUGCAAAAAUCAAGUUGGCCAGCACCAAUAAUGCCGCCCACAAUGCAAAAAUCAAGUUGGCUACUUUUGCCUGUUGCUUUCUCAAUUUCCUCCACCCUUUCAUUGUCUUUUCUUCUUUCACUACUUCUCAUCUUCUGCCUCUCUCUUGCCUUUUUUUUUUCUUUUUUUUUUUUUGUAUUCGAUUUUCUGGCAAGCCUCCAAAGACAGCAACGACCAAGUUGCCUUGUCAUGGCUGGCGGCCAUUGCAAAAGCCUUUUCCAUGAAGAAAUGGACUUGGACACGAGGCUGGUUGAUUAUGUAGUUGGAGAUGAAGAAAGCAGCUGACAGUCUAGGGAGGGAGCGAACCAGAGAGUUUGUUACUCCACUGGUGUGGUUGGGAGGUAGGGAUCGUCUGUGGUUGGUACAGAGUUUUCUUCCUCAGCUCAAGCAAGGCAAUAGAGGUAGGUUUGUUUGCUCAGCUCAGCUCAACCUGUGCUCUCUGUGUUUGUUUGCUGGGUUAUCUGGGAGAGUAAUUUUCUUCGGGUUCGGUUCUGGUAUGCUUUUGCAUAUAGAAAACAGAGAACCCAGAAAGGAAAUCCAAGAGAGAGACUUUGGUUGAGAAAAUGGCAAUUUUUGAGAAAAAUGGAGAUGCUGAGGUUGGUUGGACAACACCGAAUGGAAGUUGUUGGGCUCGGAGCAGAGAAUUGGUUCUCUAGAUCGGAGGUUUUGUGUGAAAUUUUACUGGCAAGCAAUCCGUGUGGCUCUGUACAAAACUGGGUUGGUUUUGGGUGGGCAAUCUGGGCUUGGUUUCGAACUGGGUGUCUUGAUCAAUUUCUGGGAUCAAGAAAUCAGAGAUUUCAGCCGGUUAAAGACUCGUGCUGAUAUCGUGUUGUAAAUGUGGAGAGAAAAAGUAGAGAAUUGGAAUAGAGAGGAGAGACUGAUUUUCUCAUUCAUAUGUUCUGAUGAAUGUCUUCAGUGUAUAUUUUACAAGUAGGGGGAGGUAUCUAUUUAUAGGCUAAGGUUUUGGUAAAAUACAGGGAAGGAAAGUUCCUGGAAGAUGCAAGGAAACUUCCUCUGUGGGCUCCACCUUCAAACUUUUACAACACAUUUUGAUUUUUAAAUUUUGUUUUAAUAUUUCGGCCCACUUAGUUCUUCUCAAAAUAUGUCAUCAAUAUCGUUGAAAGGUUGAACUUAGUGAAUUAUUAUAGUGCAGUACGGUAGAAUAAGCACAUGAUAUAAUUUGUCCACAUGUUAUAAUAUAAGUGAAUAUUUAUUGAUAUUAUUUCCAAAAAUAAGAAAUAUCAACAAUUAUAUCCUCCUAUAUUAUAAUACAUAUACAAAUUAUACCACAUUAUCAUACUCUAAUACCAUUUUAUAAUUUCUCGUACUUAGGAGGUAUAGAGCGAGUCAAUGACAUUACAUAAUAUAUAAUUGUUCAUAUAAUGGGGCAACUAACGUGAUCAACAAGUUGUGGUGAUUAAUUUAACAUAAUAAAAAAUAUACCAUUUACUUGAGUGAUGUAACAAUUUGUUCUUUUAAAUUGGAUUGCCAUCACUUUAAUAUGUUAUGUUUCUUAUUAUAGUCUCCCAUGUUAAGUGCUUCAGCAUUGUUUGUGGUGUGUACACAAAUUUUCUUAUAAAAUGUUUUAAUGCUUCUCACAUGUAUAUCAGAUAUAGACAGUUGAUGUGACUUAGAAAUCAAAUUGUCAAUAAAACAAAAAAAUAUAAUUGGUGAUCGAGGUCCAAUUUAAUAGAAAAUAGUCUUAACUUGCAUAUUAAAGGUCUUAUAUUCGAAUCCUCACUGCAUUAUUGUUGUAUGCGUACACAAGAAAUUCUCUUCCCCAAUAAUUUAGACUAUCACUUAUACUAAAAAUAUAUAUAUAUAAUGACUUUUACGAAUGCAAACAUAAAAUUACAUCAAACAAUAAUCACUACUACAAAAAAGCAAAAAGACGACGGUAAAUCACCGUCGUGUAUUGGGGUUUUCAAUGGUCGUGGAAUCCACCGUCAUCUUUUCCCUCAUAAACCACGACGCUAAAUAACCGUCGUUGUUAAAAUAUACAACGUCAUCAACAAAUACAAAACGACGUCUUUGUACUGCAAAAAGAUCUAAAAAAAGCAAUCGAGGAUGAUAAUAGACGACCAACUCUCUAAAAAAACCGUCGUUAAAAAGAAAAAAUAUGACACAUAUUAAGAGAACAAGGCCGCAAGAUAGACAUACAACGACGAAAAUAAAAAUACGACGACGUUAAAUAUAAUUUUCACGACAAUAAAAAAUAUGACGUCUUUAAAUACAUUAGAAGACGACGUUAUUGAUACAUACUACGUCGCAUAUAUAAAAACAACCGUCGUAAAAUUAAUUUUCCACUUCGAUUUUUCGAUAAAAGAUGACGUGGAAAUAGUUGUCAGUGUCAUUAUUUACGACGUAUGUGUUUAUAGAUUAGACGUUGAAAAACUAAACAACGUCGGUUACAAAUAUAUGAGAGUCGUAUUACAAAAUUUAUACGUCCUAUUUUCAGAAACAAACAACGACGAUAAAUAUUAGACGUUGUUAAACAAAACAACGUCGGAAAAAUAAAAACAGACGUGUUUAGUCUGCUAAAGUUCUAGAAAAUAGUCGAGGAUGAGAAUAGACAACCAACUCAAAAAAAUCACCGUCGUUAAAAAGGAAAAAUCUGACACAUAUUAAAAGAACAAGGCCGCAAGAUAUACAUACAACGACGACAACUAAAAUACUACGCCGUUAAAUAUAAUUUACACGACAAGAAAAAAUAUGACGUCUUUAAAUACAUGAGAAGACGACGUUAUUGAAAUCUACUACGUCUCUUAUUUACAAAAAACCGUCGUGAAAUAAAUUUUCCACUUCGAUUUUUCUAAAAAAGAUGACGUGGAAAUAGUUGUCAGUGUCAUUAUUUACGACGUACACAUUUAUAUAGUCGACGUUGUAUUUAUAUGUAUUCAUUACUCACGACGCACUUAAUAAUAUAGACGACGUUGAACUUCUAAACAACGUCGGUUCCAAAUAAAUGAGAGCCGUAUUACAGAACAUAUAGACGGCGUAGAUUAUGAUGAGAGCCGUAUUACAAAUAACGUCGUUUAAUUGUUAUUAGACGGCGGUUAUAAUGAAUUUCCGUCGGAAUUCAUUUCGUUCCUCUUCGUUUAUAAAAGAACUUGCGACGUGGAAAAUGUAUGAUGACGUCGUAUUUUUUAACGUUCAGAUUAUAUAUCUCGUUUUUAGACGUCGGUAUUAUGGGAUUGGAGUCGUGUUAUUUUGAAUUACAUGGCGGUUCUUAAUCCUUCACCGACGUGAUAUCCUGAAUAAUUGCUUCACAAUAGCGUCGUGGUUCUUCAUUGUUACGUUGCUUUAAGACGUCGGUAAAUAUGCUGAAUAACUGAUUCACAAUAACGUCGUGUUUUAUUUGAACGUAGAAAGUGAAGAAAUCACAUUACAAUAUAUUACAAAAUUAAUGUCAUACACUGCCAAUUACAUAAGCAUCAUUCAAUCCAUAUAUCUUCACACCCAUCUCGAAUAUUUUGACCGCCUAACUCACCCACCAGUUCAUCAAAUGUGUCAACAUUUGGCAUCCCUCUAGUAAAUGGCUCACACUCAAUUAUCACAUCACCUAAGACUUCAUCACCAAUAACAUCAUUAUAUUCUCUAUUAGGCAUUGAUAACACUACCGACCAACCACGAUGCAUCGGGUCGUCAACAAAAAAUAUUUGUUUGACUUGAGAAGCCAAAACAAAUUGGUCAUUCCUAUGUCCAAUUUUACUCAAAUCUACAAGGGUAAAUCCAAGUUCGUCGACUACAAGACCAGAACUAUCUAUCCAAUCACACCUAAAGACUGGGAUUGUAAACUUUUGGUAGUCAAGGUCCCAAAUUUCUUGAAUGACACCAUAGAAACCCAUAUUUGAGAGAAUUGGGUUUUUAUCCUUGGCACUAGCAACUUGCAUGGUAUGUGCAAGUAAAUAAACUCCACUAUUUUGAGUUGUCCGCACAUCAUCUUGUGCCUUGAUAUUGAAUUUAAUACCUUUAAUAAGAUAGCUCCUAUAUAAUGGCACUGACAUGUUUGGACCAGCUGCUAGCCACCUUAAAUUUUCUGAUACGCCAUGAUUGUCUUCCUCAAGUUCACUUUGAACCUGCAAAUUAAUCAUAUCUUAAUUCAAUCUAACAUAUAAAUAAGAAGAAAAUUAAAAGAGAAAUAUGUUAUUCAACAACAUAUACCUUGAAGCGUAGCCAUUGAAUGAAAGUGCUAUUGUGCUUAUCCUGCAGCCACUUUGUUCUCUUUCUAAAUUUUGGAUAAGCAGUCUUGAUGUGGAUCAUAUGUUGCCCACAUGACACGAAAAAUUCAAGCAUUACGAUCCUAAAUAUAGAAGAUAAACAUAAGAAAUAAUUUAAAAUGGAAACUUAAAGAAUAAAGCUCAUACGUACUCGAUAUAAGGUAGGACUUCCUCCGUAUUCUCCAAGACAUAUAGAUGUGCUUGAUUCAACAGGUCCUGAUCAACUACGCUCACUGUGCAACCUGAUAAUGGCUUUGAAAGCCCCAUCUUUUGGCUUGAAGGCACUCCAACUGUACUAACAUCAGAUAAAUGCUGAGUACAACACUCUACCGCUUCUUCAGCUAUAUACCGCUCAGCAAUGCAACCUUCGGGACGAGUACGAUUCUGAACAUACCCCUUCAGCACUUUCAUAUAUCUUUCAAACGGAUACAUCCACCGAAAAUAUACUGGCCCACAUAGACGAACUUCUCUGACAAGAUGUACUACUAGAUGAACCAUGAUAUCAAAGAAUGAAGGGGGAAAGUACUUCUCAAGCAAACACAGAGUAACUACUACAUCUUCUUCCAACUUAUCUAGCUUGGAAACAUCAACAGUCUUUGCACAUAUAGCAUUGAAGAAGAAGCACAAACGAGUUAUUGCAUACCUUGCAGGCUUCUCCAAAACAGAACGAAUUGCCACAGGGAGCAAUUGUUGCAUUAAGGUAUGACAAUCAUGUGAUUUAAGGCCAAGAAGUCUUGAAUCUUGUAAAGAUACAAGAUUUUUAAUAUUUGAAGAAUAACCUUCAGGGACCUUCAUACCAUAGAAAGAAUUGCAAACCUCUCUCUUCUCUACUCUUGACAAAUUCCAAGGCCCAGGAGGCAAACGAGUACGUCUUUCUCCAUACUCGGGUUGCAAAUCAGUUUUGACCCCCAUGUUCAAUAAAUCUAAUCGAGCAGCAAUCCCAUCUUUAUUUUUUCCAGGGAUCUCCAGCAAUGUACCAAUGAUACUAUCACAAACAUUCUUCUCAAUGUGCAUAACAUCUAGGGCAUGCCUUACAGGAAGGUAUUUCCAAUACUCGAGAUCAAAGAAUAUUGAUUUCUUCUUCCAACAAACUCUGUCACCAUUUUCAACCAUAUGCAGCACUUCUUCUCCGGUUAAUGGCUCGGGAGGUAUGCCAUAUUCAGGUUUCCCAUUAAAAGCUGCACGUUGCCUCCUAUAUGGAUGAUUGAUUGGUAACCAUUUUCUAUGCCCAAUGUAACAAAUUUUGUGGCCAUUUUUCAACCUGUGACUAGGUGUAUCAUCGCCGCAUAUUGGACAAGCUUUAUAUCCUUUAACAACACAACCAGAUAAGUUUCCAUAGGCGGGGAAAUCAUUAAUUGUCCACAUUAAUGCAGCUCUGAGUGUAAAGUAUUCUCCAUUAUGUGCAUCAUACACUCCUCUAAUCCCAUCCCACAAAGAUUUUAAAUCAUCAAUCAAAGGCUCCAAGUAGACGUCUAUAUCAUUUCCGGGUUGUUUAGGACCGAAAAUCAAUAAGGUUAACAUCAUGAACUUUCGUUUCAUGCACAGCCAUGGAGGGAGAUUAUAUGUAACUAAGAUAACCGGCCAACAACUAUAUCUGCUACUUAGAGAACUGUGGGGAUUGAAUCCAUCAGAUGAAAGAGCCAAUCUCAAGUUUCUCGGCUCAUUACCAAACUCAGGCCAUUUAUCAUCAAGAAGUUUCCAAGACGGGGAAUCCGCCGGAUGAGACAUCUGACCGUCAAUUGAUUUUCUAGGAGCAUGCCAAGUCAAACUCUUAGCUGUCUCAUGUGAUUGAAACAUCCUUUUAAACCUUGGAAUUGGAGGAAAAUACCACACCACCUUCGCUGGCACACCCUCUUUCAAGAUUGAAUCUUUGCCUUCCUUCCACCUUGAGAUACCACAAGUAGGACAAUUAGUUGAAUCCUCAUACUCCUUCCUAUACAAGAUGCAAUCAUUGGGGCAUGCGUGCAUUUUCUCAUAACUCAGCCCCAAUGCACACAAAGUCUUUUUAGCCUCAUACAUAGAGGUUGGUAUUGUAUUUCCUUAUGGAAGCAAAUCGCCUUGAAGUAUCAAUAAUUCUGUAAAACAGACAUCACUCAUCCCAUGUUUUGCCUUCAAAUUAUACAACUUCACUAAUGCCGAUAACUUCGUGUACUUUCUACAACCAGGGUACACUGGUUGAUCUCCAUCCCCAAUCACAUUGGCAAACUCAUACGGAUCGGAACCAAAAUCAUUAUCAUCCAUAUCAAUUUCUUCAGACACAAAACUGUACCUACUAUGGCCAUCAUCUUCUUCAACAUUUCUACUAGCAUUAGUAGUUGCUUCCCAAGGUUCUCCGUGAAAUGUCCAAUUCUUAUAGCUUUGGUCAAUUCCAUUAAAGUAUAAGUGAUCCCUUAUAAUUCCAACCCCAAACAACUUCAAAUUAACACAUUUAACACAUGGACAACGGAUAUGUGUUGUAGUUAGAAGAUUUUCUACAGCAAAGUUCAAAAAUGCUUCCACCCCAAACUCAUAUGCCUUCGAUCUUCUAUCCGAGUGCAUCAUUGACUUAUCCAUCUCCGACACUAUAACCUAUUAUCUAUAAUAAAGUGAAAAUACAGGCAAUGACCAUCACUAUAGCAGAUUAUACAAAGAUCUAAUAGCAAGUAAUACACAACAAAGACGACGGGUUUUAAACAAAAACAGACGUAUUUGGCAUAUAUAGACGACGGAUUUUCAACAGACGUCGUCUAAUAUAAGUAAUACAAACGACGGUUUAUGAAAAAACCGUCGUGUAUAAGUAAUACAACGACGGUUUUUUCAUAAACCGUCGUGUAAUCGUCGGCGUAUGCCUAAAAAGGCGUCGUGUCUCAGUUUAUUUUCAAGAACCCAAAACCCAUUAAGAACACAACAUAUAUAUGAAACCAAGCAAGAAAACAACAUAUACAUGAAACCAAGCAUGAAAACAAUAAAUCCAUUCCCAAUUCAACAUAACAUAGGGUGAUUAAAAGAUCCGACAAAAUUAAAUCCAUUCCCAAUUCAACAUAACAGAUAAUGUAAUCCAUGAACCCAUUAAACAGAAAAUCCAUGAACCCAUACUUAUAAGCACAUUAUUAACAGAUCGCAAAGCAUAUACCUAAAACCCUUUAACAAAACAACCUAAUAUCAUUCAAUGAAUUUACAAGGGGAAGAUAGGGUUUGUACUUACAGGUUGGACGAGCUCACAGAUUCGACGGAGCAGAAGUGAGAGAGCAACUUUUAAUUAGAGCAGAAGUGAGAGAGCGAAAUGUUAUGUUGCGCGAAAUCUGAAAAUUUUAGGGUUCAGGGUUAGAAGAAUAAGAAUAAGAGCCAAAUAUAAAAAAAUUUAGGACGCGUGAAAAUUUUUAGAGCGCGCGCUCUUUAAAACUUCGAAAGAAAAACCAUGGCGAAAGUUCUACAAGAACCGACAUAAAUGUAAUAUUCCACGACGGAAACACUGAACGUAACGCCGUUUAUUUUGACGCUUCAUUUUUCGGAUUAAUUUUAAAUUUAUUUUCAAUAUUUUGAUAUAAAGACGACUGAAAAACCACGUCGGGGUUAAGAAAUUGAAAACGUUGUAAAUUAUAAUAGACGACUUACAUAUUAAAAUGACGUCGUUUAAAGUAGAAACUAUGUCGGAUAAUUUACUGCACGACGUAACAUAUGUAUUCCACGACUCAACCACCGUCGUUAACAAUUAAUACCCUAAACCCUUAAAACUAAAUUAUAUAAUUUUAAAAAUUAACUUUAUAAAAGGGUUUAUGGUUUUACAGCCUAAUAUAUACCCUAGACUACCCAAAAAUUAUACUUUAAAAAUAAACCCCAAUAAAUAACAACCCUAAUCUCUAAACCCUAGACUCUAAACCCUAAACCAUAAAACUAGAAGUGAUUUUAUGACUCAUCAAAACAAUUUUGUUUUGGAUGUUCAUUUUAAAUUUUUGUAAUUCAAAAUGAAUUUUUUCAAGGUUUAGGGGGAAGAAAAUAUAUCAAUGACUUCAUAGGAGUUGACUUUGCAUUUUUCUGAUUUAUUUUAAAUUUAUUUUGAAUAUUUUGAUAUAAAAAUAAUAAAAUAUUCUUAUCACAACAACAAACCACGUCGGUGUUGAUAAAUUGUAGACGUUGUAAAUUGUAAUAGACGACUAAGUUGUUAAAAUGACGUCGUUUAAAUGAGAAACGAUGGCGGAUAUUUAACUAUCCGACGUAAAAUAUAUAUUCCUCGACUUAACCACUGUCGUUACAAAGUACUACCCUGAACCCUUAAGAAAUUGAAGACGUUGUAAACCAUAAACGACUCCAUUGUUCAAAGAACGUCGUCUAAAUAUCCUUUUACGCCGGAUUUGUUUAAAACGAAACCACAAAAAACGACGGCUUUUGACUUUAUUACGUCGUUGGAAAAUUAUUACACGUCGGUUACGCAUUUUGUAUGUUUGUUUUUGUUUUUACUUUAAGAAAACCUCAACAAAUUUUUACAUUAUAUAUUAUAGACAAAAUUUGUACAUUAUACAUAAAUAUCAAGUGUUCAAUAAUUCCCCUAUUCCAGUUGAAUGCAAACAAACUCUGCCCAUUCAUUCCGGACUUCAUCAAUUGCUUCUUGGGGGUAUGGCUCUUCCUGUUUUCCCUUCGCAUACUGCAUAAAAACAAUGACUAUUAGGGUUUAUAAAUAAAAGGAAAUUCAAUCACAGACGACCAUAACCGACGUAGUAUAUCUAUUCAACGACGGUAAUUUUACAUGACCGUCGUUGAUAAUACAAAAAACGACGUAAAAUGUUUGAAGGUUAUUUCUUCUUACCUUCUUCUCAAACCCCAAGGAAGGAUCCAUGAUGAUGUCCUUCAUGAAGCGCAUCACGUAAUACCCGCAUUCGACAUUGCUGGGUUGCUUUGGUGUGCCUGACAGGGUUUUCCAAAUGACUGCCUUACGGCCUGAUCUGGCUAUGUGGGAAUUAUAAAUUUUUAUGGCACUGUUCACGAUGUCUUUGGCCUCUUCAUCGACCACACGAUUUCCUGGCAGAGGAUCCAGAAAAUAGACUGUUUCCCUCUUUGCUCUUACAAUCAGCAAGAUCCAAUGACGGCUGCACAAAAUUAAUAUAAAAACGACGGUUAUUUACAAAAACGACGUAUUAUAAUAUUUCACACGACGAAAUAAAGUAGCAAUCGACGACAUUAUAUAUUUAUAACGACGAUAAAUAACUACCGACGUGGUUAGUCGUUUCAAACGACUCAAUAAAAUAAAACACCGACGUGGUUAGUUUAUACGCUGUCAUUUAUUGAAAAUCAUAAAAACAAAAUCCUGUUAAGGAGACUAACCCUGGAUUGUAAGGCAUGAGGAAAAUCUGUUCACCGUCAGUCUUCUGAAGUCGUGAUGCUACAAGCCGUGAUCUGUCAGCUAUUGUGCCAGAGCUGGCACUAACUGUAGCAGGGUCGAUAAAGCCAACCAUUGUGCACAUAUUUGCUUGUUUUAAAACAUCGUGUAAGUACCUAAAUAUAUAAAAUAAUAUAAACAAGUCAGCGCAAAAAAAACACACGACGGUUAUGUAUAACAAAACGACGUAUUAUAAGGUUUCACACGACGUACUGAAAUAGACAACGACGUUAUAAUAAAUUUAUCACGACGGUACAUACUAACGACGUGGUUAGUUAGUUAAGACGACGCAAUAAAUAAACCAACGACGUAUUAUUUUAGAAUGACAAACCUCAUAUAUACAGCAAUGACUGUAGCUCCUAUUUCCUCCAUGCCUGCAAAUUGUGUAAUAUCUUCAGGCAGGAGGAAGGUAUCGCGCUCUAGACCAAACACCUCCUUAUCAAUUGUAAAGUGCAGGGUCUUAUCUUGAGUUACGAGUGUCGUUUCCACAUAACGACAAAGGGUUUGUAAAGAAGAUGGCGCCUCCAUAUUUGAAUAAUCAACAACUUUAGUAACCUGUUUAAAGAAAUAAAAAAAUGACGUGGUAAUUCAAUAAAAACGACGGUUUAAGGAAUAAAAUGUCGUUUGAAAACAAUUUAAACGACGGUGAAAAAACCGUCGUGGUGAAUUAUUUAUUACGUCUUAGAAAACAAUUCCGCCGUCUAAGUUGUAAACAAACGACGGUUUAAAGAAAAAUAUCGACGUCUGGAAUUUUGAAAACAAAUAAAAAAGGUAAAGUUAUGUGAACAUACCUGGUCGUCAUCUUCUUUCUCCUUUUCAUCUUGUUUUUCUUCCUUAUUCUCUUCAUAUAUGACGUCGGGAAUGAUUAACUCCGUCAUCUAAAAACCACAAAGUUUUAAAAAUAACGACGUUUAAUGGCGUGUAAAACAAGUAAACUAAAUACGACGUGGUAUUGAAAUACAAACGACGGUUUAUUUUUAAAAUCGUCGUGGUAUGUAUUUCAAACGACGGUUUUAUUAAAAAUAACGACGUCUAAUGGUUUUUAAAAAAACAGAGAAUUCAAAGUUCAGAUAUGUUACCUUUUCUUCCUGAUGUUUCCCAUUUUUGGCAGUAUCAUCCUCAAAAUGCUGGGAUCUCACAUCACCUCCAGAGCAGCUUGCUUUGUCAGACAUUGGAUUUUUGGGACUUUGGCUAAUUCUGGGUUUAAGCAUGCUUGGAUCAAAAUUGGGAAUUAAUUGGGAAAGCUGACUCAGGAAAUGCUCCCUCUCAGCCUCUACCAAUUGUUUCGUUCUAGCCUCCAUUCUUAAAGCCUCUUCCCUUGCCUUAGCCUCCAUCUUUUUAGUCUCUUCUUGAAGGAGAACUCUUAAACUGUCCUUCAAACGGUCGUCAAAGCUCACUCUCUGUGGUUUGGGUAAAUUGAAAUAUUGCUUUGGUGAGAUCCCAGCACCUACUCCUCUGACUCUGCCUGGAUGCUCGGGGCCCAAAGCCAUGGUCAGCACAUCAUUGCUGCCAGAGACGGUGACUUUGCCUUCCGAGACUUGUUUUUGCAAAUCAUCCUAAAACAAAGAUAUAUAAAAAAGUAAGAACAAAAACACACGACGGUUAUUUAUAUACAAACGACGUAUUAUAUAAUUUCACACGACUCAAUAACAUAUAAAUCGACGUUAUUAUAAUUUAUCACGACGGUAGUUAUACCGACGUGGUUAGUUCUUUAAAACGACGAAAUUAAUAAACCACCAACGUCUUAUGUAACAGAGGGAUGAUUCAAUAUUCACACCUUUAACGACGUUGUUUAAAACAUUUCGACGUAGUAAUUUAAUACAGACGACGCGAAAUUGAACCACCGACAUCUUAUGCUAUAAUUACAGAAAACAGAGUUCUGAUUCCUAUUUAGACCUUUAACGACGUGUUUUAAAAAAUGUCGACGUGGUAAUAUCAUUCACACGACGCAAAAUAUAACAUAAGACGUAAUAAGAAUUAUUCACAGUUUAAUAAAAAUUUAAAACAGAGUGAGUAGGCUUACAAUUAAUUUUGCUUUCUCUGCCACCUUUGGAUCAGGGAUGUUACCAUGUUUGUCAUGUCUAGCUCUCUUCCAUAAGGUAGAUCGAUCAAUUUCUACCCCAGGCAUGGUUUCCUCUAAUUGAUCCUCCAAACCGGCAUAUCCUUUUCGAGACAAUCGAUGAUUGUACUCGAGUUUCUCCCUAAUCUGUGCAUGUUGAGAAUGCACAGACUCAAAAUCUUUGGAUAGCCUUGAAGCUACAAAGGCAUCCCAUUGUGCUUUCUCUAUGAAUUUAUAUGUUUCAGGGGGUUGGCUUAAUCUCUCCCUGUCAUUGGUGUAUGGAAGGAUAUAAUGCCUCGUUAGUGUAGACUUGAAAUCCUUCCAUUUCUUGGCAGCAGAAGCUAAGACAGAGUUCUUGCCCCCUUGACCUACUACAAAAGCAAUGUCAACUGCUUCCCAAAUCUGCUCCUUUAUAUCCUUGGGGAUUUGAGCCCAUUUCAAGUCCACAAGUGGAACUCUGGAGCGUGCCAACACACCAAUAUAGGACUGCAUCUCACUAUGAGCUUGGCCAAUUCCUUUCCCCCUUUUAUUGUACUCAACAAUUGGCCUCAGUUUCUGCAGUUUUCUCUUCACAACACGAGGCAUUGUGCUCAUACCUCGACCAGCCUUUGAAUCAUCAGAUAUUGUUGUCCCGCUGGUUGGUUCUGUAUCAGCAGAUGAUGAAGCAAACUUCAUCUUCUUCGAAGACUUCAUUAUCUUCGAAGACUUCUCUUGAGGAGGUACUUGCUCCUCACCUCCAUUUUUCUUGGAGCCAGAAUCCUUACUUUAGUCUUGUUGAGAAACCAUUUUUACAGACAAAACUGCAAGUGAAAAUAUUUCAAGAAAAGAUUAAGAACACAAACGACGGUUAUUAAUAAAAUACGACGUAUGAUAUGAUUUUAAACGACGCAAUGAAAUAAUAUCAGACGUAAUAAAUUUUUAAAACGAAGGUAAUUAAACAACGACGAAAUAAUUGACUACAAACGACGAGAUAAUUAACUAUAAACGACGGAAUAUUUAUAUAACGUCGUGGUAUUGAUGUUCACACGACGUCAGUAGUAAUAUACCGUCGUCUAUAUAAGGAUCCAAAACCCUUCUUUCUUUCUCUGUGAAUGUUUGAUUGCAGAUUUGAUUUUUCUGAACCAUGGUUUUUGUUUUCUAAUUUGAUAAAAUACAAGGCCAAGAAAGAAAGUUUUGGAAUCUUAUAUAGACGACGGUAUUUUAAUAUGACGUCGUGGUAUUAACAUUCACACGACGUAAAACAAUAAGAUACUGUCGUCUAUAUUAGAUACCAACCCUAAUUUCUUUUUCUUUAUAUUUUAUCAAAUUAGGGAAAAACAAAAACCAUUGUUCAGAAAAAUCAAACCUGCAAUUAAACAAGCAAAUAAAAAAAAGACUAAAAUUUUAAAAACAACUUUGUCAAUUUUCAGACGACGCUAGAACGACUGACGAACCGUCGUGGUCUACAUAUUUAACCACGUAAAUAAGAAGCUACCGUCGUCUUAUUUAGUUAAGGUAGUUGUCUUCAAAGUUGGAAACUUUCCCUCUUUGUCUGUAUAUUUUAUCGAACUUGGAAAGAAGUAAAAUGAUUUUGGCCAGAAAAAAGGUAAAAAGAUUUUUCAAACAAAAAACGUAUGAGCAUGCAAAACAGCAACCAAAAUAGUGAAAAUGAAAGCUUACCUUUUGUGUGCAAUGAAAGCAAGAGGAAGACGAUCGAUGUUUAAAUUCAGAGACGACGAAGAAGACGAGAGGAAGACGAUGAGAUACUCUGAAAGUGCUCUGACAAGGAAAAAAGUCUAAAAGUUUUCUCUGGGAGAUUGAAAUUUUUAAUCGGGUUUGGAAAAAGUGCAUGUGUAAGUCAGGUAGACGAAAAGUUGCUUAUAUAUAAAACCAUUUCAAAAAAAUAAUACGGCGGUUACAUAUAACUACGACGUAUAAAUUACAAAAUACGACAGUACGUUUAACUUCGGACGUGGUAAAUAAUUACGACAGUAGUGUUAUAGGUACCGUCGUAGUAAACUCAAAAUUAAAGUACAUAAGUAAUAACUCGCGUCAUGGUAGAUCAUUUAACACGUCGGUUUUAUUAAUGUACCGACGUGGAUUUAUGUAAUAUACGUCGGUAAUACCGACGUUGAUUUUACAAUUUAAACGGCGGUUUUUUUGUAAGGACCGCCGUUGGUUUUAAAAAUUUAUUCUAUAAAUUUGUUGCUUUCAUUCAUUUUCGGUUUACAUUUAGGGUUCCAAGUUCUUCCUCUCUCAGAGACACUAUCUCUCACAUCUCAAAGACAGUAAUUUGGAUGUCUUUCUCAAAGAGAAAUUGAGCUUACUCGCAUCAAAUCUAUGUCCACAAGAAGAAGCUUGUCAACUAGCCUUCUCACUUCCUUGAUCAAGCCUGAUAGGACACUUAGUGCUUCUGAAUACUCCUUGCUUUCCAUCAAAAGAGAUGCAAGCCUGGCCUCCACUCGCUGUCGAAGGAAAGUUCGCUUCUCAGGGAAAUCUGAAGAUCAGAUGUGCCUGAUCCUCUGCUUGAUUUUCUUGGCUAAGAAGAUCCGUCAGAUUUGUGAUAGCCUCUUCCUUUAUCCGUAGAGCUUCAGAAGAAGAAGAUGGGUUUCAAGAAUGCGAUAAAGAAUAGAAAUGGCUUCAGAUGGCCUCUAAAGCAUGAGCAAUCGAAUCAGUGCUUUGAACUAUACUUUGAACUAUACAAGUCAAUGCUUUGAACUAUACAAGUCCUGCAGAAAGAUAAAGGACCAAACUAUUAAAGAAACCCCAAACUAACACGACGCAAUAUUUGUUUUGCGACGUGGAAUCUUUUCAUUUAACGUCGUUAGGUUUAAUAUAACCGACGUGGAUUUGAAUUUUUAAAUUAUGAAUAGCAUUUUUUUUCCCGUGACCUUUCAGUUUAUUUUUCAAUUACAGUGCGUUAUAAAUAGAGUUUUUUUUCCGGAGGAAAUUUAAAAUGAAGGAAAUUAAUGUUCUGGAAUAUGUAAAAUUUCUUUUUUGGAUGACAGAUUUAAAUAAAAUAAGAAUAUAAAAACAACGACUGUUUUUGUAUUACUGUCGUCGUUUUUCGUCGUCUUAAGUAAGACUAAGACAACGUAAUAUAUUUGUUGAGCGACGUUGAUUUGUGUUUUAAACGUCCUUAGGUAUAAUAUAACCGUCGUUGAAAAUUGUCUCUCUGAUUGCAAAUUUGCAACGACGUUAGGUAUAAUAUUUGUAGAUACACAAACGCACACACAUCAUCAACUUCCAAAAAAUUGUCUCUCUGAUUGCAAAUCUGUGUCAUCUGUUAAGAUUAUGAUGUGGAACAAAGUUCCAUUUGGUAAGAUUUCGUAACCCUUGGGAUCUCAGAAAAAUCUGAUUAUGUCGGCGAUUUUCUAUAUAAACCGUCGUGGUUAUUUCAAUUCUUGUCAUUAAGUAGAUCUACCGACGUAGGAUAAGAAAAUCAAAGAAAAAAAUUGUUAACAAAAAUUCUUAUUAAGACGACGGUUUAAAUUAAAGGUAAGACGUAUAAAAUGAAUAAAUACGACGUUAAAUUUUAUAGUACGAUUUAAAGAUAACGUCGUAGAACUAUACCAGAAUGACGUCGAUAUAUUUAUAUUUUUCGUCGUUGUACAUUAAUUUAAUACGGCGAUAUUUUGUAUUUUAAAGUCGUGGAUUUGUUUGUAAUUAUACAGCGUCUUAUACGAAAACCUCGUCGUGUUAUUUUAUGAGUAAAAACGGCGGCUUUUAUUGAAAUCGUCGUCUUUACUUUCUACGUCGGUUGAUUCAUAACUUCUGUCGUUCUUUGUUGGCUUUGAUUUUACACUGCGGAAAUCUGUUUCAAAUAGACGUCGGUUGUUUAAUUAAGUACGUCGUUGUUUUUGAACAGCCAUUUGAAUCUCCAUUUUUUAGUUGUCUAAGGUGGUAUUACACGACGGUGUUUUUAGAACCGUCGUCUUUUUAAAAACCACGACGGUUUUCACUGAGACCGUCGUUGUUUUCUGGUCGUCUUUUUCACUUUUUGUAGUAGUGAAUGGAAUAGAAUGAUGGAAGUUAUUUUUUUUUUUUCCUACGUCUAAAGUAUACUUUAUAUAUAUAUAUAUAUAUUUAUAUUUAUUAUGGAAGUUAUAACCGUUUAAUUUUCAGUUUUUAUUUUCUAUUUAUUGUUUUAAUUUUUAUAGUUUAAUGUGUAUGGAGAUUUCAAGUAUUGGAUGUUUAUAAAGGGUCACUCCUCCUUCACAUCUGAAACAAACCACCAUCUCAUUUCUGUAUUUUCAUACUUUCAUAUAUUUUCUACUUUCCAGAUUAUUAUUUUUGGGCAACGGUUCUGUGACUUGGAGAUUUCUAUCCGAUUAUUAACAUGCUCAUAGCGGACCUUGAGCUUGCGUAUUGAGGAUAGUAUCUUGGAGCCUUGUAGACCUUUAUUACCUGCAUGUAGGGAGGCUAUAAAUGCUUUAAGUCAGCGUCUUUGACGUGCUUUUGCUUUCUUUUUUUUACUUAUUUCUUCGUUACUUUAUUUUUACUUUACUUUUAAAUCUUUAUUUUAUGUAUUAUUUAUAUUUAAAAAUUUUGAAUAAGAGUUUUACAGAAAAGGAAAAACACAAUUUCAAAUAACACAAAUUUCUCGUUUUUUGUUCUUAAAAAAGAAGAAGCAUUGAUUGGGGAGUUAUGGUAAACUCAGUUUCAAUGGUUGCGAUGAGAGGCGGUGGCGGCGAGGAGAGGACGAAGGCUUUGCUGCCGACGGGGUGGUGUGGGUGGGUGGAGACCUCGGCUGGCUGCUUGGUCCUGGGUUCUCCUUUAAUUCUCUGUUUUCUUUUUUCAUAUUUUUCUUUUUCUCUUAGAGUUAUUGAUGUUAAGUGAAUGGACAGAUGCCAAGAGAAGAUGUGAACCCAAUUAUAUACAGCUGAUUACAUAAAGUAACAAAUUAAUUAAUACUUGAGUGGAGGACAGGCUCGAGUGGAAGAAUUGAUUAAGGCUUGAGUGGAAGACAAACUUCAGUGGAGGAAAGUACAGAUAAGGAAAGCAUGCCACGUUUAACGGCUUUAUCUCAACAAAUUAGGAAUGCUGGUUUUGUUUCCUCGGUGGUUGAAAGGUGGUGCCUUGGCUCGGACAUCUCCCUAGUAAUUAAUCGAAGGUGGAAUCUUACAAGACAUUCAGCUGCUCAUUAGCUGAAUAUCUCGCUCUCUUUAAAGAGAUCGAAGCAAACUGCAAUUUGCAAUUUGUGUGAUUCAAGCAUGAAUAUCUGACAUAGUAACUAUACCAUUUGUUGGUUUGAUGAGAAAAGUUUGGUUAGCGAGGAUGAAACCAUAAAGUUCCCCAAAACACACAAAGAGCACGGACAAUUGCUAAGUUUAUCUUUGAGUUCACGCAUAUUUGCACAAAUGAGAUUACUCCAAGUAUGACUAUACCAUUUGUUGGUUUGAUGUGAAAAAUAUGGGCAACGAGGGUAAAACUAUACAAACACACACAAAGAAAGUGGACAAUUACUAAGUUUAUCUUUGCGUUAUUCAUCCGACCUAACUGUAAAAUAAAAAAGAUGAAAAUAUAUAAUGUUCACUACUUAGAUCUAUGAGCACUAAAGUCCUCCUUUUGGAAUUGCACAAAACGUCACUUUUGGUCUUUGACAAAUUUUUAAAAUAAAUGAAUUUUUUACUUAUUUGUGGACUGAAAUGCCUCAAAAAAAAUAAUGAUAAUUUGAAGAAUUUGAUAGAAAUUAAAAAAUAUCCUCAAAUUACUUGGAAUUGAAGACCACAUAGGCAAAAACACCACUUUGGACAAAGGCUGGUGAUAAUAGUCGAUAUCAUCUUUUGUCGGUCCGACCUAAAAAGAAGAAAAAGUUGAAAGCAUCUUGUUACCAUUUUUGCCAAUGUGGGUCCAGACAAUUUGAAGAAGUCCACCGACAAUUUCUCAAAAGCUAUUGUGUGAGUGUUUUGAAGCUAAACCAAUAUUAUUUUGCACAUACGACCCCACAUCCCCAUGUGAGGCUACAGAAGUGUUUCCAAAACGAAACAUGAUAUUUCAAAACAAAGCUAUGUAUAGAAUAGAGUCAUUUGUAUUUGCUUUCACAAUAACAUUUUAUUUGUGAAAGCAUUUUAUAUUUUUACAUUAUGAUGUUCUAACAAAUAAAUUGACUAUAUUUGGCCAACAGGGUUUAACCGAGUAAAAAAGUCCUUAUUUAUAAACUACUGGUUUCAUAUUUGAACUCUAUGACAUUCUCUUUACCCUUAAAGUUUAGACUAUCGCAUGUAUUAUAAAUAAAAAAAAACAAUUGGCUUAAUUUGAUAUAUUUCAUUUUAUGCUGGGUGCCGUUAUUAAGUUUUAUCCUUGUUUCUUGUUGAAAAAAAAUUGAUAAAAAAUAAGAAUUCCUAUAGCUAGCAACUUCUCCACCUUCCCUUCUUCGCAACUAGGGAUGCCAUUGCAAGGUCACCAUCUCAGAUUAAGUCCUCCUUUUAAAAUUGUGUUGUUAUUCAAAAUUGGAAUAUGCUGGUCAUUCUUGAUAUAAUCUGUUCCACAAAAAGAAAAAGAAAAAAGUUGAUAGCAUCUUUUACCACUUUGGCCACUUUUGAAGAUAUUCACCGACAAUUUCUCAAAAGCUAUUAAGCUGUACGUCCACAAUAUUAUUGCAUCCAACUUUGCAUAUACGACCCCAUCCCCAUGUGAGGCUACAAUAUUGUUAAAAAAAUAUGCUAACAUUGUCAUUCAGUAUGCUAACAUUGUCACUAUGUUUGCGAAUUGCAUAUUAUCUAGAACAUAAAGGCUUUGGUGUUUUGUAGAUCCUCAGGGAGCCAAACCCGUCUUUAUAAAAAUGGUCCUUAUGAUACUACUUUAACAACAAUAAAGUAUAAUAAACUAGGCCUUUGUAGUCACUGAACGAAUGUUUUGUCAUAUAUAUGACUAUUUAAAUGUAAUUACGGGAUUAAAACAUUAUAAUAAAUUGGAGUGAACCAUAACAUUAUAUAUGAUCCAAUCCUUUGCAUAUAUUUUUGUUCAAGACUUUGUUUUAGAAUGCUCUAUUACUAAUUUGGUACAGGUCUCUAAAAUCUAUGCCUUUAUGAGGCAACGUCUUUAUUUCUUUGGUUAUUCCAGUUUAGAAUAUUUGCACAAAUGAGAUGACUCCCAGCAUAAAGUCACAUUCAACCAAAAAGCAUGAAGUCACACACAAAAAGAAUACGGACAAUUGCUAAGUUUAUCUUGUAUCCUUAUUUUAUUGAUCCAACCCAAUUGAAAAAUUAAAAAGAUGAUAUAAUAUACUGUUCACUGCUUACAUCCAUGAGUAAAGUCCUCCAUUUGAAAUUGCGUGAUGAUAUAAAAUUGGAAUGAAAAAAGAAAAUCCUACAGCUAAAUUUGAUAUAUUUCCUUUUCAUUUUAUGCUGGGUGUUAAGUUUUCUUAUUUCUUGUUGAAAAGAAAAAUGAAAAGAAAUAAAUAAAUUCCACAGCUAGCCACUUAUCCACCUUCCCUUCUUCCCAUGUAGUGACAACAAGGGAGGCCUUCAAUCCAAAAUAAAGACAAGGGAUGCCAGAUCAGCAUCUCAGAUAAGUAUCCCAACCAAAACCAAUCAAAUAAUGACAUAUGUAUCUCUUUUUGUGUUUUGUUCUAUUUCUCUUUGAAUUAACUGCAUAGUUUCAUAAGCGUGUCCUCCUUUUGAAAUUGUGUAUUAUUCAAAAUUGGAAUUUGCUGAUCAUACUUGAUAUCAGCUAAAAAAGUUUCCAACAUCUUGUACCAUUUUUUUCCAGUGUGGGUCAUAACUUGAAGAAGCCCACCGACAAUUUCUCAAAAGCUAUUACCAUCCAACUUUGAAAAAUAAAAGUUUUCAAAAGUUACCCCAAACAACAGUCCUUGAAAGAGAGAGUUUUCCAAGGCUAAAGAUUACAAGGAUGUUAUUUACAGUCUCGACAACGACAAGCUUCAUAUUUGUUUACAAACCUGUAUUUUCAAGUUGUGCUAGCCUAGCUACUUGCAAAAAAUAUCCAGUUGGCACAUGCAUUAACGUGUGACAAGAAGUUAGUUAUAUUUGUAAAGUAAAAGAACGAAGUACAUAGCAUGUAAGUUGAUGCUAAAUAUUUGAUCAACAGAGUUAAACAUAAAACCACUGACAAUAUAACGUUGUUCACCAAAAAUUGCAUUUCGUUGAGGGUCAGUAGUGUAGGUUUCAAGAUACGAUUUAUUUUGUUAAAGAAUAUUCUGAUAUUCUAACAAUAAAAUUGGCUCAAUUUGAUAUGUUUCUCUCUCUUUUUUUGUUUCUGUUUUCCCUUUCAUUUGAUGCUUUGUUGUGCUAUUGCUAAGUUUAUCUUAGAGACCAGGGAUGCUUAGCAAGUUUCUUCACCUGCCCUUCUUCCCAUGUACUAACUAGGGAUACCAUGUCAGAAUCUUAGAUAAGAAUCCCAUGCUUUGUUGUGCUAUUGCUAAGUUUAUCUUAGAGACCAGGGAUGCUUAGCAAGUUUCUUCACCUGCCCUUCUUCCCAUGUACUAACUAGGGAUACCAUGUCAGAAUCUUAGAUAAGAAUCCCAACCCAAUCAAACUAUGACAUCUGUAAGUAUUCAAAAUUGGAAUUUGCAUUGUGAUAGUUGAGUGGAAGAAUCGAUUAAGGCUUGAGUGGAAGACAAACUUCAGUGGAGGAAAGUAAUUAAUUAGACCAUUAUUUGUUGGUUUGAUGAGAAAAGUUUGCUGGUGAUAGUCCAUAAUCUUUGUCCGACCAGAAAAUAAGAAAAGUUGUCUUGUACCAUUUCUGCCAGUGUGGGUCCCACCCACCCCAUGCGAGUAAUUUGAAGAAGUCCACCGACAAUUUCCCAAAAGCUUUGGCGUCCAACUUUGCCGACCCCAUCCCCAUGUGAGGCCAUAGAAAAGUUUUCAGCCACAAUCAAAUAAGGAACAGUCCUUGAAAAGAGAGGGUUUUCCAAGGCCAAGAUUACAAGUUCAUGUUAUUUACAGUCUCAAAAAGCUUCCAUACUUGUUUACAAACCUGUAUUUUCAAGUUGUGCUAGCCUAGCUAUUUGCAAAUCUUGGAAUAUUUUACUUCAUCCAAAUCCCUUGAAGUCUGCAGAGAAGAUAAAAGACAUGGCUUUGAUUGGAGAGGCUCUUAUCUCUGCUUCCGUCCAGGUGUUGUGCGACAGAAUUACUUCACCCGAGUUCGUUGACUUAUUUCGGCACAAGAAACUCGAUGAGCCACUCCUCAGGAAGCUGAGGACGACACUGUUGGCCUUGAACUUGGUGCUCAAUGAUGCAGAGGAGAAGCAACUUGUGAACCGAGAUGUGAAAAAGUGGCUUGACGAGCUCAAACAUGCUGUCUUUGAUGCGGAGGACUUACUGGAUGAGAUUGACACUGAAGCUUUGAGAUGCAAGCUGGAAGAAGGUGAAGAUCAAACUCACAAAUUUACCAAUAAGGUGCGGAACUUGCUCUUUUCUUCUCGUAGUCAUU
This 103940-nucleotide long non-coding RNA is filed under the name Prunus persica (peach). Its description in RNAcentral is "long non-coding RNA (PPER_LNC001936)". The record is from RNAcentral. Lineage: Eukaryota; Viridiplantae; Streptophyta; Magnoliopsida; Rosales; Rosaceae.